CUAGCUCGUAAGUCAGGGUUAAUAUCAGAGCUUAAGAUAGUAUAACCGUGAGAACCUAUUGACUGCCAAUUAAAAUAUCCAUUAAAAUGUCUAGGGAGUUAUGAAGGUGGAGGUAACUUCCAAUUUCUAAGGCCACAGAGUAGACAUCAUCCAGGAUCCUAGGAAAGUCCAGUUAACCUCCUGCUCGAUGCAAUUAAUAAAUUUGGUCAAUGCCACUGAAACUUGCUAACUGACGUCACAAUGCGACAUGAGCACUUCAAAAUGGGACAGACGGUCAGUGGCACUAAAUUUUUCUUGCCUAAGAUUGAGCAAUUGGUCUAACUACUAAUCCCCCAGAUUUAAGAAUCUUUUGAUGAUAAUUUAUCACCUGCAGCUGUGCCGGAAGAUUCAAGUAGCACUGAAAAAUAUGAUAAUUUAAUUGAUAUGGACAGUUUCCAUAUCACUUUUAAAUCAUCUUAUGUAAUUGUAAUGUUAGGAAGCAUUAGUGAUCUAAAAGUGAACUAUUAUUGGUGUCAUUGGUGGUUUUAUCUUGUUAAAAUAUGGAUGACUUCCUGUUACUAUUUUAUUGUAGACAAUCUUAUUCAAUUAACAUAAGGUUUAAAACCAUUAUGUUUUAUGUAAAUCAAUCUAUUAAUUUUCAUGAUAUUUAACUGAGUUAAAACCAAGUGCACUCAAUAAAUGUCUUUUCCUUUAAAAAAACUACUACGCUUUGAUUUUAGUGCUUAAUAUUUCGUAACUACAGAUUAUCUAAUUGCGAGUUGCUGUCCAUAGCUGCUAAUUUGUAGUGAUUAUCUAAUUGACUGAGGUGACAAUAAUUCUUUUAUUUUCAAUAGCACAAUGUGGAAUUCAAUAAUUAAAUUCUCCUAUUUAAUUUGUUUCAAGUUAAAUUAUUAAUUACUUAAACUCUGUUUUAAGUCUUUAAUUUUAUGUGUUUAUGCAGAAUUGGAUUCUUGAGCGUGUUGGACACGACCAACAAUGAAAUUGAUAGUAAACAAACAUUACAACGUGUGGACUCCGGUAAGCACCAAUGAAUGUCUAGCCCCGUUGACUCCGCCAACUAAAGUUUUGUAAAAUUAAAAAAAAAAAUACAUAGAAUUCCACCAAAUGCAAAACGCGUGAAAUUUAAUUUUCGACCGUGUGGACCAAAACAUAAUUUAACAAAAAAGGAAAAAAUGAUAAGAUUUUUAAAAUGUGUGGAAGGUGAUCCAUAUUUUACUGAAACGACUUGUUAAAUUUUUCAAGGAUUUAGAAUAUUUGGUCAUAAAUUACGUGCAUGUUAAUUUUUCCGCCAUUGACUAUCAUAUUCUAGACUUAAUGGUACCUUUCUUGAUGAAGGGUACUUAGUCUCUCUUCUCCUCUUAUAAAAAUUAUAUUAAUUGAUUUCUUGUUAUAGUUAAUAGUCUUUAAGAACGGAUAGAUUUAUUGUUUUCAUGACCAAAUUAUGCAUGCCUAAGGUUGUAACUACUAAUAAAAUUAAUAUUUAAUGUUUAUGUUAAAAGAUAUAAGUUUUUAUGCAUUCAUUAAUUGUUAUUAGCUAAAGGAUGAAAUAUUUUUUCCCAAUCAGUUGAUGCAUCUGCAAGAGUUUUUUUUUUUCUUUUAUUGACCAUAAUUAUAUUCCGGGUACAAUAAAUUGUCUUUGGUGCUUGGAAAAUAUGACACCUCUCUGUCAACUUACUGGAAAUAUCUCCUCAUCUACUCUCAUUUAUCUAAUAUGAAUUGAAGAUCUCAUAUUUCCAAACUAUGACUUCCAAAUCUCAUUAUCAUUUGAGCAUUCAAAACUAAUCAAGUGUGGAAAUAAUCAAAUAUAUGCAAAAAUCGAGUCACAAUCUUUGGCCCCUCAAAAUUCUAAUUAUAUAACUUCUAUAUAUCUCAUACAUUUUCCAAAUUCCUCUUCCAUGAACAUCACUAGGAGUAUGUUCAUCUCUCACACAUUAACUUGAGUGAAGAGUUUCCAAAUUGAUUAUUAGAAAACAAUACAAAAGCUAGACACGUUUGAUCUGUCUAAUAAUUCUCUUUCGGUAAAAUUAAUUAAUUUUAGGGGAAUUCAGCCAACCUCUGUAAUUUCAGAGUGAUCAUUAAUUAAUUAAACAAUACAAAUAUCUAAAGUGAUUAGAUGUUUGCCGACAAUACAAGUUCAUGGCUUGAAAUUUGAUCUCUAUCAAUUGGUUUACAAAUGGACUCACUUGUGCCUUUGUGGUGAUAAUUGAACCAGAGAUGUGAAGCUGUAAGGAUUUGGCUGUAGUCAAUUGUUAUAAAGACAUAAAGACAACUUCCCAUGAUUAUUAUUUUUUUCCAAGAACUAUUUUACAACAAAUUCAUCUCGCCAAAAAUUCUAUUUUGCUAACUAACAAUAAUUGAGCACUUGACCGCAUUGACUCCACGUCUCCAGCUACUUUCUAAGUAAAAACAUGGAAAUGUAAUCUCCACAAAAUGCCAAACGUGUGGAAUUUAAUUUUUGGCCUUGUGGACCAAAAUGCAAAUGAAAGAAAAAGAGGGAAAAAAACAAGGCUCAAAGACUUCUAAAAGAUGUAAAAGUCUUUGGGCUUUUUUAUAAUGGUGGAUUUUUUAAAAGGAAAAAAUAACAACACUUCUAUGGUUUGUUUUAAUAAUCACAUUUACAUAUAUUCUCUAAUUUUCAAAAUGGACACAUAAAUCUUUUUUUUUCUACAAAUGUAUAUUAUUCGUAUUUUUUAUUAUUUUUAAUAUCAUAUUGUUAUUUAUUAUAAAUGUUUAAAGUAAAUUUUUAGGUUGAAAUAUAAUAAAAAGGUAUAAUCGUUCUCAUAUUAAACACCCAUACUUUUAGUUUCUAUCCAUUUGUCAUUUCAAUCUCCCUCAAUUAUUCUUUAUUGCUAGCUCAAAACGCAUCGCUGUUGAAAAUUAUAGCAAAAUGACAAAUAUGGAAAAAAAGGGAAGAAAAUUAAUGCAUGAAAGACUUGGAGAAAACAACCAAAUAAGUCAACUAUAAGCAAGCUGGGUGUAUAAAUUGUUAGAUGUGUUAUAAACAAAUACGUAUAAUGUUAAAGAUAUAGUUAGAAUGGGUGGUUCAAAAUCAAAAAUGGUGAUAAUGUUUGUUCUGCUCUUAAUAAUAUUUGAAGGUGGGUGGAGUGAGGGAUGUUUGAAUCAUGAGAGAUUUGCUCUUUUGCAACUUAAACUUUUCUUCACUGAUCCUCAUAAUUAUCUUCUCGAUUGGGUAGAUGAUGAGGGAGCUACUGAUUGUUGUCAGUGGGAAAGGGUUGAGUGCAGCAACACCACAGGUCGAGUGAUAAAACUUGACCUUGCUUUUACAAGGAAUAAUUAUUUGGAAGAGUACAGAGACUUUGUACACAAUCCGGGAGAGUAUCUGAAUGCUUCUUUGUUUACUCCCUUUCAACAACUUGAGUCACUUGAUUUAACUAACAACAACAUAGCCGGUUGUGUUGAGAAUGAAGGUGCUUCGUUUAAUUUAAUUAAUUUACUUUCUCCCCCCUAAUUUAAGUUGACUAUCAAGACCGAGCAAUUAGACGCAUAUUCAUUUAGUCGACAAUUUUCACUUUUUUUAAAUGAUUAAUUUUGAAAUUACACCAGUAUCUAUAAUCAUUUUUUUAUUUUACUUGCAGGUAUAGAGAGGCUAUCAAGAUUGAACAACUUGAAGAUGCUUAAUUUAAGUGAUAACUCGUUCAACAAUAGCAUUUUAUCAUCUCUAACCCGUCUUUCAUCAUUAAGAUCAUUAAAAUUAUCUGACAAUAGAUUGAAAGGAAGUAUUGACUUUAAAGGUACAUAAUUAAAACUUCAUCCCUUCUCCAAGCUCUUUCAUUAACUUGCUAAAAUAAGAUUCAAGGCUUUGAAUUCAAUUUUUUUAUGAUUAGUAUUAAAAAAAACAGUUUUAAGCAAUUUAUAAAUACAAGUUUUAAUGGUUAUCGUAAUUUCAUCUUGUAAUUUCAUGUCUUGAAUUUAAGAUUAAAAAAAUAACACUAACAGCGAACCAAACACCUCCACAACUUAUUAUUAUUAUUAUUAUUAUUAUUAUUAUUAUUAUUAUUAUUAUUAUUAUUAUUUUAAUUUGUUGUGAGGUUUGAAACAUUCAACUCAAUUUGUACUUACUACAGAAUUUGAUUCUUUGAGAGAUUUAGAGGAGCUAGACAUUGGCUGGAACAAGAUUGACAAAUUUGUGGUCUCAAAAGGUACUACAAAUACCAUAUAAAAAUGCUAACUUAUACAAAUUAGUUGGAUUCUUUGCCAUUUGGUUUAUUAUUUUACAGGUUUGAGUAAGUUGAAGUCUCUCGGUUUAAGUGGUAUCAAACUCAACCGUAGCAUCUUAUCUUCUCUUUCUUCAUUAAGAGAAUUAGAUAUAAGUGAUACGGGAUUCAAAGGAACAUUCGAUGUUCGAGGUAAGCCUAAGCCUUGCUUUCUCAUUUUAUAUAUGCCAACUAGAUUUGUGUAUCAUCGACAUAAUUUAAUAGUUAAUUUGAUAAGUCUGAAGGAAUUACAUGCUAAUUUAAACAUACUUUUAUUUACUUUGUCAAUUAAUUAAUUUAUUAAUUACUAUUUGGCUUGGUUUGGACGAAAUUCUCAUGAUGUUUUAAUUUCUUUAAAUUAAUUAAUUAAUUAACUCUGUUUUUAAGUCUUAAGUCUGGGCAUGUUUGCAGAAUUUGAUUCCUUCAAUAACUUAGAAGAAAAAUAGAAAAAGUCGAGCAAGAGACUCUCGCCCUAUUUUAAGAUGAGAGUAGCGAUCACUUACCUGAUCUACGACCUACUAUCUACGCGUACCAGCCUUCCUUUGUUUUGCAUCACGAGAUGGACUCUUCGCCCAUCCCCUAAGGUCUUUCAAAUUAUACCUAAUUGGGGAGAGGACCCACCAGGAGUCCAACUCCAGAUUGGUGGCUAAUGGGCCUCGCGUAUCCUGCCUUUUCGUAGAAUGCAACGCUUAUACGUUCACUGAGGAAUGAAAUCCUAUCUUUUAUCCGAGCUAGGGAUCAGAAAGCAAGAAGGUGGGGGUCAGAAAUGAGUAGCGUAGGUGAUACCGAUAGGGUGGUUGGAUACGCGACAGCAACGGCAAGGCACUCUUGACCCCGUCCGUAGAGGGUCGGUACGAAUGAGACUGUGCUAGAGAUCGCAGUGAGCAAGUAUGCCUUGUUGACUGGGUGUUGGUUUUGAAACAAGGAUGAGUCCCUCAGGGAGUCCGUCCAAGCUUCAGCUACUAAUGCCUGGGCUAACUUCUUGGGGGUGAACAAAGUGCUCUGAGUCUGAGAUCGAUACUGGUUAACGCCACAAGUGCUCUGCCAUUGGUCUACACACAGAGUCAUCAGGUAAAGUCAGAGCUUGGACUGGGAAUGAGAUCAGAAGAGGCUAGGCUACUAGGGAAGAUAGAAGCGAUCCACAAAUCAAACCACUAUCCCAUUGGCCGCUUCAUGCGCCGAACACUCUUAAUAAGAAGCUUUAUUUUAUAAGGUAUGUGUCUAUGCUCUCGAUACACGGCUUGAGAAGGCGGCUCCUUUUUAUUCUUCCUAUAGGAGCUACUCCUGAUUCAGUCAAUCAGAACAAGCCUUCGGACCUACCAACCAAUCAAACUAGCUUGAUGCGGAGGCAAAUACCCAGGGAUACUAUAGCUCAACACACGCCUGGCCGGGGGGAAGGAAGCCCUCGAAGCGAGCUCCGUACCAAAUAGCUGUGGAGAGAGAGAAGCCAAACUCUACCGCACUGAAGAGCGAGAUAAAUAACUGACAUCCUUGGUUGAUGAUCCUCGUCGGUGGAAGGGAAAGCGCGAUGAAAGGCAAGUCGGUAGUAGGUCCAAUGGAGAGAGGAAUUGAGAAGAGAUAGGGUCCGCUUUCUAGGCUGACGUUGGACAGCUGUUGGAUAGCCCCGACCUACACAAGUGGUUUUAGAAUGAACUCACAUUUUGAAAUGUUCUGUUAGGUUCUUAGUAGCAGUCGGCGAUCUUUUCUUCUUUUACUUCACAUAGCUUUUCGUCUCCUUGAUAGCUGGAAGUUCUCCAAAAGUAUGAAAAGCUGGAGGACUUUGUACCAUCCAUUCCGGUGUGGUUGGAUUCUGUUCAACAGCCCAAGGACUUGGAGCACAUCUUUUGUUAUUUCCACUGCUUGAAGUGAUUGUUACGACCACGAAGAAACGACGAAUCCCAACUACGGAUAUAUAAGAGCCAAAACUGCUAAGGGCAUUCCAUCCAGCGUAAGCAUCUGGAUAAUCUGGAAUGCGACGUGGCAUACCCGAAAGCCCUAAGAAAUGCAUGGGAAAGAAGGUCAGAUUAACCCCGAAAAAAGUGAUCCAAAAAUGGAUUUGCCCUAAAGUUUCAGGGUAUGUCCGACCAAAGAUUUUACCACCCAAUAGUGAAAUCCUGCAAAUAAAGCAAAAACGGCUCCCAUAGAAAGUACAUAAUGGAAAUGUGCAACCACAUAAUAAGUAUCAUGUAGAGCAAUGUCUAGCCCAGAAUUUGCCGGGACUAUUCCAGUGAGUCCUCCUAUAGUGAACAAAAAGAUGAACCCUACAGCAAAUAACAUGGGUGUUUUGUAUUGUAUCGAACCCCCCCACAUGGUAGCGAUCCAACUAAAGAUUUUGAUUCCAGUGGGGACAGCUAUGAUCAUGGUAGCUGCGGUGAAGUAGGCACGGGUAUCAACGUCUAAGCCCACAGUAAACAUAUGAUGAGCCCAAACAAGAAAUCCAAGAACACCUAUACUGAUCAUGGCAUAAACCAUGCCUAGAUACCCGAAGACCGGUUUUCCCGAAAAAGUCGAAACGAUAUGACUUAUGAUACCGGAUCCAGGCAGAAUGGGAAUAUACACCUCUGGAUGACCGAAAAACCAAAAGAGAUGCUGGUAUAAUAUGGGGUCUCCCCCUCCAGCGGGAUCAGAAAAGGUUGUAUUAAAGUUUCGAUCGGUUAAUAACAUGGUAAUUGCCCCCGCCAGUACCAGAAGUGAUAAUAAAAGUGGGAAUGCUGUCACUAGAACGGACCACACAAAUAGGGGUGAUCUAUGCAUAGUCAUUCCAGGUCCACGCAUGUUGGAGAUUGUUGUUAUAAAAUUGAUAGAACCUAAAAUGGAUGAAACACCAGAUAGAUGAAGACUAGAAAUUGCUGAAUCAACUGCUCCUCCAGAAUGGCUGGUAAUACCACUUAAGGGCGGAUAGACCGUCCACCCAGUGCCGCUACCCACUUCUACUAAGGCUGAGCUUAAUAGGAGCAAGAGACUUGGUGGCAACAACCAGAAUGAAAUAUUAUUUAAUCGUGGAAAUGCCAUGUCAGGUGCACCUAUCAGAAUCGGAACAGACCAAUUACCAGAUCCACCUAUCAUCGCCGGCAUAACCAUAAAAAAGAUCAUUAAAAAAGCGUGAGCCGUUAUUAAAACAUUAUAAAGUUGAUGAUUCCCACCAAGAAUUUGAUCGCCGGGAUGUGCUAAUUCCAUACGAAUCAAUACUGAGAAGCAUGUGCCCAUCACUCCAGCAAUGGCACCGAAGAUGAAAUAGAGAGUCCCUAUAUCCUUGUGGUUAGUGGAGAACAGCCAUCGAACCGGAUUUGUCAUAAAAUUGAGAUUCUUUCGUUUCCUUCCUUAUCAGAGAGGGGCCCCUUAGGGAGCGGGGCUUCUUUAUUGAAAAAGGGGGAGUGAGGGGGGAAGGAGCGAAGCGAAAGCGGGGGGGUCCGGAAAGCCCUUACUUUAUUGAUGGGACAUUUUGAUCCCCUUUUCCUCUCACCCCCCGUUCUGGUUCAGGAUUCAGGAAAGGGUCAACGCAAGGAUCUUACUUCGAAGCAAUCUCUGGAGUUUUCCCUUAUCCGAACGGGUCUUGCAAGAAAAUAGGAUUUCAUAUUGAGCUCCAAAUAUACGCUAUUGGGAUAGGAUGGCUCCUACUAUAUCUCCCCCCCCCCUAAGAACCGCACGUGCGAGUUCCCCUGCAUACGGCUCAAGUGGCGAAGGCACUUUCCUUCGCGCUUGAUAAGCGCUUCGCUGUAGCCAAGCUUACUGCUAGCCUAUCGGCUAGAGCCAAGCUUCGACCCCGACUGCUCGUCGCUUCUGGCCGCCUUAUUCCGUCACCCGAGAUCCAAGUCAGCACCGGAAAAAAGAUCUUGAUUCCUCGCGGCCGGGCCGGCUUGGAAGCAAGCUACUUGUCGCCUAUCUCACCCCCUUUCUUAUUAUUAGUAAGAUAGGGUGCCCCUUUCUCUAAUAAUAAGGUAAGCUUCUCUGAAUUCCGCUGGGUGAGCCUUCGCUUUUUGGAUCGUCUUCUGCCCAAUGCGGUACCCUCCCGUUUGUUUUUAGGUUCCCAUUGGGUUUACCUUGUUUACAGGUCGAUCCCAUGGCAGCAAGAAAAGGUGAUCUUGUGCUAUACUCCGGUGAUCUCUUUCCUACCGAGGCACGCAAACUCCCAUCGUGUCCCAGAUCAUAUUUCGUGAAUCGAAAGGGGAAGCCUCCUCAUCCAUCAGCUCCUCUCGUAGAUCAGUGCGGUUUUACGAAGCGUCUAAGCACAGUUCACUCGCGUUGAUCAAUCAAGAGCUUUGCCGCCACUCCUUAAGGUUACCUGUUGUAUCAUACACUUCUUGCAUUCUUUCCCACGCUUCAUACCCCCCUCUAGCUUCCGCACGGAGCGGUAAGGUAAAGGGCCAGGCAUGGUGGGGUCGGAGCAUCCUGUCAGCAAUCUUUUUGGCUUGACCAAGAAGUCUUAUGUCCUCCGAGUCGCGCGGCGUUUUAACCGAAAGAACUUCUUGCGCAAUUCAUGCCUUUCUGUUUUUAUGACCAGAAAUUUUUUCUUGAUUUCCAUUUCAAAUUGUUCUCUGGACUUUUUAUCAAUAUGAGGUGAUCGUAACACAGUAUAUAAGACUCGUGAUUCAGGCAAUCCAAUCUUUCGUGUGUAAGGCGGAAGAGCCUGGUUUUCCAAAAAUGGGUGAUCAAAAGAUCGAAUCACUAUGCGUAUCUUGGUGGUCGUUACUUUUGGUGGUCUUUCUUUUCUUUUUGGCUGACUCCUCCUACUCCUCCUUCUCUUAUCCUCUAUAUAGCUCGUCGUUGGUCCUUUUUUUUUACAUAACAUUCUCAGCCGCUCAAGAGUCAAGAGACUGACUAUCUCUCUCUUUACGCAAUUUCAAAAAUGAAGUAGCAGAGUGACUACUGAUUUUGGACGCGCUGAGUUAUUUAAGCAAAGCCUUUUUUGAUCUUGUUAUUCUAAAUUAUUUUAUUGUCUUUGCUCAACUUCGUCGAGCCUUGUACCCAGGUACACGGAACACUAACAGAAUCUCUGUUCAAACAAAAACGACAAGCAAACCCGAAAACUAAAGGGUCACCUUCUCUAGCAAGCAAGUAGACUUUUCUCUGAGCCCCAGGGUAGCAAAGCUAGCUCUUCGUAUCAUUGGCAUUGGGCAGGUGAACGGGAACCUGGCUACACAACUACUCUUACUCUAGCAGAGGAUCUAGUUCCACACCAAUCUGCUUAUCUUAUAUAAGAUAAAAUAGAUAAACUUAGCGUACCUACAACCGCUUGUGCCCUCUUGCUUUAGCUACUUACUCGGGAACUAGCUUCGCACCUCACCCCGGGAACUCAAGGGUGCGUAGCUUGCUUGUUGAAGGGGUGUUUCCGUUCCUCCGUUGUGGGAUAGUUUUUCCCUAGUUCGGUCCUAUAAGAAGAGUUCUCUAGAUAUCAACUCAUGGUACUCCCCGGGCCCCUAACAACAAAACUCAUAGGUUAGCUACAGCAGUUCUAGCAUCAGCUUCUCGAGGGCCUAAAAGAACCUCUUUCGUCAUUCGAAAGUGGCAUUUUAGCUCCUUUUCGUGAAACAGAUCGGAGAUCAGGUCUUAUCGAUUCAUACGAUUUUCAUACGUCUUUUUCCCACAUUAAUAAACCCCUUUUUUCUUUAACACGCUAGUGCCCAGAUCUUCUUCUUUUGUCUUUGAGCCUGCCUUUAGGUAGCGGCAUGGAAGUCCCCCUUCUUCUCAAGCAGGAAGCCCGCGUAUUCUUAUUCUAAUGUCCAUUGGAGCUUCUCUUUUCUUCCCGCUAUCUGGCUGUUCUAUUUAGACGUCUGUUCCCCAGUCUUACUUUCUCAUGCCCGCUUUCGCUUCACUCCUUUCUACUUCUGUUACAGUAGCUAUAGUUGUAAUGGCGGUUAUGCAGGUCCCCUUCUCAUUGAGUAGCCUAUACUCUGGAAUUGAAGUAGCGAAAUCGGCCUUAGCAUAGAACGUUUACCGCUUGCCUUACUAUUACUAAUAAUCGGGAAUCAGAACAGGCAACUAUGAGACUAAUUUAUCAUUGCCCCGAGCAAGUUACUGCGUACCUGAAGUGAGUGUGCCCAUCUUGGUCUCCUUUCUUUUUUCUUUGCAGCUGCCAUAAAAGUAAAGCCUUAGAUUCUAACAGGAAUCUCACCGCCUGCUCCCCUUAUAAUUAUAAGAUACUCGCUACUAAGGUUCUGAAAGAAGGCAGCUAAAUCAGCAAUAGAAGAGAACUCCAGAUCUAUGAAUAGCCAACAAAGAGCCUAGCUUUAUUACUGGAACUAAACAGCAAGCUGCUCCUACCUUACUUAUCGAGAAGGAGUACUUGGACUGAGUAGACUUCUUGUAGUUCUCUUUCCCCUAGCAACCUUUCCUGCUUUCCCGGUUGCAAGGUUUCGAGCUAACUACAGGAUUUGCUUCCUAGCUAAUAAUACUAAUUAGUAGUAUUGAACUUCGAACUAAAGAUUUUUUUUAGUUAACGGGCAGGUAAGGGCAAUGAAGGAAGCCGUUAGGCUUGAGACGAAACGGAUUCUAUGGAUUGAGUCUGGCAGUGAUGUUAGUUAAGUCCACUACCUGGGGCUUGUCUUGCUUGAGAACCCGUUUGGAACAAUCUGGAUUUUCCCCUUGUGAGUCACUCGAAUUCUUCUAUUUAUCAUUCUUUCAUGAAUAGAAAGAGAAAGAUCUCCGCUUCGUCUUUCUUCCAAGAAAAGAUCCCAAGCCAUUGAUAUUGGUCAUGCGUGGGCUUUCACUCAAUCUUUCACUAUGAUAUGAAAGGCAAGCAGGAAUUUCACCACUAAUGGGCCAGCGCUUGGCGCUUACUCUAGCCCGUGUUUCUAGGAUACACCUAUUAAUUAUAUAUAAUAGUUUCCCCGAUAUUCGUGGCUUUCCCCUUACUUAUUACUUAUAAGUAGAUCGGUUGAGAUAAGUAGAUUGGUUGAGGCCCGACCCUUUCCUUUGGGGUUGCCGACCUUGAUGCCAUAGUGUUUAGGGGGCUGAGCGGGAAACCAACACGUUGUGGAAACGGAAUAGAGCUUUUCCCUUGAUGGAUGUUAUCCAAUAAAAGCACACAAUCAGUGAGAUGAGCCUGCCAGCUCAGCCUUGGCCCUAUGCCUUUUGGCCAGCUUGACUUCUGACCGGUCGAUCCCGCCCCCUCUUGCAACGAUUCGGCGCCUCCACUUGAUGCUUGACGCCCACGCUUCGUUCAGGCAGCGCUCCUCGGAUAUGUCUUGCCAAUCGCCAGAGCGGUGCCACUUCCAGGAUUUGGUGCGGCCAGCUCGGGAACCUUCCCUGGAGUGAAAGGGUACAUGGAUCGGUUCCUCCACCAGAGGUCAGCUGAAGCGGAUUGGUCAAAAAGAAAUUUUCUGGCUUUGCCUCAUACCCGGUAUAACUACCAUUUUUACUUUGAUAUGCUUCUUACUUCCUUACAAAGUUGCAAGGAUCCCUUCUUGCAUUCCCUCCUUAUUCAAAAGGAAUUUAUUCGAAUAUCUAGUUGAUAAAUGUUCAUGAGCACGGGGUUGCCUUGCCUGAGACCUCUACUACUGCCGUGGAGGGUAAUUGAUAACAAUGGAAUAUUUUAGGUUAGUAAUGCAGACCCUUAUCCAUUCGAUCCACUUCUGAGGGAAUCACAUAGCCAGCAUGGCAGCUUCCCGGAAUCCCCAGUCAACACUGUCGAACGCUUUCCUCAGGUAAAUUUGCACACACAUCCUGGCUUUCCCUUGCGGAAGGUGGAAUUUUUUUAGCAUAUCGUGACAAAGCAAGAUGUUAUCCUGGAUGCAUCGCCUUUGUUGUUUAUACCUAGCAGGAGCAGCAAAGACGAAGGCUGAAGCAUCACUAGAGGUAUCUAUUGAGCUUUCUCCUCUUUUUGCAUUAGCCCAGUCACUUCCUUUAUGGAAUGGGUUCACCAGCACGCGGAGGUAAGUAGUUUACUGACUCAGUUCUUUUACUAAAAAAGGAGAAGGGAAGGGGGUGCUAUGAAUAGAAAUUUUGAAUUGCAUAUGCUCUCGAUCGACCUAGGCCUAAAAGGAAUCCGGCUACUCAAUCGCCAGAGAUAGAAAUAAAAGAUCUAAGCUUGCUUUAAUCAUUCGAAAGCGAUGCUCAUUCCAGGGUUUCAAGGCUUGGAAAUAGAUCUUAUUUAAGACAAAAAGAAGUGAGCAUAACCAUCUUCAAGCUCCACCCCGGGAUUUUAGGUGUGAACUCACUUUAGGGAAAUGAGGCUUAUAACCAAUCGAUUCUUCACCCACGUAAGCUCGCCCUGUCACCCUCGCUCUGGUUCGAGAAUCAUGUCACCCUCGCUUUCCGCUUCUGGAAGAUCAAUGACUAAUAGAUAAAGGGCUGUGGAACUAUAGACAAUAGGCGGUAACCUCUCUUGAUCCGCGAGUAGAGCACUUGAACUACUCAGAAAGAGCUGGUUGGCUCAAUUCAAAUAGAAAGAAAAAUAGACACCCAUCUUCUUGGCGAGCUAAUCAGGAGACAUACAAAACCAGCAAUCCAAGUUUUGAAGGGAGGCGGCUGCCUGCAGUCACUAAAGGAAGGGGCUUGGUGGUCUUAUUUUAUUAUCUAUAAAAGAUAGCAUCUCUUCCUGCUGUUCGAAUCAAAACGAUUAGGGACAACCGCUCGCUUCGAGGCAGGUUAAAAAGCAUAGGCCAUAGCUUCUACCUCUCCUGGAUCAUUAUGCUCAUCUGGAAGCGGUUUUUGCUAGGAUGAAUGCUACUUCUAUGUAUUUCCCAUCGCAUUUUCAUAAGGUUUCAUAUCCUUCUUUUUCAAUCUUUUAAUGAUGCUUGCCAAUUCUAAUCCAGGGGAGCACUUAGAUCGCAGAUUUUCGCAAAACGACCUCGCGUAGCCAGUUCAGGUAUAAAUUUGAAUAGGUUUACCAAAAGUUUUCCCUAUUUUGAGAAGAACUUCACUGUCGAAGUACUCAAUAGGGAGCUCAGGUAAACGGAUCCAAAGCGCAGUUUUAGUGACCGUUGCCAAGGAAGGCCUAAAAUCAGGGUGCUUCGAAAAGUGAGAUAAUGGUUUGCUAUCAUCCAAGGUCCCCCAGUAAGAGCUCUUUUGUAAUCCUCCCCAUCAGUUAAGGAUGGUCGUGGCCCAGGUCAAUGAAGUCAACUCCCCACUUGGUCUCCACAUUUUAAAAAUUUUCUCAUGGAUAAAUUUGUACUAAACUUUCUUACCCAGAACCUUAACUAUAAGAAAGAGACUUCCUCCAUGGUUGAAAAAUUCUCCUUUUCUUUUAGUUUCCCCAUUACCAUUAAUGUUGAUCACAAGGGGACAAUUCGAAGGGCCCUGGUUAUGGAUUUGCUGCUGCUGCUCAUCUUCUUCCUACUCGUCUGAUUUAAAGCCUUCAGACUCCGGUUCCGAGAUCUCAAGAUAGUAUGAGCCCUUGUGCUGUACCUGCAUGAGAACGAACAUCACGAAAGGACAGUGGUUGAUUACCGUCUUCCUUUGAUCGCUUCCAUGGUCCGGGACUCUUCCCAAGGUCCGGAGGUAGCUCACAAAGGUCGCCAUUAACUGUUUCAGUCGUCACAGAGGUCGCCAUUCCUUAGCCCCUCAUUGGUUGUUAGGCAUUUGUCACUUCUUCUAUUUCAUUUCCAUAGCGAUUCACUCAACAUAGAAAAGCAACUAGAGCAGAGCUCGUAUCCGGCCUAAAGCUCUUGAACUAUAGGAGGGGUCUAGCAUACUGAAACAUAAAUGUAGCUAUAAAGCCUUUUUGAGCAUCUUCCUUGCGAUCUCCUUAUCCUAUAUCAGAACACUUUUUCACUUUUUUUUGCUAUCACAAUAAAUUGCCAUAGAUCGAAAGUGAGUCCAGGCUUAGUGCUUCCGCCUAUCCGGCAGCCGUUACCAGCUGUUCACCACUCCUCCCUUCUAUGCUCCGUGGGUCUUUUGUUACCUAAUUCCCUUAAACACGGAAUUGCUCCUAGUCUUUACCCAAGAGAUGUCCCUGAGACUCAAUAAGAAAAUUGUCUCUUUGCUUAGCUUAAGCACAAGAUUCGACAGUUGUGAUUCCGUCUUGGAUUGAGCUUUCUCACUCUUUCUAUGCCUCUUCCUGAAGUGAACGAAUACAUCUCUUUCUGACGUGAAUGAACGCGAUUCUCUAAUAAGACCCAAUCUUAUUGAGUCAAGUAGAAGAUUCUUGUAGAAAUUUUUUUUGAUUGACUUACUCCAACAUCAAGGUGGAUUUAGCUUGGAUUAAUAGAGAUUAAUAGAACAGACGGGAACUAAACAGAUAGGAAUGCCCGACACAAUGCGGCUACUAGAAAAACGUAUAUUAGAUACACCAUUUCUUUGUCACGUGCAUAGCCCUGCUCCUUGUCUUUGAAAGUCCGUAGCAAUGGACACUAUAUAAUUCCUUGUCGCUCUCGUACGCACCAACCCUUGCCUUGUCUCUCGAACCCUUGCUUCUCUCUUGUGCUCCCUAGAGCUAAGUAAGCAAUUCUCUCUCCUCUCUAGCCGUGGCCGCUAGGAAUUGCUUUCGCUCUUCUCUCUCUGGGGUGCUGGUGGUCGAUAGUUGUAUGUAAUGUUGAGGAAAGAGAUUCGGAUGAAAGAGGUACGACGGGAUAUUCCUCCCCGGUUCGGAACUAAACGUUGAGCGGCGGAUCAAGUAAAAGCUGGCAAUCCUCCACCUAACAACUCCUCCUUUACAGUAUCAGCUGUUAAUAAGCUCUAAUAGACAACCAACCCCAUCUAUUCUUGAUAAACCGGGGCACCUUUCCUAUGUGUCAGUGCCAUUUUUCUCUAAGGCUUAAAGUGAAUCUGUCAUAGCUUGUUGCCAGCAGAGCUGGCCCACGGCUUCCGAAAAGGUUUGAGGUUCCCGCAUGAACACUGGCAAGAAAGGCACGAUCUUUGGGAGAAAACGAGUUAUAGGAUCCAUAGGAUUUUUCAUGCGAGAAGACCUACGUACCUCAGUAGAGGGUAGAUAGGAUCUGGAGACAAGGAAGAUGAUGUAGAGGUAGUAGGUUGGCCAGCCUGAUCCAUCUCAGAUGCCUUGCACUUUUUUAGCGCCUAGUGUAAACCGGAGUGGCAGGUCGGCUAGAAGGAGACGGCUCCUCAGUGGGACCAGAUGAAGAAAGCUCCCCUUACUAGUAAAGGGGGUCCGAGGUUCAGGAUAUGAAAUAAAGCAACUUGACGUAACAGAAAAAAGCGUAAACCGAGUUGAAUCAUAAAAUCAAGUUUCAUCCCCAACUGAGGAAAUGUAAUUGUUAAGGUCGGUAACCUGUGGCUACCUCAGGACUAUCUGACUACACUACUUGCGUUAAGGCGCUGAAGCCGGAGUUUUCUUGGUAGGGGUUAGCUUAUUCCCAGACGAACCAGCCCAGUAAGAGAGAUUCCCCCAGACACCAAUACCUGCGGGAACUAGUAGCCACACUACGGCGUAUGAGAAAUUCCCUGACGGCUUCCCUUAACCGUAGGCCACAGUUGCUUCCUUCGCUCUUGAAUCUAAAACCAUAUCUGGUUUCGCCUCCCCUUGGAGCGACCCUUCCGAAACAGCAUUCUAGCAACUUCGUUUUCAUCCAGCGUUCUCACCAACCAGUGAGCCGUCACAGAGUCUCCCGCUAACUCAUGCCAAACCCUUAUGAAGGUAUCCGACUUUUUCCAAUUCUUUGUGACUUCAUCAGUCUAGCAAUAGCAGCAUGCCAGUAUUUUGCCCUAACUACGAAGCUUGAGUCAUGUCUUCGCCCGUGAACGCAACAGGACGCGGUCGUCUAACUCGACUUCCGCAGCGAGUCUCAUUGCAGCUCUCUCCUGCAGUAGUGAAUUUUUUUUUAUUUUACUUCAAAGAUUUUUUUUCUCACAAGAUGCUUGUUUUGCAGAGGGGUGAAAGUUUUGAAGAAAUAGAAGAAGAAAGAAAGAGUAGUAGCCAUGAUCGAUUUCCUCUGCGCAGGAGCUUGGGAUUUGAGAGUAAGCAUGACUCUGAGAAGAUCUCUGAUUGUGAUCAAUUGGGUCUCACUCAAAUCUUGGUAAUAACGAAUGACUUGCUUGAUUUCUCUGCAUCGGCUCGUGAAAUCUUGGAUGAUCUUAUCAAGUUCAAUUGAACUAAGAAUGUCGAUUGCUCUGUCGUAAUAGUUUGUGGUCACUCCAAAGCUUCCAUGGCGGAAUCAGUACCCCCCUCCACUGAACUACGGAUGCCUGUACGCAACCCCAUGAAGCAACCGAAGAUCCAUUGAUCGCUUUUUCGACACCCGUAAUUUUCCUGUAAAAGAAAGAAAAUCCCGGAAACUCAGAUUCUUCAUUGUUGAAAAAUCUUAUAAAAAUAAGUAAUUUAGGAAUUUUCAUUACUGGGAACACGUCGCUAGCCUAAGGCGGGCUUCGCUAUCCUCCCGAAGCUGGUAUUUUCCAAUGUAAUGGUUUUUGACCACUCACUUAUAUGAGUACAAGGGGCUUGACUAUAUUUUUUUUACUUUAUGUAAUUAAGUUUAGCUGGAGGGUCCAUCUAGCCACCCUAAUUAACCCGGUUGAGGAUAACACAUUAUUAAAUCCGAAUGAUGAUUUCAUAAUCAAUCAUAGAGGUGUGAAAUGGCGUCUUUUCAGAAGUCAGAUAGCCCUUGAAGGUGUUAGCGCACACCCUUUUUCUAUCAUAUAAAUUUAGCUCCGAAGGCAACCCGUCGCGUCCUCGUCACGGCGUUAGCAGCCAUUGACGAUUAUUGAAGACUAAGCUAGUUGGCCUAGAAUGGAGCGCAUACUACUUCUUUGAAAUCGCGAACAUCUUACUCUUACCUUUCUUCUUAGUCUGAUCCGGGAGUGUUGGACAUGAGGUACAAUGAAAUCGACAAUCUUGUGGUUCCUCAAGGUAAACAAUUAAAAUAUUAUUCAAUUACAUUAUUUUAAUUCAUUUGAUUAGGGAAGGCCAAAAAGGUCCAAAAUAAUAAUAAUAAUAAUAAAGAAACAAAUAAUUUGUAUUAUUUAAAAAACAGAAUGUAAUAAAGAUUUGAUUCCAGUUCUUUAAUCUUUAAAGCGAUUGAAAAACAAUGUUGGACUUUUCCCAAAGCAUAAAAUACGAAUUGAAUGCCAAUUAACUUAAUCAUUCAUUUCGUUUAGCUCUAAAUUUAGACAAUGAAUUUUUAUAUUAUUUCAAAAACAGGACGUAAUAGAAUUUUUUUUAAAAACAGAUUGUAAUAAAGAUUUUAUUCCAAUUCUUUAAUCUUUACUGCGAUUGAAAAACGAUACUACUUCCCAAAGCAUAAAAUACGAAUUGACUCCCAAUUAAAUUAAUCAUUUAUUUUGUUUAGGUCUAAAUUUUAGAGGAAUGAAUUUUGAUUCUCUUCAAUCUUUUCUUAAUUAUUAUUAAUAAACAGGUUACAGAGGUUUGAGGAAGCUGAAAAGCCUUGAUCUAUCGGGAGUUGAAAUUAGAGAUGGAAGCAAGUUGUUACAGUCAAUGGGAUCAUUCCCAUCCCUCAACACUCUUUACCUGAAGGAUAAUAAUUUUACCGAUAUAGCGACAACUACUACUCAAGGUAAGUAAAAGGUACAGAUGUGGCCAAAUUUAUAAAUAAAUUGUUAAUUAAUUAAUUUUUCCAUAUUAUUAAUUAAGCUAAAUUUGCUAAAUAUAAACAAACAGAGUUGGACAAUUUCACCAACAUGGAAUAUUUGAGAUUGGACUUUUCCUCUCUCCAUAUAAGCCUUCUGCAAAGCAUUGCAUCAUUAUUCCCUUCGUUAAAAAAUCUGUCGAUGUCUUUCUGUGAAGUCAAUGGUGUCGUACGCGGUCAAGGUAAAAGAAAAGUGUUGAUUGUGAACUCACUCACUGGUGUCCUAUGUGUUCAACAUUUUUAUUUAUUUAUUUUAUUGUUUAAUGUUUCUGCUAGGUUUUCCUUAUUUCAAGAGUUUGGAACAUUUUGACAUGGAUGACACGCCCAUUGCACUCAACACCAGUUUUCUUCAAAUCAUUGGUGUAUCGAUGCCUUCUCUUAAGUACUUAUCACUGUCAGAUUCUACUCUUGGCACUAACAGCAGCAGGAUUCUUGAUCAAGGUUAAUCAGAUGCUCCCACCCUCCCUUCUUAAUCUAUAAUAUUAAUUUUCAAUUAAAUAUUUAAUUACACAAACGAAUCACUUAUUAUAAAAGAAUAAUACUCAUUCAUUAAUUUUUAUAUUGUAUUAAUAAUUGAUGAAUUUAAUAAAUUUUUAGGCCUCUGUUCGUUGAUGCAUCUGCAAGAGUUGUACAUUUAUAAUAAUGAUUUGAGAGGCAGCUUGCCUUGGUGCUUGGCAAAUAUGACAUCCCUCCGAAUAUUAGAUGUUUCUUCCAAUCAACUUACUGGAAGCAUCUCCUCAUCUCCCCUCGUUCAUUUGACAUCCAUUGAAGAGUUGUAUCUUUCAAACAAUCACUUCCAGAUCCCAAUUUCACUUGAACCACUUUUCAAUCAUUCAAGACUCAAGAUUUUUUAUGCUGACAACAACGAACUAAAUGCAGAAAUAACUCAGUCACAUUCUUUGACCGCCCCAAACUUCCAAUUAUCACAUCUCUCAUUGUCUUCCGGUUAUGAAGAUGGCGUCACAUUCCCCAAAUUCCUUGACCAUCAACAUGACCUGGAGUAUGUUGAUCUCUCACACAUAAAGAUGAAUGGAGAAUUUCCAACUUGGUUGUUGGAAAACAACACAAAGUUGAGACAACUUUCUCUCGUCAAUGAUUCUCUUGCAGGACCUUUUCGGUUGCCAAUUCAUUCACACAAAUGGUUAAGAAUGUUGGAUAUAUCCAACAACAACUUCCGAGGCCACAUUCCAGUAGAAAUUGGAGAUGUUUUACCAAGUUUAUACGUUUUCAACAAUUCCAUGAAUGCUUUAGAUGGUAGCAUUCCCUCUUCAUUUGGUAAUAUGAAAUUCCUCCAAAUUCUGGACUUAUCCAACAAUCACUUGACUGGUGAAAUCCCCGAGCACUUGGCCGUCGGUUGCGUCAACUUGAAGUCUAUUGCAUUGUCAAAUAACAACCUACAAGGUCACAUGUUCUCUAGAAAUUUUAACUUGACAAACUUGAAAUGGUUACAAUUGGAGGGCAAUCGCUUCGUAGGUGAGAUCCCACAAAGUUUGUCUAAAUGCUCCUCACUAGAAGGAUUGUAUCUUAAUAAUAAUAGUCUUUCGGGUAAGAUUCCACGAUGGUUGGGUAAUCUCACAUGGUUACAACAUAUUAUAAUGCCCAAUAAUCAUCUUGAAGGCCCUAUUCCAGUGGAGUUUUGUCAGCUUGAUUGGCUUCAGAUUUUGGACAUUUCAGACAACAACAUAUCUGGAAGUUUACCAUCUUGUUUCCAUCCUCUCUAUAUCAAACAAGUUCAUCUUUCAAAAAAUAUGUUACAUGGACAGCUAAAAAGAGGUACAUUCUUUAAUUGCUCUUCCCUUGUGACAUUAGAUCUUAGCUAUAACCGCUUGAAUGGCAGCAUUCCAGAUUGGGUUGAUGGGCUUUCUCAGUUAAGCCACCUUAUCUUAGGUCACAAUAAUCUUAAAGGUGAAGUGCCAGUUCAAUUGUGCGAAUUGAACCAACUACAAUUGUUAGAUCUUUCUAAUAAUAAUCUUCACGGUCCUAUUCCUCCUUGCUUUGAUAACACCACACUUCAUGAAAGUUACAGCAAUAGUUCUAGUCUUGAUGAGCAAUUUGAAAUAUCUUUUUCCAUCAACGGCCCUCAGGGAGGUGUAGAAAAGCAAAUCCGUGAAAAUUUUGAGUUCACAACAAAGAACAUUGCGUACAUUUACCAAGGAAAAGUGCUUAGUCUCCUAUCAGGACUUGAUCUUUCUUGCAACAAGCUAAUUGGUCAUAUUCCCCCUCAAAUUGGAAAUUUGACAAGGAUUCAAACAUUGAAUCUAUCACACAACAACUUGACAGGAUUGAUCCCAUCAACAUUUUCAAACUUGAAGCAAAUCGAAAGUUUGGAUCUUUCCUACAACAAAUUGAAUGGGAAAAUCCCUCAUCAACUUGUGGAGUUAAAGGAAUUAGCUGUUUUCAGUGUGGCAUACAAUAACUUAUCAGGCGAAAUUCCAGAAUGGAAAGCACAAUUUGCAACCUUCAACGAGAAUAGUUAUGAGGGAAAUACUUUUCUUUGUGGACUGCCAUUGCCCAUUUGCAGAUCACGAGCAACUAUGUCGGAGGCGUCAAUCGGCAAUGAACGAGAUGAUAAUUUAAUUGACACGGACAGUUUCUUUAUCACAUUUACAACAUCGUACGUAAUAGUGAUAUUUGGAAUUGUUAUUGUUUUAUAUGUAAAUUCUUAUUGGCGACGUAGAUGGUUUUACUUUGUUGAAAUGUGGAUAACUUCAUGUUAUUAUUUUGUUGUAGACAAUCUUAUUCCAACAAGAUUUUGUCAUUGAAAUUAAUUAGUAGCUUAAUUACGAUUCUUUAAGUACUAAUCAAGUUUGGUUAGGAAAUAAAUUUAUUUUUAUUUUUUAUUAAAAUUGUAGUAGUAUUUAGCGUUAUAUAGCUUCCAACUUCCAAGCACUUCACAUUUGUCUCCACACUUCCAAACCCAUAUCUAUCCACCAUAACUUAUACUUCCCUAUACUGUGCAGCAUACUUAAAUAAGAGAACCAUCUCCAAUUUUAAAAGCAGCCACUCUAUAACAUUCAUUUAGAAACUAUAUUCAGAAUAGUUUUAUAAUCAUACACAAGAAAUGAAACACCUAGAUGCACUUGAUCGCCUAUUUUACUUUAAAAAAUAAUGAUUAUGGUGCUAUCAUCAUCUUCUUCGCUAGCAACAUUAACACCAAAUCCAGCGAUGGACCCAGACAUUUUAUCAAGAAAGGUAUAUAUAUAAUAAAGUUGAAGCUUGACAAAAAAUUUAGGAAGAUUAAUGCCUCGCCACAACAAGGGGCAGCACAACAUCAAAGUAGAGAUGAAGCAAUAUUCUCAAAGCUAAAACUCUCAAAUCCACCCACCAGAAUUUCAUAUCUCCUCAACAAUUUUAAGAACUAAAGAUAAUUAGGAUCUAACAUUAGUUUUUUAUAUAUUAGUUUCAUAAUUUACAAAUCAAUGAAGAUGAAGAUUAUGCUAAUGAAUUCAAAUUAUACCAUACAUUCUCGAGAUGUUACCAAAAAUUUCUAAGUCAAUCCCACAUAUUUCAUAAUUUUAAGACUAGAAAAUUUCAUUAGUUAGAAGUUUCAUUACCUUCAAGUGGAAGAUGAAGAACAUUAUACAAUUGAUUCAGAUUAUAUCAUACACACUCCAAAUGCAACUAGAAAUUAACAAGUUCAUGCGCACAGAUUUCAUAACAUUAUGAAUGGAAAGUUUCACAAAGAGAAAUUCUAAAUUCAAUCUCUUGCAUCGAGGUAGUUUGAUUGAUUUGAGUUACUUUCUGAUCAAGCUAUUAAUAUAACAUUCAAGUCAGGGAGAAAGUAAAUUAAAACUGGGAAGAAAUAACAGUAAAAAUUUGUUGCUAAACAUGAUGUGUAUUUUUUUUUUAAGGCAAUUUGGAAACACAGUUGUUACUACAGAUAUUCUCCUCAACUUAGAGAUAAAUACAAAUAUUAAAAUGCAUAUGAUCGCACAUAGUACUUGGAGCUUAGUAAGAUUUCAUUAAGAGAAGCAAUCAAACCACUUAUCAAUUGUUGCAAUCGUUCUAUAAGCUAAAAUAGCAAUAUAAUACAAGAAAAAGAACAUAUAGAUACUUGGCAAGAGUUCAUUAAGAAGUCGCAUCACAUUCGGGUGAGGAGUUUGCUUCUGAUAUCUUGCUAGCUGGGGCUUUUUCUUGUCUUUCUACGUAUGCCGAGGGAAACCAACCAGCUUGGCCCUUGCAUUCACCUUCCGACCAUCCAAUAGGAGCCACCUUGAGAAGUUAUAACUAAAACGGUGAAUUAAACAAAAGUUGACCGUUCAAAGACCUAAGGGGAAAACUAAUUCUUUUACGUAGGAGGAGUGAAUUAGUUGUGAUCACUGAAAUAACAGCUUAACUAUGGAAGCAUAACAAGAUAUAAAUUCACACGUCUAUAAGGGUAAACUGGGUGGUUUAGAACUGAGCUAGCAACCCUACUAUAUUCUGAUUUGCACUUCAAUGUAAAAGGGAAUAUAUGGUAGGAAGAAAGAAAACCAACCAUCAUUUGUUAACUCAUUGCUUUUCAAUCAAAAUUUUAAGAACCAAAUGCCAUGUGCUUUGAACAUCAAAUAAGUAUAAGCAUUAGUUCUAAAUUCCACAUAUCAUAAGUUAGAAGGAUAAGUUAAUAGCAUAGUAGAAAAAUCUGUGUUGUUAUUUAGAGGGGAAAGUACCUGGCGAACCACAACAUAAUCAUCAAUUGAAAGACUUAGCUCUCCAUUUGCUUGUGCAUCAAAUGGAUGCAUAACCUGCAAGAUAAUGGGAUAAAUAGAACUUAAUCUUAAAAAAAGCAUAACAAAAGCAGCAACAGUACCAGCAACGUUCAUUGUAACCACUAUGAUCAUGGCCAACAAAGAUAUAUUAGAAACAAAAUUCCAUUUUUACUAUGAUAUCAUGACGAUUGGGUUACCAAGAGCUAUCAAAGUCCAAUAAGUUCUGUAUAACUUUAUGUAGUUAUUCAAAUUAUGUAUCAGAUUUUAAAUCUGAAAUUUUGACUGCUCUCCACAAAACAUGGCCUAUGCACAAGAAAUUCAUAGAUAAUGAGGAUUGCAAGUGUCUGACAUCUUUUGAGUGAUGGAUUUAACAUGAGAGCUUAUGGUCAGUCAAUUUCCUCUGCCUAGCAAUAUAAGCUUUCUCGGCCAAAUUUAUCAUCAAAUACAUAGAUUGCCCCAAGUCAAAUCCAUAUAAACAUAGUUUUUCUAGGUAAACCAAGCAAGGAGAAUCAUAAUUCAGACAUAAUCAUAAAAAGGCCCAUCUAACUUAAGAGAAAAUCUCAAAAAGAGGGAUGUUGAGCUAUCAGUCUUGUAUCCAUAAGGAAUGUCAAGACUUUACAUCACCUGCUACAUCGUGAGUGGCUACACAACUUUCAGUGGUUUGUCUUUCUUUGGCAUGCCUAACUCAGCUUUGAUGUUGCUGAGAUAUUGAUAGUAGAGACACAUGAGACUUCUAGCUCAUGCAUUCUAUCUAGCUCAUCCGACAGCUAUCUCUUUUUUAAUUCAUUAGUGUUUGCUAAGCCACAUGCUUAAAAGUCCUGUUGUUCUAAACAAAGUUUCCUAAGAAUGACUUCCUCAGCACCACAUUUGGACAUUUUUAGAGCAAUUUUAUUUGGGGGAAAAGAAUUUUCAAGGUGUUAACUAAUAAAUUUUAAAAAAUAAUUACAAUUUGUCCUACGAUUAUAUGACAAUUUAUCUGGGAUGAAAGGAUAUAGACAGACAUCUUCCACUUUCAAGACUAAUCACUACUUCCGUAGAUGUUUUGCAAUAAUACAAAUACUUGACCAGAUGGUAGUGAUGGUAGAAAAAAAUUUUAUUGCUCCAAAAUUAAAAUAAGAAUGCAAUGUGUUAAGCAAAAGACUAUGCAACAUCAAAUUAAUUGAUAAGUUUGUAAUUCAGUAAAUUAACAACUUUCAUGGUAAAAUACAACAAAUUUCUUUUCAAAAAAAAAAAAUCUUAAAAGACAGCAUUCAAUUUUGUGCGCAUCUUAUUUCUUAAGAUUUUCUAGGAGGGCAAUAGAGGGACUUUCACCUAUGCAAGAGAGCAGAAGCCUUACUUUCGCUAUAAAGUAGACGUCAUUCUGAUUAAUAUGCGUUUGCAAAUCAGCUCCAUUUGAAUCAGUAUUCUGAUAGACACAUGAGGCAUUUACAUCCAUUUCCAAAGUCACAUGUUGCGAGGAGGACUCAUUUGAUUGCUCCUCUAGGAUCAUCUAAUUCAAGUAGCAAGGGUUGGAAGAGAAUAAAAAGUCACAAUUAUUCUUUUGCAUAAGUGAGACGAAAAUGAUAUAUGCAAUAUUAUCAGCAGUAAACAAGAAGAGAACACUCCAAGGAAUAGAUAGAUGCGGACAAGCAAGUUAAAAUGCACAGUUCCAAACCUCCGCAUACAACUUCUCUGAAAUAGCAAUAACGUGUUGAUGAUAUGUUUUCUCGGCAUCUACCUGCAAAGGCCCGAGACCAGGAAAACAACAAUAAAACCACUAGCUAAAGGAGAAAGUAAAGAAAGAAAUACACUUGACAUAAAUCUUGACAAGAAGCACAAUUUAAGACAUAACAAACCCCAAUCAUAUUGUUUAGAACUACCAUUCGUUAUUUCGUUAUUGUAGCAUUUCGAACAAGUGUUGACUUAAUUCAACAUUGUUGGAAAGAUAGGCUUUUAGAAGCGGAAGAAAGCCACUCAAACCAAAGUGAUUCUUAGGAUGAGUUUUAAUCACUCCCCUGAUUUAUUUGGGUUGCAGUAAAACUAAGCGAGCAACUGUUUGACUUUCAAGCAACAUCUAAAUCAGCUAUUAAAAUUCAAAUAAAAUUAUAAUUGAAUAAUAACUGGCCAUCUUGCAUCAAAAAUUAAGUUUAAUUUGUGAUUUUUUUUCUAUAGACAUGUUAGUUCCUGCUAUUGAAAUGUUAAAAGCAUUGAAAAAUUAUUCAAUAAAUUAUGCAAACAUUAAAAUAGAGGACAUAUUAAAAAGUUUCUAAUUACAAUGUUAAGAUUUCCUAUAUUUUAGCAUUUGCAUAUUUUAAUUUAUUUAAAAGCUACGUCGAUCAACUUUGGGAGUGAAGAUUUUAGCUUCUACGAGACUUGAUUGGAAUAUGCAUAAGGAAGAGUGUUAAAAUAUGAUGCAUCCAACGAAAGACAAACCACGUGUAGUCUUUUAAUUAAGCCAAAGUAGCAGCUCAAACAAAUGACACUUGGACCAACAUGCAAUCAUGAAGUGGCCGGAAAAAGGACAAAUGCAACUUUGGCUUAAAUAAAAAAUAACAUGUGACUUGACUUUUGCCGGACAUGCAUCAUGUUAUUACAAGACAACAGAAAUCAGUAUGAUAGUACUAAAAGUUGACAAUAACAUGAAGAUAAGAGGCAGAAUGUCAACACAUGCAUAGGCACACACAAGAAAGUAUUAACUUAUAUACCAUAGCAAAAAGUCUUUGAUAUGCAUCUGUUGCUGCAGUGAUUCAACUGACAGCAUGGCAGCUGUUCCUUCUCUACCAAGAGCCAUUAUUGUAGAUUUAAGCUCGGUCAAUCUUGCUUCUGCAUUUCGAAGCUUCACAGCACUCUCUGCUGAUAUAUCAGAUUCCUUAAUCUUUGAUCGGCGCCUAAAUACUUCAGCUGCCUGGUGAAAAUAUUCAAUAUAAAUCUAACAUAAUUCUAAUCUUGCCUUAUACAUGCAUAUGUUAACUCAAAGCUUACCUGGGCUUCAACUUCAUGUCGAAGCUUGUCAUAACGAUGAGUCAGGUGUCGAGCAUCUUCCAAAGGUGCUCCGUUGAUUAACGCCCGUAGUGGCUCAGAUACCUACAUGUCCAAAAACCUGUAACAUAGUUAGAAAAAUGAAAAGAAAGAGCGAAACCUCAAUUAAAAAGUUCCUCCAACAUAAUCAUGGAAUUUGGGCCUACUUCAAGGAUAUAUAUAAGGAUAAUUUAUGCAAUUUUGGGUCUUAGGAUGAUUCAUAUUAGGUUAGUGUUCUUCUCUUCUGUAUUUAAGGUUAAAAUAGAAAUAAACCUAUGAAAAUAUCUAAAUUAGGGCUGUAAGACUUCCACAUGCAUCCUUCAGUCUCAUGGAUUUGAUUUUACUAUAGAUGCAAGUGUCUUUAUUGAAAAUGCUUGGAGUCAAUUGAGAGAACUCACGGCCAAUAACUUGUCACACGCUAGUCUUUGCUAGUGAUGUAAGAAGUCACAAGGUCUCUUCAGCAUUUGAACCAAUAAAAUUAUUAAGUCAUGGAUGUCACUAGCAAUGAUUUUAAUAUAAAACAUUAAAUAUUUCAGAGUUGUAACUUUAAAAUGGAUUCUUUUAUUCAAUAUCUUAGAACUAAGUUUCCUUAUGAGAAGAUAAUAGUUUCAGUAGUAAUUUACAUAUAAUUUUCUAUAUUUGAAUUAUUUUCUAGUUAGGGAUGAACUAACCUGAUCACGAAGAAUCCCAAGCAAAGUUUCCCUCUCAUUUUCCAUCAAAUCAUGUGAAGUGCCAAAUUGAAGAGCAGCUCUUGCAACGCAAGAAUUGUCACUUUGAUUCUCCGCUCCAUACUUGCAACAAUCUUCGGCCAACUUUCUCGCUACAAUAUUUGAAUACAAAAAUAUUGUACACAAGAACUAGUCAAGAAAAUUAAAAAAAAAAUCAAAUAUUAAAACGAGAGCAAGAGCAAACAAACAACCUAUUUCCAUUUGUUUCAAGUUUACUGCAACAAACACUUCAACGCCACGGACAACAUUCCAUUUGUUUUAUUCUUCUUAUACUUUACGCUUGCAUCAGCCUCAAUCACUUCUUAAUCGCUUGCUUUAACUGCAUCGCUCUCUCUGUGCUCUUCUAUAUAUGUAACGGUUAUGCGGUUGUAGUUCACGGCUGAGGCUACGUGUGGGUUUGACGUGGCAGUUACGUUACAAGGGGAUAAAUAAGAUUGGUUACAACAAACCCACUAAUUUUAUAAAAUUCGAGUAAUAUAGAAUAAAAUAAAAAAAUAAAUACAAAAUUGGCUUUUAUUUUGUAUGGUUGACUGUAUUUUGUGUUCUCUUCCGGCACUACUACAAUUGUUCCCUAUAUAUUAGUCACACCCAUAUAUCAUUAACACAAGAAAUGAAAUCUAAUGUCACCUACUUAGUUAAAGAAUCACUCAUGAAAAAUUUUUACCAUUUUGAUUUGAGGAUCCAUAUUUUGAACUGCAAGCUAAUGUUCAUCAAGAAUCACUGAUGUUCAUAAAAAUCAGAGUAUGGCCGUUGAGUAGAAAAAUUAUUUUUGGACAAAUUAUUUUUGUUGAUAGAAUCUGCCACUUUCUCAUGAAGAAAGGCAUGCGGAGCAUACCAUGGUACCAUACGGAGAAUGUUAGAACCACCCUAGAAUAUCUUUACCCUGAUGUUUCUAACAAAAAUCUGCAUGUGGCAGCAAUUACUAGAUCUACAAUUUCCCAAAUAAUAUUUUGUGUUUCUUAAAAAAAAUUGAAAUACAUAGUUGCAAUUGCACACCGUGAGACAGUGCUACAAUCUACUGAGAUCUAAAUUAUAUGAGACUUUAAGCUACUAAUGUUUGCAUAUUUCUACAUGUCAAAUUAACAUUACCAUCUAUAAUCCGAAACGACAGAUGAUAAACGGCUUUUGGCCACUUAUUACUAGCAUCCACAAUUAAUUUUUGUUCAGCAAUCAGCUUAUUUUAUAGAAAUUGAUUUAGUCAGCAACAAACACUAUAAUACUUGAAAUUAGUUCUUGUUCUUUGUAAUUUUCUAUGAUUUUUCAUAUAUCAAUUAAUCUGCAGUGCCAAGAUGAGGUUUAGUUUUCAAACUAAAUAAUCAAGUAAGCAAAAAUACAAAUUCAGAGAUUAGCGGGGUAAACUAGCUGGGUGGUUUAGAACUGGGCUAGCUACCUCCCUGUAUUCCUAUUUGUAAGGUGAAUUAAUUGAAUCAUGAGAAAACAAUGUGACCAUAGCUCAAUAUGAGAUGAUUUCGGAGAGGCAUAUUGUUUUCGAGUGAAUUUGAUCCAUUAAGAGAUGAAGUGGAUUGAAGUGGAAAGUUUAAAUAACAAAUCCUUGUUCUUGAGUUUUACGACGUCGUUACUCCUUCAGGUGGCAGAUUAUGCAAGUGAAUUCAAAAACACAAUGCAUCAAUCACGGGGACAAAAGACGGGAUCACAGUCUAUGCAUUGAACAGUUACAGUUGCUGCUACCAAUUGUUCGGCAAAGAUCAAGAAGACUGAACGGGAAGCUAAUGCCAUCAAUGUCGUCUUCACUAUAUCUGCUGGGAAUGUAGGUGAACUUUCCUCAUUUGCAGCUGUCUAUACAUAGGCUUUUCCCCAGCUUAAGUACAAAUAAAUGAAGCUGCCUUGAAGGCUUUAUUAUUGACCCCAAUAAGGAUUACUAAUUGAAGAAGACUAUACGGAGUUAAUCUCACAUUUUAGUUCUCUCAAUUUCUUUCAGAAGUGCCUCUGAAAAUAGCUGCCAAACCGUUAGUCAGCUUGUAUACUCUGUUUUCUGGAAACAGAGUAGCAUAUUUAAUCGUUUUAAUUGAAUUGUCUUCGUAGCGAUCAUCAACAAACUCAUCAUAAGAUUUUUGAAGCACCCAAGGACUAUCACUGGGUUUCUCUUCUGGUUGAUUUAUUAAUUAAUCAAAGAACGGUUGGAUGAAGUGCAAUGAUGGAGCAAAAUUUACAAUGUCUCCGGUUUCUCCUGACCAUCGGACUUUUGCAGUGAGAACAUAUAACAAAAAGACCUUCAUCAAAAUUUGUAGACUCCGGGUAUGGAUUGGAUCGAGUUUUUUGUUUGAUAUUGAAGAACCACUUUACUAUCGCGAUAUAGAUUAUGUGCAAGGGGUUGUCUACUGUUCUUUGCCUUGUGCUAUGAUCGGUGCUUUUGACGUUGCCCCGAAACAGUGGAAAAUACUUCGAUUUCCUCCGUUUGAUGAUGCAAAGAACUGGUUAAUGUACGAUUACCUAAUUGACUCAGGAUCAAGUAACAACAACAAUUUAUUAAUAGUAGUAUCACAAACGAAGAAGAUUUCGGAGAGGGUGAUGUAUGCCUAUACCGUUUACAGGUUUGAUCCACAGGGGAUGAAGUGGUCUCAAGUGGAAAGUGAUUUAUUAAACAACAAAUCAUUGUUCUUGGGUCAUACCUCAUGAUGUCAUCAAGUGGAAGAUGAAGAUUAUGCAAGACGAAGAUCGUUUGAUAUUGAAGAAUUUGAACAGAAAGCCCAUAGAAAGUACUUAAAUAAGCAUAUUCUUGUUGGGGUAGAAUAUUAAGAAAGGAGUUGUCUACUGUGUGUUGCGUGAUUAGGCUAUGAUCUGUGCUUUGAACAUUGCCCUCAAAACAGUGGAAAAUACUUCAUAUCCUCGACAUGAUGAUGAAAAAUUGGUUACCGAUUACCUAAUUGACUCAGUGACAACAAUCUAUUAAUAGCACAAUUUGGCGUGAUGCCGUUUAGGUAUAUGGUUUUCAAGUUUGAUUCAUCAGUGAUGAAGUGGACUAAAAUAAGAUGUUUAAAUGAUAAGUCAUUGUUCUUGGGCAUAUCGUCAUUACUACUUCUAGUGAUCAAAGAUGAAGAUGAAGAUGAAGAUGAAGAUGAAAAUUGUGCGAGUUCAAGAUUACCAUCAACUCAAUUUUAUGAUUGGAGUGUCUCACCGUGACUCAGACAAAUUCUGAUUCAACCUCCUUCACCAAUGGAUUUUGAUUAGUUAUUUUGUGAUCAAGCAACUUAAUUAAACUCACAGUUUGUUAGUCUAAUUUUAGUUUUACUGUGACCACUAUUCAAGGUAAGCGAAAGUUACAGAUGUGGCAAAAUCAAUAAUUAAAUUCAUAAAAUGUUAAAAAAUAAAACUUAUAAAUUUUGCAUGACUACUUACUAAUAAAUAAAUAAGUUAGAAUGUAGUUAGUUAAUUUUACACCAUAUUAUAUAUUAUUCGAUAAUAAUAUAAAAUAAAAAGAAUUAAAAAAUAAAUAAUUGAAUAAACAAAUAUGACUUUCUAAACAGUAAAAAUUCUAGAGUUAAAAUUUAUAUUAUUAUUUUAUUUUUUAAAAUUGACAUAUUUCUAUUAUCUUACAUGUACACAGAUUUUGAGAGUUGAGAAGAAUAUAUUUAAUGAAGCUUGCUAACAUUUGGUGGGAUAGCAAGUAAGGGUAAAUAAGAUUUUUUUGUUAUUUAUUUGAAUUAUAUCUAUUUUGUUCAAGUUAAAAUACUAAAUAUAAAUUGGAGGUAGACAUUUUAACAGAUCAUCUAAGCUCUCAAAUCUGAAAUUUUGUGUAGAUUUAAAUUCAUAAUUUUAGUUAAUUUUCAUACAUUCAUAUAAACAAAUUUAUGAGAUUUUUCUUUUCAGCAUGUUAUAUUUUGAAACUUUCAAUGUAUUAUUCUAGCUUUAUUUAAAUAAUUAAUUUAUUUAAAAUUUAUUUAAUUUUGAAUUUGAUCAAUAGUAAAAUUAUUUUUAUAUCAAAUUUUUUUAUUUAAAUAGUUCGUGGAUUGGACAAAAUUAAAAAUUUUUAAUCCACAAAAUGGUGGAUUAGAUAUGAAUUGGGUUAAAUACACAUUCGAUCCGCAGUCGUAUGAAUUUGAUUUGGAUUGAAUUUCAUCAAUCCAUGGAUUAGAUUGGAUUGAAAAAUUUAUUAUCCGCAAAAUCGUGGAUCGAAUAUGGACUGAUGUCCAAUCAGCAAAAUCCAAUCCCCGAACACUCCUCUAUCAAAAUUUUCAAGAAUAUUUUUUAUCUUACAAAUUUUUUUUAAAGUCAUAGUCUAAGGGCGGCCCAAUUUCUACUCCAUCCAUAUAAGCGGAGUUCAAAUCUCAUACCUCUUAUCUCCACACAAGAGAUUUAACCAAUUGAAAUAGCUAGCACCCACAAGUAUACUAGUACAGCAUCUCUUAACGUUUAACAUACGUAAAAUUAACGCCAUAGCUAUUGAUAAACACAUUGUUCAAUAUAUAUGAUCAAGAAUCUGAUCCUGCGAGCAACAGCAGUCAGAAGAACCAUUAUAAUGCCUAGCUCUUAUCCUGGUUAAUCCUCUGGCCCGAUGCUUCAUCAUAGUGAUUUAAAAAACCAACAACAGCUCUCUAAAAGAGAUGAAGAUAUCAUCUACGUAAAGAACAUGAGACGGAGAUUCACAACCCAUAAGAACUGAGAUAAAUUGGACCAGACCAGUAAUCUUGAGAUAAGUUAAACUGUGACUUAAGUUGAAAUCAGAGGACAGGAAUUUUAAAAUCUUUCGGCUAAGCCCCUGAGGAAUUUUCUAGAGUACGACUUCUGCUUACCUCUGUUUAAUUUCUCUUUAUAUUUUUCUUUCAUUUCAUUAAUAAAGUCAAAUAAUAAAUCAAAGAACGAGGGAAGAUUUUUCCAAGUCAUGCAUUAUUUGAUUACCAUCAAUCAAGAAACCGACCAAAUUAAUUUCUCUCCGUGAUUUUUAAAAAUUAAAAAAAAAAUAUUUGAGCAUAACAUCAUUAAUUAUAGAGUGGAUCAAACUGCGUUAAUCAUGAACUUUGUUGUGUUAAUUAUUUCAAUCCCCGAUUACGCAAUUUUUAAAUUAUAGCCUAACGGUGGUCUCAUCACCACGUGUGUGAUUUUCUUUUGCCAAUAGGAUCUGUAGAGAGCUUGAUCUCACCCAAUAGCAAAAUAAACUUCCUAAUAAGUGAAGGCAUAGUAUAAAUAAUUCACCCCCAUAUUAUUUAUUAGCAGCUUGAUUAUUUUAUAUGCAUCUUUGAUUUAAAUUUUUUUUUCCCAUAAUUGCUACUAUGUUCGAACUGGUCAUGAAUUAUCUAUAAGAUUUUUCAUGUUGCUUUUAGGUGCAUUGGAUUUUUUUUAGUUUAGUGCAAGAGUAGAGGAAGGCAAAUUAAGAAAAAGGAUAAAGAUCUAUGAUUAGCUAUUUUGGGAUGUCUCAUAACAUAUUGAUGGUAACAUUAUACAUAUGUAUAUCUAAAUAAUGGGGUUGGAUCAAGAGCCCAUUAAUAAUCAUAGAUUAGCUUAUAUAGCAAUUUCACAAGCACAUGUUAGCCUAUGUUGAGCUUUAUUAUCAAUAGUUCAUAGUUCAUCGGUGCACUGCAGGUUUACUAUUUGAAGUAAAUGUUAUGGUGCGUGCAUUUUUCAUAAGGCCAACCGCUGAAUUUAGCAUUGAAACUUACAAAAUGUAAUAGAGAGAGGUAGAUAACAGCCACAAAACACUAAGAUUGGAAAUCAGGGCUACUAAAUACUAUUACAAGCCCUUAGAAAAGACACUGAUCAUCCUGGAAUAUAUAUACUGAAAGUAAGAAAUAUUAAUCGCAAAGUUAUGUGCCAACAAAACUAUUGACCACUUGUCCCUAGCAGAAGGUAUAUAUUUUUAACUUCAGCUCUCUACUUUGUUCUAAGAACUAGGCAAAAGAAUGAAACUUCACUGUCUAAAGUUUGCCGCUUGGAAUAUUUCACUGUCUAAACAUUCACUCACCACUAAUUUCACAAAUGAAUUUUGUCUAACUAUAUGUUGAUAACGAUAUUAGAGGUAAUAUAAUGCAUUUAAGGCUUAACAUAUAUUUUUUAUUAGUAGAGUGUAGAAUUUUUAAGAAAUAAAUUAUUAAAUUACUAUAACUAACAUAUUAUUUUAAAGUUAUGUUAAGAAAAGAAUGAAACAAAAAAAAAAAAAAAAAUAAGGGUAUUCUAAAACUUUGAUCCUUUUAAAAGUAGUUUUUGACGUAAAUAAAAUAAUUUUUAUUUUUUUAAAUCACAUACUCUAGUUAAAAUCAAAUUUGUAUUUAUAAAGCUUGUAAAUUUUUUUUAGCAUUAAUAUUUGAAUACUUUCAAGAUAAGAAAUAGGGUACUAAUUAUGCUACAACAUUAUUAUAGCAUAUAAAAAGACAAUACCCUUUAUAUUAUUAUACUAUCGUUUUUGUUAUGAUAGUAUUUUGUUAGUGGUCAAAUAUUACUUUUUUAAGUAAAAAAGUAGACAAAUGUAAAUCAAUUUUUAAUCUCUCCUAAAAUUCUAAUUCCUAGUUACCAAACAAAAUUGUUUGAAAAUAAUUUGGCUAAGUGCAUGGGUUCUUAAAAGUUAAAACUAUAGGUGAUAGAAGUUACUAGCACAAGCAAUUUUGACGGUCCAUUUUAUAAAAAUUUUUAAUAAUUUUUUAUUUACCAUUUUACCACCUAUAUAAAGAGUGCCACAUCGACAUAUCAAUUCAUUUGCAAAUUAUAUUAAUUUUGUAAAAUUCAUUUGACUUGCUAAACCCUUCUUAUCCCCUUUCUCGACUGUCAUACCCUAACCUUAUUAAUCCAACUGGCAAGUGCUCACAAUGACCGACAGCCUCUCCAUCUCCAUUUCAAGCUUCCUCUUCAACUGGCUUCUGCUUCCGUCGUACGCUUCCUUGGAUUCGGAGUCCGUAUUCGCUCGACCGGUCCGGCACAGCUCCCUCUCACUCCAAUUGUCACCCAACAAGACCAAUUGCUUAACAUUGAUCGUAUGGCAAUUGUCCGUAUUUCUUGGAUUCAGAGUCCGUAUGGCACAGAACAAGAAGAGUAUGAGAGAGAGAUUUGGAAAUCGAAACGUACGCAUUGACCGUGCCUUUGAGGGCAAUUACUUUUCUUGAGAAUUGAAGUUUGGUAAUGUAAUUUGUUCUCUAUCUGUGUCCCCUUUGUAGUCAUUUCAUUUAUUUGUUUGUUUGCUUUUAUUUGCACUUACGAAGUCUCAGAUAUAUCUACGCAAGAAUGAUGCAGGAGAAAUUGAUCCUCGAGCUUACAAGAAAAGUAAAUUUCGAAAGCAUAAUUUGGCUCCGAUUGAGGUAAUAAUUGUCUUUAAACUCAUUUAGUUUUAUAUCAAACAAAAUCAAGGCUGCCUUUCUCUUCAAUAUUUUUUAUGAUAAUAUCUUUAGAAGCAUCUCAUUGACGGGUAAUCAUGGUAUCCCUUAAAGAGUCUAUAAACUCAAUGAUAUUUUCUUCUGCAAAUGGUUCAUUAAACUUCUUAGACGUAGUUAAAUGUACACUAAGAACAACGAGAAGCUAUGCCGCUGUAGCAUGUAGUGAGAUCUUGUUUGAAGUUGUUUUCUGAAAUGAACUGCCAAAUGGUAGUUUUUUUUUUCUUGGGUGCAUUUGAUGACUCUUUUCUCCUCAUUUUAAACAUGUACCUGCUUGGAAUGGGAAGGAAUAGGCUUCCGAGUUGUUAUAUAUGUUGACAUGCUCUGGUCAUUACACAAAAUGCUCAAAUUGGAAAUUAGAAUGAGAUAUUUGUCGAUGCUUUUUGAGAGAUCUGCAUUCUAUGCACCAUAACAUGAUUAAUGAAAACAGGUUUAAGGACUGGAAAGAUCUGUGGCGGCCCAAGCUUGCAGGAAGGAUUUCAAUGGUUAAUUCUCCCAGAGAGGUUAUUGGUACAAUUUUGAAGUAUCUGGGAGCAUCAUGCAAUUCAAACGACAUUGAUUAGCAACUUGCUGCUGGGAGGAUUGUUGUCAGCAGAAUCUGGCAUUACUGGGAAACCAGGUACUCUUAAAGAAAUGAUAUCUGGUCAAUGCAUAUUAUUGCCUGACAGCUGAUUUUGUUUGUAAAGUCUGCCUCUUCAUACAUAUGAAUGCAUAUGUUAGUGUUUUCUUCUCCUUUUAAUACACAUGAAUGCAUAUGUUAGUGUUGUCUUCUCCAUUCCAUAAAUAUGAAUGCAUAUGCUCUGGGUGUUGGUUACUACUUCAAGUGGAAGGUGAAGGUGAUGCAAGUGAUUUCAGGAGUACAUAUAUUCCAAGGAUGCCGGACUAUUAUUGCUUCCCCCCAUAUUUCAGAAUUUUUUGUCAACCUCCUCCACUAAGGGAUUCCAAUUGAGUUACAAAUAUAUUUUCUGUAGCUCUGUUUUAAAUUUUUGGUCUCAUGUUAAUUUUUCUAAUUACUAUUCUUCAACAAAUCUCUUUUACUUUAAAAAACUGCUACAGUUUGAUUUUACUGCCUUAUAUCAUUGAACAUUGAUACAUGGAAUUUGAAAUCAGACUUGUAACAACAGAUAAAUAGAUAUAGAACAUGCAUAUAAUCUCCAUUUCGAGCUCCCUCUCCAACUGGCUUCUGCUUCCGUCUUACUCUUUCUCGGAUUCGGAGUCCGUAUUUGCUCAGCCGGUCCUGCCCAGCUCCCUUUCACUCCAAUUGUCACCCAACAAGACCAAUUGCUUAAUCAAGGCACAGAACAAGAAGAGGAUGAGAAGUUGAAACAAGAAUUUGAGAAUUGGAAAUCGAAAAUGUAUGCAUUGACUGUGCCUCUAAGGGUUGUUUCUCUUCAGAAUUCAAUGCCUCAAUCUUGGGUUAAGGAUUUUAUGCGAAGUCAAGGAAAGAGAUUGAAGUUUCAGAUGAAUUUGUGUGCUAGCAUUGGUGGGAUCUUUAACAAUUUAUCUGUGCCCUUUAACAAAGUUAAGGGUAAGUCAGCUUCGUAUACGGCUGCUGAUUUGGUUAGUGUUGGUGAUUCAUGGCUCAGUUUUACAAUUAAAAAGAGAUUGAUUGAGCCAAUAGCUGAAGCUGAAGAUCAAGACUGGUUCAAAUGCUUAUGUCACAAAUGGAAGGUAACAUCAUUAUCUUUGACCCGAUAAUUUUUAUUGUCUUACAUUGAAAUUUGGUAAUGUAAUUUGUUCUCUAUUUGUGUUACCCUUUGUAGUCGUUUUAUUUAUUUGUUUAUUUGCUUUUAUUUGCACUAACGAAAUCUCAGGUAUAUCUAUGCAGGAAUGAUGCAGGAGAAAUUGAUCCUCGAGGUAAAAUAUGGGCGGCACCAUACAGGUGGGGCACAACGGUGAUAGCCUACAAGAAAAGUAAAUUUCGAAAGCAUAAUUUGGCUCCGAUUGAGGUAAUAAUUGUCUUUAAACUCAUUUAGUUUUAUAUCAAACAAAAUCAAGACUGCCUUUCUCUUCAAUAUUUUUGAUGAUAAUAUCUUUAGAAGCAUCUCAUUGACGGGUAACAAUGGUAUCCCUGAAAGUGUCUUUAAACUCAAUGAUAUUAUCUUCUACAAAUGGUUCAUUAAACUUUGUUGUUGUAGUCAAAUGUACACUCAGAGCAAUGAGAAGCUAUGGCACUGUAGCAUGUAGUGAUGGCACUUAAUAAGUGAGUUGCUAGGAUGUGAACUAGAAAAAUUAAAUAUUGUCUCCUUGGGUAUGCUAGCUUGUAAGUCAGGGUUAAUAUUAGAGCUUAAGUUACUAUAACCAUGAGACGCUAUUGACUGCCAAUUAAAAUAUCCAUUAAAUUGUCUAGGAAGUUAUGAAAGUGGAGGUAUCUUCCGAUUUCUAAGGCCAGAUAGUAGACAUCAUCCAGGAUCCUAGGAAAGUGCAGUUAACCUCCUGCUCGAUGCAAUUAAUAAAUUUGGUCAAUGCCACUGAAACCUGCUAACCGACGUCACAAUGCGAGAUGAGCACUUCAAAAUGGGACAGACGGUCAGUAGCACUAAAUUUUUCUUUCCUAAGAUUGAGCAAUUGGUCUAACUACUAACCCCUAUUGUAGGUUGAUCAUUAUUUUUCCAAUUAUGUUCAGUUUGACCCAAAAAGUUACAGAAUCUUGAGCUGAAUAUUGUCACUGAACACUGUCAAUGUCAUUUAGCAUACCCAACUAACUUGAGUUUGGUAAAACAAACACACUGUGCGUCUCAUCUCUCACAAUUCAAAUUAUCAUCUGUAAUGAUGGAGAAUUUUUCCAAUGUAUGAAGUAUGCUUUGAUAUGUGUACCUUGGAGAAGAUAUCUCCAAAUAAAGAAUAUGGAGAGAAAACGGUUCAGUAGUUUAUUAUUCUGUAGGCAAGUCUUGUCUCGAAAAUGGUCAAAAUUUAAAUGAAUAAGGACAGGGGAUCUUCAUUCUUUUUUCCCUUUUUUAUACCAAGAUAUCUCUCAACCUUUAUAUAAUCCCCACUGGAUAUCUGCUUCUAAUAAUUAAAAUAAAAAUUUCACUCACACAAAUAAAUACUGACCAAGCUCUAACAAUAUAAAGUAACAUCUUUACUCAAGUAAUUUACAGUUCCUCAUCAUCUUAGUGUGAGACUAUCAUUACGUUCCAAAAACAAAAUAAAACUGGUUUGAUCCUGUUUAUUGAUGUUUAAAUGUUGUUCAUUGUGACAUGUAGAAAUGAUGAAGCGAAGUUUAUUUGGUCAUCAAUUAGUAAGAUCUUGUUUGAAGUUGUUUUCUGAAAUGAACUGCCUUUUUUUUGGGCAUAUGAUGGCUCUUUUUUCCUCAUUUUCAACAUGUGCCUGCUUGGAAUGGGAUGGAUUUGGCUGCAGAGUUGUUAUAUAUUUUGAGAUGCUCUGGCUGUUGUGAAAAUUUUAAUAUACUCGCAAGCACACGAAUCUAGAAAUAGAAUAGUGAUAACGAGGUCGAACCCACAGGGAUUAUUGAAAAGUCUAAUUUAAAUCUAAAAUUAAUAUUAAUUCUAACCUAGUUGAGCAAAUUGAGUUUUAAGAGAAAUUAAACUAAUUAAACUAAGAAAAUAAUUAAAGUAAAGGAGAAUUCAAUAAGACAAAAAUUACCAAGGUUUCAGAAUCCACCACUAUUCAACUAGUAAUUAUCUAAUUAUUAAUUAAUCCCCAAUUUUAGAGUGACAACUCGAAAUCAAUCUAUGUCAUCUCAUGGAUAUAACAAUUAAGCCCAAGUAAUUAAAUCUAAUGUAGGUUCUUUUUCUACUUAAUAGUAUGAUAUCUAAGAAUCUCAUGUAAACAUAUUGAAUAACAAAGAGUCAAAGUUUUCUUAAGCACUCUAUGUAAACAAUUUAAUGAAAGACAUAAAAUCAAAGAUAAUCAUGCAUAAACUUUAUAGAUCCAAGCAUAGAUUUAAUCGAAUAUUAAUCCUAACAAUCAAUAAUGCAUAACAGAAUUGAUGAAAAGAUUUUAAUAACAUCCAACUAAUCAUGUGAAAUAAAAACCAUAAUCAUUAAAGAACAUAUAUAGGGAAUUAAAUAAAUAAAAAAAUAAUUAUUUCAUUGAAUAGGGUUUCAUCCUUAACCUCAGUAUAAGAAAAUUAGUUAGACAUACUUGAAUUGGGAAAAACAAAAGAGAUAAAACCGGCCAUGAGGAAUAUUGAACUGUUGGUGCCGAUUGCUCUUUUCCAGCCUUGCGUCUGCUUUCCUCUGGCGGCUACCUCCCCCCUUGCAAAAGCCAAAGUUCGGCUUUUAUAUUGUAACUCCCCCACAAAAUCCUCAAAUCAAAAGGUUUUAAAACAAGCCAAGCACAACCGACUUUGAGCCCAUGCAUGUGAAGCCCAAUUGGAAUUUUCAUUCCUUUUUUAAUGCCAUGCAAUUGCUUUCCCACGUGCUGGCCACUUUAGCUUUAAAUUUCUUCUUUGUUUGCACUAGCAUGGAGAAUUCAAUUUAUUGGCUUCGGCUUCUUCGGAUUGAAUUUCAUACACAUCUACUUAAUUGCUUCCACAAAUUGACUUGAUUUUUAAUGUUGUCCAAUUGUUAUUCUUUAUGUACUUUUCAUCCUUAAUCUCCAAUUAAUUCCCUAUUCAAUAAAAUUAACUUAGCAAUUAUAUAAUAAAGGGUAAAAUAUGUAUAUAAAUUAUGCUCAUCACUGGCCAUUGCACAAUUUGUUCACACUGGAAAUUUGAAUGAGAAAUUUGUUGAUGCUGUUUUGAGAGAUCUGCAUUCUAUGCACAAUAACAUGAUUAAUGAAAAUGGAUUGUAGGACUGGAAAGAUCUGUGGCAGCCUGAGCUCGCAGGAAGAAUUUCAAUGGUUAAUUCUCCCCGAGAGGUUAUUGGUUCAGUUUUGAAGUAUAUGGGAGCAUCAUACAAUUCAAACGAUAUUGAUUCGCAAGUUGCAGGUGGGAAGAUUGCUGUUCAGCAGAAUCUGGCAUUACUGGCAAACCAGGUACUCUUAAAGAAAUGAUAUCUGAUCAUUGCAUGUUAUUGCCUGACAACUGAUUUUGUUUGUAAAAGUCUGCUUCUUCAUACAUAUGAAUGCAUAUGUUAGUGUUCUCUUCUCCUUUUCAUACAUAUGAAUGCAUAUGUUGGUGUUGUCUUUUCCUUUUCAUACAUAUUAAUACAUAUAUUGGUGCUCUCUCCUGAGAUGGAUGCAAUAAAGGCUUUUGGUCCUAAAUUUAGGUGAAGAAAUGGCAAGGGAUGUGAGAUUCUGUCUCAUUAAAUUAACAAAAACCCAAAACAAUGAAAACCCAUAAUAAUGUGGUGGGGGUAAAUUGGCACCAUUUGGUUUGUUUACUUAAUGUGAAUACACGAGCAAUAGGGACUAACAAAAUGAAGUGACAACAACAAGUCAGUGUCCUUUGAUGGAUGCAUUUUAGGCAAAAAUAGGUUUGUAAUUGACCAAUUUCAAAAAAUUUAAAUUAUGUGGUUAUUAGCUGUAAUGAAGGGGAUAGGAGGUGCAAUCAGGUGGAUCCAGGAAAGUUCAACAAAGUUCUGGUAUGGCAUAGUGAAAUUGGUUUGUGCAACUCAAGAGUCUUUCAGGUGAACGAUGAUAUGUUUUGAUUUAUAAAUGUUAUAAAUCUACCGUCCAUAGUAUUCUAGUAGAAUCAUCUAUAAGUUCUAGUUAUUGAAAUUGUCUACUUUGUCCAGUUUGAGUUAAGGGCACAUGUAAUAGGAAAAAUAGUUGUCACAUCUUUUUGGUUACCUAACAUUUGAUCAAUCCUAUUAUGAGGGCUUCAAGAUGUCUAACAAUAUGUAGAAUGCCCAUGCUCCUCCCCAUUGUUUAUCUUAUACAAUAAUUUGUUUUAGAUGCUAAUAUAUUUGUCGAUACCGGUAACGAUAUUACAAUAUCUGCAUUUAUUGGGUUUUACAUAGGUUCGACUGUUUGACAGUACACACUAUCUGAAGGCAUUUGGAAUUGGAGAUGUAUGGGUUGCUGUUGGGUGGAGUAGUGAUGUUCUUCCUGCUGUCAAACGUAUGUCUAAUGUUGCAGUUGUUCCCAAGUCUGGUGCUAGCUUAUGGGCCGAUCUUUGGGUAUACCCAUGCCGGCCAUUCUACUUCGAUAUUCACGUUGUUAUCUCCUUCAUAUUAGCGAUCAUAAACUUGAUAAUGUGACUAAUAAGUUCGUAUUCUCUUUAUAGGCAAUCCCUGCUGCCUCAAGACUUGAAACAAAAGAAAUUGGAGGGCGAGUCUGAGGUCCAUCUCCAUUAAUCCAUCAAUGGAUAGAAUCCUGCUUGCAAACAGCGAGAACAUUGCCUUUCAAGCAAGAGGUUAUCCCGGGCGCAUCUCCCUCUGCCCUUGAAAGUACUCUGGUUAAGUUGCCUGAAGAACUUCUGAAGGGUAAACCAAGUCUGGAUACUAACUUAAUUGCUGGAGUACCCCCGGCUGAAAUUCUGGCCAGAUGUGAGUUUUUGGAGCCAUUGUCUGAAGCUACAUUGUCAUAUUAUGAGUGGCUGGUUGCUAAUCUGCAAAAACCUGCCCCCCUCUUGAUGAAUAGGCUGCAACAUUACUUGUCAUCAUUAAUCCAAAGCUUUCUAGCAAAAGCUACAUUGAAAAGUUAAUGGCACUGCAUGCCAGUCAUUGUAAUGCUGUCAGGGCUAUUGGGUCAGGGCUAUUGGGUCAGAGCAUAACUUCAUUAGGAAAAGAGGCUUCAGCUACGUUAAAUAUUACAGGAUGUACUGAGAUGGCUGAAGUUCUUGAGGUUUUACGAGAAACGAAAGAUGAGUGUUUGUUUGAACAAAGUUGUUGCCAUCUUGCAGAGUUUGAGAAGAAAGAUCACUGAGCGAAUGCCACCGAUUUCUUAAUCAUUGUAGCCUCCAUAGUUGAAGUUUCCUUAUUUGAAGCUGUUUAUGCGUACGCUUUUUCCCUGCUCAAGUACAGGAAAUUGAAGAAUUAACCAGAUGUGAUAUGCUGAAAGAGGGAAGUUUUCUUCCUUGAACGUGGCCUUGUGAUUUGUCUUGGAAGGAAUAGGAUGAUCACUGGCAAGAACCCUAUCAAGGUAGAUUUUAUGGUGCUAACGUAUUAUUAAGCAUUUUGUUACAUCAGCAAUGAUGCUUUCAUAGCAUGAAAGGGUUUAAAUUUAACUGAAUGAUUCUGAUUAAUCAAUUAUGAGUUUGAAUCGAGUAAAAACUAAAUACAAUCAUCGUUAACAAUACUGAAAAAAUUUAACUGAAUCAUCGUUAAUUGAGUAAAUAGGAUCUUGAUAUUGAAGAAUUUGAAAUCACAACGCACACAGGAAAUUGAAGAAUUUGAAAUACAAUCAUCGUUAACAAUAUAAGAUGAGUGUUUGUUUGAACAAAGUUGUUGCCAAUCUUGCCGAGUUCGAAAAAAAAGAUCACGGAGCAAAUGCCACUGAUUUCUUCAUCAUUGUAGCCUCCAUAGUUGAAGUUUCCUCAUGUGAAGCUGUACAUCAAGUACAGGAAAUUGAAGAAUUAACCAGAUGUGAUAUGCUGAAAGAGGGAAGUUUUCUCCCUUGAAUGUGGCCUUUGUGAUUUGUCUUGAAGGAAUAGGAUGAUCACCGGCAAGAACCCUAUCAAGGUAGAUUUUAUGAUGUUAACAUAUUAUUAAGCAUUUUGUUACAUCAGCAAUGAUGCUUUCAUAGCAUGAAAGUGUUUAAAUUUAACUGAAUGAUCUUGAUUAAUCAAUAAUGAGUUUUAAUCGAGUAAAAACUAAAUACAAUAAUUGUUAACAAAUACUGAAAUUGGGUAAAUAUGAUCUUGCUAUUGAAGAAUUUGAAAUCACAACCCACACAGGAAAUCACCCUUCGCGUGGAGAUGGAGAUGUUUACUGCAGCGAUAUUGAAUAUGUCCACUGCUCUUUGGGUUAUGGUGCGACUUGCGAUUUCAAGGUUGCCCUGAAACAAUGGAAAAGAAUUAACAUACCCUGCAAUGAAUGAAAGCGGCUGGACUAAUUCUGAUUACCUGAUUGACUCAGGAUCGGAUGGCAAUAAAGACAGUUUAUUAACAAUGCACAGUCCCGAGUACUUUUUCAGGAUCAGAUAUUACGUGGUCUAAUGUUGAUAAUAAUAGAUUAUCAAAUGAGAGAUGCUGAGAGAUGCUGGUCUAGUAUUGCAAGCCCCCAGAUUUAAGAAUCUUUUGAUGAUAAUUUACCACCUGUAACUGUGCCGGAAGAUUCACCUAGCAUUGAAAAAGAUGAUAAUUUAAUUGAUAUGGAUAGUUUUCAUAACACUUUUAAAUCAUCUUAUGUAAUUAUAAUGUUGAGAAGCAUUAGUGGUCUAUAUGUGAACUAUUAUUGACGCUAUUUUGUUGUAAACAAUCUUAUUCAAUUAAUGUAUAAUUUAAAAUCAUUAUGUAAAUCAAUCUAUUACUUUUCAUGAUAUUUAACUGAGUUAAAACUAAGUGCACCCAAUAAAUCUCUUUUCCUUUAAAAAACUGUUACGCUUUGAUUUUAGUGCUUAAUAUUUACGGAACUCCGGUACAGGGAAUUCGAAAUCAAACUCGUAACUACAGAUUAUCUAAUUGCAAGCUUUUGUCCAUAGUUGCUGAUUGUAGUGAUUAUCUAAUUGACUGAGGUGACAACAAUUUUUUUUUUUAAUUUUCAAUAGCAUAAUGUGGAAUUCAAUAAUUAAAUUCUCCUUUUUAAUUUGUUUCCAGUUAAAUUAUUAAUUACUUAAACUCUGUUUUAAGUCUUUAAUUUUAUGUCUUGGCGUAUAUGCAGGGUUGGAUUCUUGAGCGUGUUGGACACGACCAACAAUGAAAUUGACAGUAAACAAACAUUAUAACGCGUUGAGUGUCGACUCCGCUAGCUGCCCUACAAGUCUACAACUUUACAAACAAUAACUGAGUACACACAUUUGAUUCUCAGGGCCUUUCAAUGAAUUUCUAGGCCGGUUGACUCCACCGACAAAAGUUUUGGAAAAUAAAAAAGAAAAUUCAUAGAAUUCCACCAAAUGCAAAACGCGUGGAAUUUAAUUUUCGGCUGUGUGGACCAAAACAUAAUUUAAUGAAAAAAAAGAUAAGAUUUCUAGAAUGUGUGGAAGGUGAUCCAUAUUUUACUGAAACAACUUAUUAAAUUUUUCAAGGAUUUAGAAUAUUUGGUCAUAAAUUACGCUCAUGUUAAUUUUUCCACUGUUGACUAUCAUAUUCUAGACUCACUGGUACCUUUCUUGAUGAAGGGUACUUAGUCUCUCUUCUCCUCUUAUAAAAAUUAUAUUAAUUAAUUUCUUAUUAUAAUAAAUAGUCUUUAAGAACGUAUAGAUUUAUUGUUUUCGUGACCAAAUUAUGCCAGCUUAAGGUUGCGACUAUUAAUAAAAUUAAUAUUUAAUGUUUAUGUUAAAAGAUAUAAGAUUUUUUGCAUUCAUUAAUUGUCAUUAGCUAAAGGAUUAAUUAUUUUUUCAACCCAAUCAGUUGAUGCAUCUGCAAGAAUUUUUUCUUUUAUUGACCAUAAUUAUAUUCCGGGUACAAUAAAUUAUCUUUGGUGCUUGGAAAAUAUGACUUCUUACUUCAAGUUUGAUGUGUCUCUCUCCAUAAGCUUACUGGAAAUAUAUCCUCAUCUACUGUCAUUUAUCUAAUAUCAAUUGAAUAUCUGACUUUUUCAAACUAUCACUUCCAAGUCUCAUUGUCACUUGGCCAUUCUUGGACCAUUCAAAACCAAACAAGUGUUGAAAUAAUCAAAUAUAUGCAAAAUUAGAGUCACGACUUUUGGUCCUCCAAAUUCUAAUUAUAUUACUUCUAUAUAUCUCAUUGUCAGGUCACGAACUUGUUGGCACAUUUUCCAAAUUCCUCUUCCAUCAGCUCUUACACGUUAACUUAAGUGGAAAGUUUCCAAGUUGAUUGCUAGAAAGCAACGCAAAAUCAGACACGCUUGAUCUGUCCCCUAAUUCUCUUUUCUACGUUGAAAAAGAAAAAAAAUAAGAAAAAAGAAAAUAGAUCUAUGUAAAAAUAAAUAAUAAACUGAGUAAAAGUACAUUUGUUUAUUUAACAUCUGAUCGGGGCAUUUUUGGUGUAAUUUCGUGCUGUGUUUAACCCACAACUAAAAUCAAACAGCCCCUUAGAAUACUUCUUCCAUUUUGGGUGCGUUUGGGAUUGAGGUUGGGCAGCUGUAACUUAAAAACUACAGCACUAAAGUGUUUGAUAAACACUAACUGCUGUAGCUUUUAAGCUAUGUUGAUAUGGUUUUUCACUUGUAUAAUACAAAAUUUAUUAUAUCUUUAAUAAUUUUAUCAAAAUUAUUAUUUAAAAUUUAUAUUUACUAUAUAUUAUUAACUUUUGUUUCAUAAUUACAGCUUUUUUUUCACAGCAACUGUAGCUUAAAAGCUACAGCAUCUCAAUCCCAAACGCACCCUUUAUCUGCUACUUUUGUGGAUCUUAUAGGGUGGGCAUGUGAACAGAAUUUAAAAAUUUUAAUAGUCUCAAAGAAUAAGAUAUGCUAAAGCUAAAGUUGUUGCACCUUCUAAUUAAAUAAAGUUGUAUAAUUUCACCAACUUGGAAGAAUUGAUAUUAAUGGACGGUCCCCUCUCCAUAUAUGAAGCCUUCUUAAAAGUUAAUUUUUAUUUCAGAAAAAAAAAGUUUAAGUUACAUAUAUUAUAGUAAGAUUUUUUUAGACCAAUUCCCUUCUUGAAAUAAUAAUGGAAAAGCAUUAAUUUAAAAAUAAAAUGAAUAUGUAUUGAUUAUAUCCUGAUUUUCAUCGAUUAUAGUGAGAGUUUCUCCAAAUCAAUUCCCUUAUUCAAAUAAUACAGAAAAAAUAGUAAUUUAAUAGUAAAAUAAACAAGUGUUGAUUAUAUAUUCUAAGUUUCAUCGAUUAUGUGAUCAAAGUGGCAUUGUUGAUUUAUUUCUUGUUCAAUGUUAAUUUUUAGGUUAUAUAAAUUUCAAGGAUCUAAAAUCUUUGGUCAUGGAUUACACGCUUGUUAAUUUUUCUGCCAUUAACUGUCAUAUUCUAGACUUAAUGAUACCUUUCUUGAUCAAGCGUAAUUAUUCUCUCUUCUCCUCUUAUAAAUUCCUCUUCCAUUAACAUCACUAGGAGUAUGUUGAUCUCUCAGACGUUAACUUGAGUGGAGAGUUUCCAAAUUGAUUGUUACAAAACAACACAAAAACUAGACACACUUGAUCUGUCUAAUAAUUCUCUUUCGGUAAAAUUAAUUAAUUUUAGGGAAAUAUUCUGCCAACCUCUGUAAUUUCAAAGUGAUCAUUAAUUAAUUAAACGAUACAAAUAUCUAAAGUGAUUAGAUGUUUGCCGACAAUACAAGUUCAUGACUUGAAAUUUGAUCUCUAUCGAUUGGUUUACAAAUGGACGUACUUGUGCCUUUGUGGCGAUAAUCAAACAAGUUCCCAUGAUUAUUAUUUUUUCCAAAAACGUUUUUACAACAAAUUCAUCUCGCCAAAAAUUCUAUGUUGCUAACUAACAAUAAUUGAGCACUUGGCCGCAUUGACCCCACGUCUCCACCUCUUUCUAAAAACAUGGAAAAUGUAAUUUCCACAAAAUGCCAAACGUGUGGAAUUUAAUUUUUUUGCCUUGUGGAUCAAAAUACAAAUGAAAGAAACAGGAGAAAAAAAAGGCCCAAAGACUUCUAAAAGAUGAAGAAGUCUUUGGGCCUUUUUAUAAUGGUGAAUUUUUUAAAAGAAAAAAAAUAACAACAUUUUUAUGGUUUGUUUUGAUAAUCAUAUUUACAUAUACUCUCUAAUUUUCAAAAUGGACACAUAAAUCUUUUUUUUUACAAAAUAUAUAUUAUUCAUAUUUUUUAUUUUUUAUUAUCAUAUUUUUAUUUAUUAUAAAUGUUUAGAGUAAAUUUUUAGGUUGAAAUAUAAUAAAAAUGUAUAAUCGUUCUCUUAUUAAACACACAUACUUUUAUUAGUUUCUAUGCAUUUGUCAUCUCAAUCUCUCUCAAUUAUUCUUUAUUGCUAGCUCAAAACGCGUUGCUGUUGCAAAUUAUAGCAAAAUGACAAAUAUGGAAAAAAAGGGAAGAAAAUUAAUGCAUGAAAGACUUGGAGAAAACAACAAAAUAAGCCAACUAUGAGCUAGUUGGGUGUAUAAAUUGUUAGAUGUGUUAUAUACAAAUAGCAUAGAGCCCUCUAGUUAGUUCCAGAGACAGAAAGAGCGUGUGUGUUUUUUCACAGUUAGAGAUAUAGUUAGAAUGGGUGGUUCAAAAUCAAAAAUGAUGAUAAUGUUUAUUAUGUUAUUAAUAAUAUUUAAAAGUGGGUGGAGUGAGGGAUGUUUGGAUCACGAGAGAUUUGCUCUUUUGCGACUCAAACAUUUCUUCGAUGAUAGUUAUCUUUAUGACUGGGCCGAUGAUGAGGGAGCUACUGAUUGUUGUCAGUGGGAAAAUGUUGAGUGCAGCAACACCACAGGCCGAGUGAUAGCGCUAGACCUUUUUGACACGCAUGGGGGAGAGCACAGCUGGUAUAUGAAUGCUUCUUUGUUUACUCCCUUCCAACAACUUGAGUCACUUGAUUUAACUGACAACAAUAUAGCCGGUUGUGUUGAGAAUGAAGGUGCUUCGUUUAAUUUAAUUAAUUUACUUUCUCCCCCCAAAUUUAAGUUGAAUAUCAAGACCGAGCAAUUAUAUGCAUAUUCAUUUAGUCGACAAUUUUGACUUUUUUUUAAAUGAUUAAUUUUGAAAUUACACCAGUAUCUAUGAUCUUUUUUUAUUUUAUUUUAUUUGCAGGUAUAGAGAGGCUAUCAAGAUUGAACAACUUGAAGAUGCUUAAUUUAAGUCGAAACUCAUUCAAUAAUAGCAUUUUAUCAUCUCUAACUCAUCUUUCAUCAUUAAGAUCAUUAAAUUUACUUUGGAAUAGAUUGGAAGGAAGUAUUGACGUUAAAGGUACAUAAUUAAAACUUCAAGCUCUUUCAUUAACUUGCUAAAAUAAGAUUCAAGGCUUUGAAAGAAAAAGAGAGAAAAAAACAAGGCCCAAAGACUUCUAAAAGAUGUAAAAGUCUUUGGGCUUUUUUAUAAUGGUGGAUUUUUUAAAAGGAAAAAAUAACAACGCUUCUAUGGUUUGUUUUGAUAAUCACAUUUACAUAUACUCUCUAAAUUUCAAAAUGGACACAUAAAUCUUUUUUUUUUCUACAAAUGUAUAUUGUAUUUUUUAUUAUUUUUAAUAUCAUAUUGUUAUUUAUUAUAAAUAUUUAAAGUAAAUUUUUAAGUUGAAAUAUAAUAAAAGAGUAUAAUCGUUCUCUUCUUAAACACUCAUACUUUUAGUUUCUAUCCAUUUGUCAUCUCAAUCUCUCUCAAUUAUUCAUUAUUGCUAGCUCAAAACGCGUUGCUGUGGAAAAUUAUAGCAAAAAGACAAAUAUGGAAAAGAAAAAAGGGAAGAAAAUUAAUGCAUGAAAGACUUGGAGAAAACAACGAAGUAAGUCAACUAUAAUCUAGCUGGGUGUAUAAAUUGUUUGAUGCUUUAUAAGCAAAUAACAUACAGAGACAGACAAUGUGUGUUCGUUUUUUCAUAGUUAAAGAUAUAGUUAGAAUGGGUGGUUCAAAAUCAAAAAUGGUGAUAAUGUUUGUUAUGUUAUUAAUAAUAUUUAAAAGUGGGUGGAGUGAGGGAUGUUUGGAUCACGAGAGAUUUGCUCUUUUACGACUCAAACAUUUCUUCAAUGAUCCUCUUAAUUCUCUUUACGACUGGGUAGAUGGUGAGGGAGCUACUGAUUGUUGUCAGUGGGAAAGGGUUGAGUGCAGCAACACCACAGGCCAAGUGAUAGCGUUGCACCUUUCUAAUAUAUAUUUGGGAGAGUACAGCUGGUAUCUGAAUGCUUCUUUGUUUACUCCCUUCCAACAACUUGAGUCACUUGAUUUAAGUUUCAACAAAAUAGCCGGUUGUGAUGAGAAUGAAGGUGCUUCGUUUAAUUUAAUUAAUUUACUUUCUCUCUCCUAAUUUAAGUGGUAUAUUAAAAUUGAGCAACUAUAUGCAUAUACAUUAGUUGACAAUUUUGACAUAUUUUUUGAAGUGAUUAAUUAAUUUUGAAAUUACACCAAAUAUCUAUGAUCAUUUUUUUUUAUUUUACUUGAAGGUAUAAAGAGGUUAUCAAGAUUGAACAACUUGAAGAUGCUUAAUUUAAGUGCUAACUCGUUCAACAAUAGCAUUUUAUCAUCUCUAACUCAUCUUUCAUCAAUAAGAUCAUUAAAUUUAUAUGUGAAUGAAUUGGAAGGAAGUAUUGAUGCUAAAGGUACAUAUUUAAAACUUCUCUCUUCCCCAAGCUCUUUCAUUAACUUGCUAAAAUAAGAUUCAAGGCUUUGAAUUCAAUUUUUUUAUGAUUAAUAUUUAAAAAAAACAGUUUUAAGCAAUUUAUAAAUACAAGUUUUAAUGUUUCUUAUAAUUUCAUCUUGUACUUUCAUAUGUCUUGAAUUUAAGAUUAAAAAAAAAACUCUAAUAGCAAACCAAACACCUCCACAACUUAUUAUUAUUAUUAUUAUUAUUAUUAUUAUUAUUAUAUAUUUUUUAAUUUGUGGUGAGGUUUGAAACAUUCAACUCAAUUUGUACUUGUUACAGAAUUUGAUUCUUUGAGAGAUUUAGAGGAGCUAGACAUUGGCGGGAACAAGAUUGACAAAUUUGUGGUCUCAAAAGGUACUACAAAUACCAUAAAAAAAAUAUGCUAACUUUUACAAAUUAGUUAGAUUCUUUGCCAUUUGGUUUAUUAUUUUACAGGUUUGAGUAAGUUGAAGUCUCUUGGUUUAAGUGGUAUCAAACUCAAUCGUAGCAUCUUAUCUUCUCUUUCUUCGUUAAGAGAAUUAGAUAUAAGUCGUACGGGAUUCAAAGGAACAUUUGAUGUUCGAGGUAAGCCUAAACCUUGCUUUCUCAUUUUAUAUAUGCCAACUAGAUUUGUGUAUCAUCGACAUAAUUUAAUAUUUAAUUUGAUAAGUCUGAAGGAAUUACAUGCUAAUUUAAACACACUUUUAUUUACUUUGUCAAUUAAUCAAUUAAUUACUAUUUGGCUUGGUUUGGACGAAAUUCUCAUGAUGUUUUAAUUUCUUUAAAUUAAUUAAUUAAUUAACUCUGUUUUUAAGUCUUAAGUCUGGGCAUGUUUGCAGAAUUUGAUUCCUUCAAUAACUUAGAAGUGUUGGACAUGAGUUGGAACGAAAUCGACAAUCUUGUGGUUCCUCAAGGUAAACAAUUAAAAUAUUAUUCAAUUACAUUAUUUUAAUUCAUUUGAUUAGAGAAGGCCAAAAAGGUAAAAAAAAAAUUCAAUAAAGAAAUAGAGAAUUUGUAUUAUUUAAAAAACAGAAUGUAAUAAAGAUUUGAUUCUAGUUCUUUAAUCUUUAAAGCGAUUGAAAAACAAUGUUGGUCUUUUCGCAAAGCAUAAAAUACGAAUUGAAUGCCAAUUAACUUAAUCAUUCAUUUCGUUUAGCUCUAAAUUUAGACAAUGAAUUUUUAUAUUAUUUCAAAAACAGGACGUAAUAGAAUUUUUUUAAAAAUAGAUUGUAAUGAAGAUUUGAUUCCAAUUCUUUAAUCUUUACAGUGAUUGAAAAACGAUACUACUUCCCAAAGCAUAAAAUACGAAUUGACUCUCAAUUAAAUUAAUCAUUUAUUUCGUUCAUCUCUGAAUUUAAAUAAUGAAUUUUGAUCUUCAAUCUUUUCCUAAUUAUUAUUAAUAAACAGGUUACAGAGGUUUGAGGAAGUUGAAAAGCUUUGGUCUAUCGGGAGUUGGAAUUAGAGAUGGAAGCAAGUUGUUACAGUCAAUGAGAUCAUUCCCAUCCCUCAACACUCUUGACCUGACCGAUAAUAAUUUUACCAAUAUAGCGACCGCUACUCAAGGUAAGUAAAAGGUACAGAUGUGGCCAAAUUUAUAAAUAAAUUGUUUAUUAAUUAAUUUUUUCGUAUUAUUAAUUAAGCUAAAUUCGUUGCUCCUUCCUUCUAAAUCUAAACAGAGUUGCACAAUUUCACCAACUUGGAAUAUUUGACAUUGCACGGUUCCUCUCUCCAUAUAAGCCUUCUGCAAAGCAUUGCAUCAAUAUUCCCUUCGUUAAAAAAUCUGUCGAUGUCUUUUUGUGAAGUCAAUGGUGUUGUACGCGGUCAAGGUAAAAGAAAAGCGUUGAUUGUGAACUCACUCAAUGGUGUCCUACGUGUUCAACAUUUUUAUUUAUUAAUUUAUUUAUUGUUUAAUGUUUCUGCUAGGUUUUCCUCAUUUCAAGAGUUUGGAACAUUUUGACAUGAGCUCCACACGCAUUGCACUCAACACCAGCUUUCUUCAAAUCAUCGGUGAAUCGAUGCCUUCUCUUAAGUACUUAUCACUGUCAUAUUCUACUCUUGGCACUAACAGCAGCAGGAUUCUUGAUCAAGGUUAAUGAGAUGCUGCCACCCUCCCUUCUUAAUCUAUAAUAUUAAUUUUCGAUUAAAUAUUUAAUUACACAAACCAAUCACUUAUUAUAAAAGAAUAAUACGCAUUCAUUAAUUUUUAAAUUGUAUUAAUAAUUGAUGAAUUUAAUAAAUUUUCAGGCCUCUGUUCGUUGAUGCAUCUACAAGAGUUACACAUUGCUUAUAACGAUUUAAGAGGUAGCUUGCCUUGGUGCUUGGCAAAUAUGACAUCCCUCCGAAUAUUAGAUGUUUCUUCCAAUCAACUUACUGGAAGCAUCUCCUCAUCUCCCCUCGUUCAUUUGACAUCCAUUGAAGAGCUGAGGCUUUCAUACAACCACUUCCAGAUCCCAAUUUCACUUGAACCACUUUUCAAUCAUUCAAGACUCAAGAUUUUUUAUGCUGACAACAACGAACUAAAUGCAGAAAUAACUGAGUCACAUUCUUUGACCGCCCCAAACUUCCAAUUAUCACGUCUCUCAUUGUCUUCCAGUUACGGAGACAGUUUCAUAUUCCCCAAAUUCCUUUACCAUCAACAUGACCUGGAGUAUGUUGAUCUCUCACACAUAAAGAUGAAUGGAGAAUUUCCAACUUGGUUGUUGGAAAACAACACAAAAUUGAGACAACUUUCUCUCGUCAAUGAUUCUCUUGCAGGACAUUUCCGGUUGCCAAUUCAUUCACACAAGCGGUUAGGACUGUUGGAUAUAUCCAACAACAACUUCCGAGGCCACAUUCCAGUAAAAAUUGGAGAUGUUUUACCAAGUUUAUACGUUUUCAACAAUUCCAUGAAUGCUUUAGACGGUAGCAUUCCCUCUUCAUUUGGUAAUAUGAAAUUCCUCCAAAUUCUGGACUUAUCCAACAAUCACUUGACUGGUGAAAUCCCCGAGCACUUGGCCGUGGGUUGCGUCAACUUGCAGUCUCUUGCAUUAUCAAAUAACAACCUACAAGGUCAUUUGUUCUCUAGAAAUUUUAACUUGACAAACUUGCAAUGGUUACAAUUGGAGGGCAAUCGCUUCGUAGGUGAGAUCCCACAAAGUUUGUCUAAAUGCUCCUCACUAGAAGGAUUGUAUCUUAACAAUAAUAGUCUUUCGGGUAAGAUUCCACGAUGGUUGGGUAAUCUCACAUGGUUACAAUAUAUUAUACUGCCCAAUAAUCAUCUUGAAGGCCCUAUUCCAGUGGAGUUUUGUCAGCUUGAUUCGCUUCAGAUUUUGGACAUUUCAGACAACAACAUAUCUGGAAGUUUACCAUCUUGUUUCCAUCCUCUCUCUAUCAAACAAGUUCAUCUUUCAAAAAAUAUGUUACAUGGACAGCUAAAAAGAGGUACAUUCUUUAAUUGCUCUUCCCUUGUGACAUUAGAUCUUAGUUAUAACCGCUUGAAUGGCAGCAUUCCGGAUUGGGUUGAUGGGCUUUCUCGGUUAAGCCACCUUAUCUUAGGUCACAAUAAUCUUGAAGGUGAAGUGCCAGUUCAAUUGUGCAAAUUGAACCAACUACAAUUGUUAGAUCUUUCUAAUAAUAAUCUUCACGGUCUUAUUCCUCCUUGCUUUGAUAACACCACACUUCAUGAAAGUUACAGCAAUAGUUCUAGUCCUGAUGAGCAAUUUGAAAUAUUUUUUUCCAUCGAAGGCCCUCAGGGAGGUGUAGAAAAGCAAAUCCAUGAAAAUUUUGAGUUCACAACAAAGAACAAUGCAUACAUUUACCAAGGAAAAGUGCUUAGCCUCCUAUCAGGACUUGAUCUUUCUUGCAACAAGCUAAUCGGUCAUAUUCCUCCUCAAAUUGGAAAUUUGACAAGGAUUCAAACAUUGAAUCUAUCGCACAACAACUUGACAGGAUCGAUCCCAUCAACAUUUUCAAACUUGAAGUAUGUCGAAAGUUUGGAUCUUUCCAACAACAAAUUGAAUGGGAAAAUCCCUUAUCAACUAGUGGAGUUAAAGACAUUGGAGGUUUUCAGUGUGGCAUACAAUAACUUAUCAGGCGAAAUUCCAGAAUGGAAAGCACAAUUUGCAACCUUCAACGAGAGUAGCUAUGAGGGAAAUAUUUUUCUUUGUGGACUGCCAUUGCCUAUUUGCAUAUCACCAACAACUACGCAGGAGGCUUCAAUUGACAAUGAACGAGAUGAUAAUUUAAUUGACAUGGACAGUUUCUUUAUCACAUUUACAACAUCGUACGUAAUUGUGAUAUUCGGAAUUGUUAUUGUUUUAUAUGUAAAUUCUUAUUGGCGACGUAGAUGGUUUUACUUUGUUGAAAUGUGGAUAACUUCAUGUUAUUAUUUUAUUGUAGACAAUCUUAUUGCAACAAGAUAUUGUCAUUGAAAUUAAUUAGCAGUUUAAUUACCAUUCUUUAAGUUCUAAUCAAGUUUGCUUAGGAAAUAAAUUUAUUUUUAUUUUUUAUUAAAAUUGUAGUAGUAUUUAGCGCUAUAUAGCUUCCAACUUCCGAGCACUUCACAUUUGUCUCUACACUUCCAAACCCAUAUCUGUCCACCAUAACUUAUACUUCCUUAUACUGUGCAGCAUACUUAAAUAAGAGAACCAUCUCCAAUGUUAAAACCAACCACUCUAUAACAUUCAUUUAGAAACUAUAUUUAGAAUAUUUUUAUAAUCAUACACAAGAAAUGAAACACCUAGAUGCACUUGAUCGCCUUUUUUUACUUUAAAAAAUAAUGAUUAUGGUGCUAUCAUCAUCUUCUUCACUAGCGUCAUUAACACCAAAUCCAGCGACGGACCCAUACAUUUUAUCAAGAAAGGUAUAUAUAUAAUAAAGUUGAAGCUCGACAAAAAUUCAGGAAGAUUGAUGCCUCGCCACAACAAGGGGCACACCAACAUCAAAGUAGAGAUGAAGCAAUAUUCUCAAAGCUAAAACUCUCAAAUCCACCCACCAGAAUUUCAUAUCCCUCAACAAUUUUAAGAACUAAAGAUAAUUAGGAUCUAACAUUAGUUUUUUAUAUAUUAGUUUCAUAAUUUACAAAUCAAUGAAGAUGAAGAUUAUGCUAAUGAAUUCAAAUUAUACCAUACAUUCUCGAGAUGUUACCAAAAAUUUCUAAGUCAAUCCCACAUAUUUCAUAAUUUUAAGACUAGAAAAUUUCAUUAGUUAGAAGUUUAUUACCUUCAAGUGGAAGAUGAAGAACAUUAUACAACUGAUUCAGAUUAUAUCAUACAUACUCCAAAUGCAACUAGAAAUUAACAAGUUCAUGCGCACAGAUUUCAUAACAUUAUGAUUGGAAAGUUUCACAAAGAGAAAUUCUAAAUUCAAUCUAUUGCAUCAAGGUAGUUUGAUUGAUUUGAGUUACUUUCUGAUCAAGCUACUAAUAUAACAUUCAAGUCAGGGAGAAAGUAAAUUAAAUCUGAGAAGAAAUAACAAUAAAAAUUUGUUGCUAAACAUGAUGUGUAUUUUUUUUUCAAGGCAAUUUGGAAACACAGUUGUUACUACAGAUAUUCUCCUCAACUUAGAGAUAAAUACAAAUAUUAAAAUGCAUAUGAUCGCACAUAUUACUUGGAGCUUAGUAAGAUUUCAUAAAGAGAAGAAAUCAAACCACUUAUCAAUUGUUGCAAUCGUUCUAUAAGCUAAAAUAGCAAUAUAAUACAAGAAAAGGAACAUAUAGAUACUUGGCAAGAGUUCAUUAAGAAGUCGCAUCACAUUCGGGUGAGUUUGCUUCUGAUAUCUUGCUAGCGGGGGCUUUUUCUUGUCUUUCUACGUAUGCCGAGGGAAACUAACCAGCUUGGCCCUUGCAUUCACCUUCUGACCAUCCAGUAGGAGCCACCUUGAGAAGUUAUAACUAAAACAGUGAAUUAAACAAAAGUUGACCGUUCAAAGACCUAAGGGGAAAACUAAUUCUUUUACGUAGGAGGAGUGAAUUAGUUGUGAUCACUGAAAUAACAGCAUAACUAUGGAAGCAUAACAAGAUAUAAAUUCACACGUCUAUAAGGGUAAACUGGGUGGUUUAGAACUGAGCUAGCAACCCUACUAUAUUCUGAUUUGCACUUCAAUGUAAAAGGGAAUAUAUGGUAGGAAGAAAGAAAACCAACCAUCAUUUGUUAACUCAUUGCUUUUCAAUCAAAAUUUUAAGAACAAAAUGCCAUGUGCUUUGAACAUCAAAUAAGUAUAAGCAUUAGUUCUAAAUUCCACAUAUCAUAAGUUAGAAGGAUAAGUUAAUAGCAUAGUAGAAAAAUCUCUGUGUUGUUAUUUAGAGGGGAAAGUACCAGGCGAACCACAACAUAAUCAUCAAUUGAAAGACUUAGCUCUCCAUUUGCUUGAGCAUCAAAUGGAUGUAUAACCUGCAAGAUAAUGGGAUAAAUAGAACUUAAAUCUUAAAAAAAGCAUAACAAAAGCAGCAACAGUAGCAGCAGCGUUCAUUGUAACCACUAUGAUCAUGGCCAACAAAGAUAUAUUAGAAACAAAAUUCCAUUUUUACUACGACAUUAAUAUGUACUAUAUGAUAUCAUGACGAUAGGGUUACCAAGAGCUAUCAAAGUCCAAUAAAUUCUGUAUAACUUUAUGUAGUUAUUCAAAUUAUGGAUCAGAUUUUAAAUCUGAAAUUUUGACUGCUCUCCACAAAACAUGGCCUAUGCACAAGAAAGUCAUAGAUAAUGAGGAUUACAAGUGUCUGACAUCUUUUGAGUGAUGGAUUUAACAUGAGAGCUUAUGGUCAGUCAAUUUCCUCUGCCUAGCAAUAUAAGCUUUUUCGGCCAGAUUUAUCAUCAAAUACAUAGAUUGCCCCCAAGUCACAUCCAUAUAAACAUAGUUUUUCUAGGUAAACCAAGUAAGGAAAAUCAUAAUUCAGACAUAAUCAUAAAAAGACCCAUCUAACUUUCUUUGGCAUGCCUAACUCAGCUUUGAUGUUGCUGAGAUAUUGAUAGUAGAGACACAUGAUACUUCUAGCUCAUGCAUUCUAUCUAGCUCAUCUGACAGCUAUCUCUUUUUUAAUUCAUUAGUGUUUGCUAAACCUCAUGCUUAAGAGUCCUGUUCUCCUAAACAAAGUUUUCUAAGAAUGACUUCCUCAGCACCACAUUUGGACACUUUUAAAGCAAUUUUAUUUGGGGGAAAAGAAUUUUCAAGGUGUUAACUAAUAAAUUUUAAAAAAUAAUUACAAUUUGUCCUACGAUUAUAUGACAAUUUAUCUGGGAUGAACGGAUACAGACAAACAUCUUCCACUUUUAAGACUAAUCACUACUUCCGUAGAUGUUUUGCAAUAACACAAAUGCUUGACCAGAUGGUAGUGAUGGUAGAAAAAAAUUUUAUUGCUCUAAAAUUAAAAUAAGAAUGCAAUAUGUUAAGCAAAAGACUGUGCAACAUCAAAUUAAUUGAUAAGUUUGUAAUUCAGUAAAUUAACAACUUUCAUGGUAAAAUACAACAAAUUUCUUUUCAAAAAAAAAUCUUAAAAGACAGCAUUCAAUUUUGUGCGCAUCUUAUUUCUUAAGAUUUUCCAGGAGGGCAAUACAGGGACUUUCACCUACGCAAGAGAGCAAAAGCCUUACUUUCGCUAUAAAGUAGACGUCAUUCUGAUUAAUAUGCGUUUGCAAAUCAGCUCCAUUUGAAUCAGUAUUCUGAUAGACACAUGAGGCAUUUACAUCCAUUUCCAAAGUCACAUGUUGCGAGGAGGACUCAUUUGAUUGCUCCUCUAGGAUCAUCUAAUUCAAGUAGCAAGGGUUGGAAGAGAAUAAAAAGUCACAAUUAUUCUUUUGCAUAAGUGAGACGAAAAUGAUAAAUGCACUAUUAUCAGCAGUAAACAAGAAGAGAACACUCCAAGGAAUAGAUAGAUGCGGACAAGCAAGUUAAAAUGCAAAGUUCCAAACCUCCGCAUACAACUUCUCUAAAAUAGCAAUAAUGUGUUGAUGAUAUGUUUUCUCAGCAUCUACCUGCAAAGGCCCGAGACUAGGAAAACAACAAUAAAACCACUAGCUAAAGGAGAAAGUAAAUAAAGAAAUACACUUGACAUAAAUCUUGACAAGAAGCACAAUUUAAGACAUAACAAACCCCAAUCAUAUUGUUUAGAACUACCAUUCGUUAUUUCGUUAUUGUAGCAUUUCGAACAAGUGUUGACUUAAUUCAACAUUGUUGGAAAGAUAGGCUUUUAGAAGCGGAAGAAAGCCACUCAAACCAAAGUGAUUAUCCUUGUAUUGAUCAAGGGAUGUAAACAUAUUACAUUUGCAGGAUGAGUUUUAAUCACUCCCCUGAUUUAUUUGGGUUGCAGUAAAACUAAGCGAGCAACUGUUUGACUUUCAAGCAACAUCUAAAUCAGCUAUUAAAAUUCAAAUAAAAUCAUAAUAGAAUAAUAACAGGCCAUCUUGCAUCAAAAAUUAAGUUUAAUUUGUGAAUUUUUUUCUAUAGACAUGUUAGUUCCUGCUAUUGAAAUGUUAAAAGCAUUGAAAAAUUAUUCAAUAAAUUAUGCAAACAUUAAAAUAGAGGACAUAUUAAAAAGUUUCUAAUUACAAUGUUAUGAUUUCCUAUAUUUUAGCAUUUGCAUAUUUUAAUUUAUUUAAAAGCUACGUCGAUCAACUUUGGGCGUGAAGAUUUUAGCUUCUACGAGACUUGAUUGGAAUAUGCAUAAGGAAGAGUGUUAAAAUAUGAUGCAUCCAACGAAAGACAAACCACGUGUAGUCUUUUAAUUAAGCCAAGAGUAGUGCUAGAGAGAGAGAAGCACGAGAGAAGGACGAGAGAAUUUUGCCCCUUUCUCUCUACCCACUCAUUCUCUCUCUACCCCUUUUUUCAUUGUUUCUCUCGUCUUUCUCUCGUGUUUCUCUACACCAAGCAUUUUCCUUAAGCCAAAGUAGCAGCUCAAACAAAUGACACUUGGACCAACAUGCAAUCAUGAAGUGGCCGGAAAAAGGACAAAUGCAACUUUGGCUUAAAUAAAAAAUAACAUGUGACUUGACUUUUGCUGGACAUGCAUCAUGUUAUUACAAGACAACAGAAAUCAGUAUGAUAGUACUAAAAGUUGACAAUAACAUGAAGAUAAGAGGCAGAAUGUCAACAAAUGCAUAGGCACACACAAGAAAGUAUUAACUUAUAUACCAUAGCAAAAAGUCUUUGAUAUGUCAUCUGUUGCUGCUGUGAUUCAACUGACAGCAUGGCAGCUGUCGCUUCUCUACCAAGAGCCAUUAUUGUAGAUUUAAGCUCGGUCAAUCUUGCUUCUGCAUUUCGAAGCUUCACAGCACUCUCUGCUGAUAUAUCAGAUUCCCUAAUCUUUGAUCGGCGCCUAAAUACUUCAGCUGCCUGGUGAAAAUAUUCAAUAUAAAUCUAACAUAAUUCUAAUCUUGCCUUAUACAUGCAUAUGUUAACUCAAAGCUUACCUGCGCUUCAACUUCAUGUCGAAGUUUGUCAUAACGAUGAGUCAGGUGUCGAGCAUCUUCCAAAGGUGCUCCAUUGAUUAACGCCCGUAGUGGCUCAGAUACCGACAUGUCCAAAAACCUGUAACAUAGUUAGAAAAAUGAAAAGAAAGAGCAAAACCUCAAUUAAAAAGUUCCUCCAACAUAAUCAUGGAAUUUGGGCCUACUUCAAGGAUAUAUAUAAGGAUAAUUUAUGCAAUUUUGGGUCUAAGGAUGAUUCAUAUUAGGUUAGUGUUCUUCUCUUCUGUAUUUAAGGUUAAAAUAGAAAUAAACCUAUGAAAAUAUCUAAAUUAGGGCUGUAAGACUUCCACAUGCAUCCUUCAGUCUCAUGGAUUUGAUUUUACUAUAGAUGCAAGUGUCUUUAUCGAAAAUGCUUGGAGUCAAUUGAGAGAACUCACGGCCAAUAACUUGUCACACGCUAGUCUUUGCUAGUGAUGUAAGAAGUCACAAGGUCUCUUCAACAUUUGAACCAAUAAAAUUAUUAAGUCAUGGAUGUCACUAGCAAUGAUUUUAAUAUAAAACAUUACAUAUUUCAGAGUUGAAACUUUAAAAUGGAUUCUUUUAUUCAGUAUCUUAGAACUAAGUUUCCUUAUGAGAAGAUAAUAGUUUCAGUAGUAAUUUACAUAUAAUUUUCUAUAUUUGAAUUAUUUUCUAGUUAGGGAUGAACUAACCUGAUCACGAAGAAUCCCAAGCAAAGUUUCCCUCUCAUUUUCCAUCAAAUCAUGUGAAGUGCCAAAUUGAAGAGCAGCUCUUGCAACGCAAGAAUUGUCACUUUGAUUCUCCACUCCAUACUUGCAACAAUCUUCGGCCAACUUUCUCGCUACAAUAUUUGAAUACAAAAAUAUUGUACACGAGAACUAGUCAAGAAAAUUAAAAAAAAAAAAAAUCAAAUAUUAUAACGAGAGCAAGAGCAAACAAACAACCUAUUUCCAUUUGUUUCAAGCUUACUGCAACAAACCCUUCAACGCCACGGACAACAUUCCUCUGAAAAUGCUGCGCUACAGAGCAUAUAUUCCAAAUUAUUGUUCAGAUAAAACCAUACAAACCAUCAUAAUUAUUCAACAUACAUUAAGCUCCGUUUGGUAAAUACUUGCAACUUCAGUCCAGAAAAUACAGUUAAUUUUUAUUUAAAAAACAUCAUAAUUAUCAACAUACAUAUUUGACAAAAUUAUUAUUUAAAAAUCAUAACUAAUUACCAAAAGCCACAAUAAAUCAAUAUCAAACAGUCUUAUUAUUAGCUAAAGGAGGAUAGUACCUUAGCUGCCCUGGUGGAAUUGUAUAGAUUUUGAAGUUGUUGGUGACACUCAAUUUCAGAUUCAUCAACAUUUUCAAUACCAAGAUGGAGCAGAUGCUUCAAUACUGCCUGUACAAACCAUAAAAAACUAAUGAAAAAUAAAUAAAAUCGAGAAAUUUCACUAAAUAAAAGUCUAAAUAUAAUUUUUAAAAAAAGAAAAGAAACGGACUUGCUGCUGCUUGGCGACUUGUUCUCGGAGCUUGAUUGCCUGUUUCUUGAUAGCUUCCAUACUGUUUCUUUCAAAAAGCGACGACGGCUCAGCUCAUGGAGGUGGAAAAAAAAAAGUGUGAUGGAGAAAAAUAAAAAGGCAUGAAUAAUUUUUGACAAAAAGCGAAAAUCAAGGAAAGCCAGCUCUUUCCAGAAAAAUAAAAAAGAAAAAAGAAAAUUAUAAGUUUGAAAGGAGAAGAUGAUAGUGGAAGUGUGCGGUGUGGCUGCCAGCUACUUGGAUUUUACUGUUGGGUAAGGUAAUAGUAGAGAAUUUUUUUUUUUUUUUAAGAAAAAUAGUAGAGAAUUUUUUAAGAAGCUAGAACAGAGCAUGACAUUAGACUUUUGUGGACCAAAUUCAAAAGCCGAAUGGCACGGCCCAGAAGCUUUUGAAUAGAAAAACUUGCAUCAGCCUCAAUCACUUCUUAAUCGCUUGCUUUAACUGCAUCGCUCUCUCUGUGCUCUUCUAUAUAUGUAACGGUUAUGCGGUUGUAGUUCACGACUGAGGCUACGUGUUGGUUUGACGUGGCAGUUACGUUACUAGGGGAUAAAUAAGAUUGGUUUCAACAAACCCACUAAUUUUAUAAAAUUCGAGUAAUAUAGAAUAAAAUAAAAAAAAUAAAUACAAAAUUGGCUUUUAUUUUUUCUGGUUGACUGUAUUUUGUGUUCUCUUCCGGCACUACUACAAUUGUUCCCUAUAUAUUAGUCACACCCAUAUGUCAUUAACACAAGAAAUGAAAUCUAAUGUCACCUAUUUAGUUAAAGAAUCACUUAUGAAAAAAUUUUACCAUUUUGAUUUGAGGAUCCAUAUUUUGAACUGCAAACUAAUGUUCAUCAAGAACAGAGUAUGACUUAUGUGUAGAAAAUUUUAUGAUUUUGGCCCGAAAUAUAAGGAAAUUAAAUUAGAUGAGAAUCUGCCACUUUCUCAUGAAGAAAGGCAUGCGGAGCAUACCAUGGUACCAUACGGAGAAUAUUAGAACCUCCCUAGAAUAUCUUUACCCUGAUGUUUCUAACAAAAAUCUGCAUGUGGCAGCAAUUACUAGAUCUACAAUUUCCCAAAUAAUAUUUUGUGUUUCUUAAAAAAUUUGAAAUACAUAGUUGCACUUGCACACCGUGAGACAGUGCUACAAUCUACUGAGAUCUAAAUUAUAUGAGACUUUAAGCUACUAAUGUUUGCAUAUUUCUACAUGUCAAAUUAACAUUACCAUCUAUAAUCCUAAACGACAGAUGAUAAACGGCUUUUGGCCACUUAUUACUAGCAUCCACAAUUAAUUUUUGUUCAGCAAUCAGCUUAUUUUAUAGAAAUUGAUUUAGUCAGCAACAAACACUAUAAUACUUGAAAUUAGUUCUUGUUCUUUGUAAUUUUCUAUGAUUUUUCAUAUAUCAAUUAAUCUGCAGUGCCAAGAUGAGGUUUAGUUUUCAAACUAAAUAAUCAAGUAAGCAAAAAUACAAAUUCAGAGAUUAGCGGGGUAAACUAGCUGGGUGGUUUAGAACUGGGCUAGCUACCUCCCUGUAUUCCUAUUUGUAAGGUGAAUUAAUUGAAUCAUGAGAAAACAAUGUGACCAUAGCUCAAUAUGAGAUGAUUUCGGAGAGGCAUAUUGUUUUCGAGUGAAUUUGAUCCAUUAAGAGAUGAAGUGGAUUGAAGUGGAAAGUUUAAAUAACAAAUCCUUGUUCUUGAGUUUUACGACGUCGUUACUCCUUCAGGUGGCAGAUUAUGCAAGUGAAUUCAAAAACACAAUGCAUCAAUCACGGGGACAAAAGACGGGAUCACAGUCUAUGCAUUGAACAGUUACAGUUGCUGCUACCAAUUGUUCGGCAAAGAUCAAGAAGACUGAACGGGAAGCUAAUGCCAUCAAUGUCGUCUUCACUAUAUCUGCUGGGAAUGUAGGUGAACUUUCCUCAUUUGCAGCUGUCUAUACAUAGGCUUUUCCCCAGCUUAAGUACAAAUAAAUGAAGCUGCCUUGAAGGCUUUAUUAUUGACCCCAAUAAGGAUUACUAAUUGAAGAAGACUAUACGGAGUUAAUCUCACAUUUUAGUUCUCUCAAUUUCUUUCAGAAGUGCCUCUGAAAAUAGCUGCCAAACCGUUAGUCAGCUUGUAUACUCUGUUUUCUGGAAACAGAGUAGCAUAUUUAAUCGUUUUAAUUGAAUUGUCUUCGUAGCGAUCAUCAACAAACUCAUCAUAAGAUUUUUGAAGCACCCAAGGACUAUCACUGGGUUUCUCUUCUGGUUGAUUUAUUAAUUAAUCAAAGAACGGUUGGAUGAAGUGCAAUGAUGGAGCAAAAUUUACAAUGUCUCCGGUUUCUCCUGACCAUCGGACUUUUGCAGUGAGAACAUAUAACAAAAAGACCUUCAUCAAAAUUUGUAGACUCCGGGUAUGGAUUGGAUCGAGUUUUUUGUUUGAUAUUGAAGAACCACUUUACUAUCGCGAUAUAGAUUAUGUGCAAGGGGUUGUCUACUGUUCUUUGCCUUGUGCUAUGAUCGGUGCUUUUGACGUUGCCCCGAAACAGUGGAAAAUACUUCGAUUUCCUCCGUUUGAUGAUGCAAAGAACUGGUUAAUGUACGAUUACCUAAUUGACUCAGGAUCAAGUAACAACAACAAUUUAUUAAUAGUAGUAUCACAAACGAAGAAGAUUUCGGAGAGGGUGAUGUAUGCCUAUACCGUUUACAGGUUUGAUCCACAGGGGAUGAAGUGGUCUCAAGUGGAAAGUGAUUUAUUAAACAACAAAUCAUUGUUCUUGGGUCAUACCUCAUGAUGUCAUCAAGUGGAAGAUGAAGAUUAUGCAAGACGAAGAUCGUUUGAUAUUGAAGAAUUUGAACAGAAAGCCCAUAGAAAGUACUUAAAUAAGCAUAUUCUUGUUGGGGUAGAAUAUUAAGAAAGGAGUUGUCUACUGUGUGUUGCGUGAUUAGGCUAUGAUCUGUGCUUUGAACAUUGCCCUCAAAACAGUGGAAAAUACUUCAUAUCCUCGACAUGAUGAUGAAAAAUUGGUUACCGAUUACCUAAUUGACUCAGUGACAACAAUCUAUUAAUAGCACAAUUUGGCGUGAUGCCGUUUAGGUAUAUGGUUUUCAAGUUUGAUUCAUCAGUGAUGAAGUGGACUAAAAUAAGAUGUUUAAAUGAUAAGUCAUUGUUCUUGGGCAUAUCGUCAUUACUACUUCUAGUGAUCAAAGAUGAAGAUGAAGAUGAAGAUGAAGAUGAAAAUUGUGCGAGUUCAAGAUUACCAUCAACUCAAUUUUAUGAUUGGAGUGUCUCACCGUGACUCAGACAAAUUCUGAUUCAACCUCCUUCACCAAUGGAUUUUGAUUAGUUAUUUUGUGAUCAAGCAACUUAAUUAAACUCACAGUUUGUUAGUCUAAUUUUAGUUUUACUGUGACCACUAUUCAAGGUAAGCGAAAGUUACAGAUGUGGCAAAAUCAAUAAUUAAAUUCAUAAAAUGUUAAAAAAUAAAACUUAUAAAUUUUGCAUGACUACUUACUAAUAAAUAAAUAAGUUAGAAUGUAGUUAGUUAAUUUUACACCAUAUUAUAUAUUAUUCGAUAAUAAUAUAAAAUAAAAAGAAUUAAAAAAUAAAUAAUUGAAUAAACAAAUAUGACUUUCUAAACAGUAAAAAUUCUAGAGUUAAAAUUUAUAUUAUUAUUUUAUUUUUUAAAAUUGACAUAUUUCUAUUAUCUUACAUGUACACAGAUUUUGAGAGUUGAGAAGAAUAUAUUUAAUGAAGCUUGCUAACAUUUGGUGGGAUAGCAAGUAAGGGUAAAUAAGAUUUUUUUGUUAUUUAUUUGAAUUAUAUCUAUUUUGUUCAAGUUAAAAUACUAAAUAUAAAUUGGAGGUAGACAUUUUAACAGAUCAUCUAAGCUCUCAAAUCUGAAAUUUUGUGUAGAUUUAAAUUCAUAAUUUUAGUUAAUUUUCAUACAUUCAUAUAAACAAAUUUAUGAGAUUUUUCUUUUCAGCAUGUUAUAUUUUGAAACUUUCAAUGUAUUAUUCUAGCUUUAUUUAAAUAAUUAAUUUAUUUAAAAUUUAUUUAAUUUUGAAUUUGAUCAAUAGUAAAAUUAUUUUUAUAUCAAAUUUUUUUAUUUAAAUAGUUCGUGGAUUGGACAAAAUUAAAAAUUUUUAAUCCACAAAAUGGUGGAUUAGAUAUGAAUUGGGUUAAAUACACAUUCGAUCCGCAGUCGUAUGAAUUUGAUUUGGAUUGAAUUUCAUCAAUCCAUGGAUUAGAUUGGAUUGAAAAAUUUAUUAUCCGCAAAAUCGUGGAUCGAAUAUGGACUGAUGUCCAAUCAGCAAAAUCCAAUCCCCGAACACUCCUCUAUCAAAAUUUUCAAGAAUAUUUUUUAUCUUACAAAUUUUUUUUAAAGUCAUAGUCUAAGGGCGGCCCAAUUUCUACUCCAUCCAUAUAAGCGGAGUUCAAAUCUCAUACCUCUUAUCUCCACACAAGAGAUUUAACCAAUUGAAAUAGCUAGCACCCACAAGUAUACUAGUACAGCAUCUCUUAACGUUUAACAUACGUAAAAUUAACGCCAUAGCUAUUGAUAAACACAUUGUUCAAUAUAUAUGAUCAAGAAUCUGAUCCUGCGAGCAACAGCAGUCAGAAGAACCAUUAUAAUGCCUAGCUCUUAUCCUGGUUAAUCCUCUGGCCCGAUGCUUCAUCAUAGUGAUUUAAAAAACCAACAACAGCUCUCUAAAAGAGAUGAAGAUAUCAUCUACGUAAAGAACAUGAGACGGAGAUUCACAACCCAUAAGAACUGAGAUAAAUUGGACCAGACCAGUAAUCUUGAGAUAAGUUAAACUGUGACUUAAGUUGAAAUCAGAGGACAGGAAUUUUAAAAUCUUUCGGCUAAGCCCCUGAGGAAUUUUCUAGAGUACGACUUCUGCUUACCUCUGUUUAAUUUCUCUUUAUAUUUUUCUUUCAUUUCAUUAAUAAAGUCAAAUAAUAAAUCAAAGAACGAGGGAAGAUUUUUCCAAGUCAUGCAUUAUUUGAUUACCAUCAAUCAAGAAACCGACCAAAUUAAUUUCUCUCCGUGAUUUUUAAAAAUUAAAAAAAAAAUAUUUGAGCAUAACAUCAUUAAUUAUAGAGUGGAUCAAACUGCGUUAAUCAUGAACUUUGUUGUGUUAAUUAUUUCAAUCCCCGAUUACGCAAUUUUUAAAUUAUAGCCUAACGGUGGUCUCAUCACCACGUGUGUGAUUUUCUUUUGCCAAUAGGAUCUGUAGAGAGCUUGAUCUCACCCAAUAGCAAAAUAAACUUCCUAAUAAGUGAAGGCAUAGUAUAAAUAAUUCACCCCCAUAUUAUUUAUUAGCAGCUUGAUUAUUUUAUAUGCAUCUUUGAUUUAAAUUUUUUUUUCCCAUAAUUGCUACUAUGUUCGAACUGGUCAUGAAUUAUCUAUAAGAUUUUUCAUGUUGCUUUUAGGUGCAUUGGAUUUUUUUUAGUUUAGUGCAAGAGUAGAGGAAGGCAAAUUAAGAAAAAGGAUAAAGAUCUAUGAUUAGCUAUUUUGGGAUGUCUCAUAACAUAUUGAUGGUAACAUUAUACAUAUGUAUAUCUAAAAAAUGGGGUUGGAUCAAGAGCCCAUUAAUAAUCAUAGAUUAGCUUAUAUAGCAAUUUCACAAGCACAUGUUAGCCUAUGUUGAGCUUUAUUAUCAAUAGUUCAUAGUUCAUCGGUGCACUGCAGGUUUACUAUUUGAAGUAAAUAUUAUGGUGCGUGCAUUUUUUAUAAGGCCAACUGCUGAAUUUAGCAUUGAAACUUACAAAAUGUAAUAGAGAGAGGUAGAUAACAGCCACAAAACACUAAGAUUGGAAAUCAGGGCUACUAAAUACUAUUACAAGCCCUUAGAAAAGACACUGAUCAUCCUAGAAUGUAUAUACUGAAAGUAAGAAAUAUUAAUCGCAAAGUUAUGUGCCAACAAAACUAUUGACUACUUGUCUCUAGCAGAAGGUAUAUAUUUUUAACUUCAGCUCUCUACUUUGUUCUAAGAACUAGGCAAAAGAAUGAAACUUCGGUGUCUAAAGUUUGCCGCUUGAAAUAUUUCACUGUCUAAACAUUCACUCACCACUUAUUUCAUAAAUGAAUUUUGUCUAACUAUAUGUUGAUAAAGAUAUUAGAGGUAAUAUAAUGCAUUUAAGACUUAACGUAUAUUUUUUAUUAGUAGAGUGUAGAAUUUUUAAGAAAUAAAUUAUUAAAUUACUAUAACUAACAUAUUAUUUUAAAGUUAUGUUAAGAAAAGAAUGAAAAUAAAAAAUAAAAAAAUAAGGGUAUUCUAAAACUUUGAUCCUUUUAAAAGUAGUUUUUGACGUAAAUAAAAUAAUUUUUAUUUUUUUUAAAUCACAUACUCUAGUUAAAAUCAAAUUUGUAUUUAUAAAGAUUGUAAAAUUUUUUUUAGCAUUAAUAUUUGAAUACUUUCAAGAUAAGAAAUAGGGUACUAAUUAUGCUACAACAUUAUUAUAGCACAUAAAAAGACAAUACCCUUUAUAUUAUUAUACUAUCGUUUUUGUUAUGAUAGUAUUUUGUUAGUGGUCAAAUAUUACUUUUUUAAAUAAAAAAGUAGACAAAUGUAAAUCAAUUUUUAAUCUCUCCUAAAAUUCUAAUUCCUAGUUACCAAACAAAAUUGUUUGAAAAUAAUUUGGCUAAGUGCAUGGGUUCUUAAAACUAUAGGUGAUAGAAGUUACAAGCACAAGCAAAUUUGACGGUCCAUUUUAUAAAAUUUUUAAUAAUUUUUUAUUUACCAUUUUACCACCUAUAUAAUGAGUGCCACAUCGACAAAUCAAUUCAUUUGCAAAUUAUAUUAAUUUUGUAAAAUUCAUUUGACUUGCUAAACCCUUCUUAUCCCCUUUCUCGACUGUCAUACCCUAACCUUAUUUCCCGUGUCCACACUUGACCACGCUCAAUUCAGGCCAUCAGAUUAUCCUGGACCCACAUUAAUCCAACUGCUCACAAUGACCGACAGCCUCUCCAUCUCCAUUUCAAGCUUCCUCUUCAACUGGCUUCUGCUUCCGUCGUACUCUUUCUUGGAUUCGGAGUCCGUAUUUGCUCGGCCGGUCCCGCACAGCUCCCUCUCACUCCAAUUGUCACCCAACAAGACCAAUUGCUUAACAUUGACCGUAUGGCAAUUGUCCGUAUUUCUUGGAUUCGGAGUCCGUAUGGCACAGAACAAGAAGAGGAUGAGAAAUUGAAACAAGAAUUUGAGAAUUGGAAAUCGAAAACGUACGCAUUGACCGUGCCUUUGAGGGCAAUUACUUUUCUUGAGAAUUGAAGUUUGGUAAUGUAAUUUGUUCUCCAUCUGUGUUCCCUUUGUAGUCAUUUCAUUUAUUUGUUUGUUUGCUUUUAUUUGCACUUACGAAGUCUCAGAUAUAUCUACGCAGGAAUGAUGCAGGAGAAAUUGAUCCUCGAGCUUACAAGAAAAGUAAAUUUCGAAAGCAUAAUUUGGCUCCGAUUGAGGUAAUAAUUGUCUUUAAACUCAUUUAGUUUUAUAUCAAACAAAAUAAAGGCUGCCUUUCUCUUCAAUAUUUUUUAUGAUAAUAUCUUUAGAAGCAUCUCAUUGACGGGUAAUCAUGGUAUCCCUUAAAGAGUCUAUAAACUCAAUGAUAUUUUCUUCUGCAAAUGGUUCAUUAAACUUCUUAGACGUAGUUAAAUGUACACUAAGAACAACGAGAAGCUAUGCCGCUGUAGCAUGUAGUGAGAUCUUGUUUGAAGUUGUUUUCUGAAAUGAACUGCCAAAUGGUAGUUUUUUAUUUCUUGGGUGCAUUUGAUGACUCUUUUCUCCUCAUUUUAAGCAUGUACCUGCUUGGAAUGGGAAGGAAUAGGCUUCCGAGUUGUUAUAUAUGUUGACAUGCUCUGAUCAUUACACAAAAUGUUCAAAUUGGAAAUUAGAAUGAGAUAUUUGUCGAUGCUUUUUGAGAGAUCUGCAUUCUAUGCACCAUAACAUGAUUAAUGAAAACAGGUUUAAGGACUGGAAAGAUCUGUGGCGGCCCAAGCUUGCAGGAAGGAUUUCAAUGGUUAAUUCUCCCAGAGAGGUUAUUGGUACAGUUUUGAAGUAUAUGGGAGCAUCAUACAAUUCAAACGACAUUGAUUAGCAAGUUGCUGCUGGGAGGAUUGCUGUUCAGCAGAAUCUGGCAUUACUGGGAAACCAGGUACUCUUAAAGAAAUGAUAUCUGGUCAAUGCAUAUUACUGCCUGAGCUGAUUUUGUUUGUAAAGUCUGCCUCUUCAUACAUAUGAAUGCAUAUGUUAGUGUUUUCUUCUCCUUUUAAUACACAUGAAUGCAUAUGUUAGUGUUGUCUUCUCCUUUCCAUAAAUAUGAAUGCAUAUGCUCUGGGUGUUGGUUACUACUUCAAGUGGAAGGUGAAGGUGAUGCAAGUGAUUUCAGGAGUACAUAUAUUCCAAGGAUGCUGGACUAUUAUUGCUUCCCCCCAUAUUUCAGAAUUUUUUGUCAACCUCCUCCACUAAGGGAUUCCAAUUGAGUUACAAAUAUAUUUUCUGUAGCUAUGUUUUAAAGUUUUGGUCUCAUGUUAAUUUUUCUAAUUACUAUUCUUCAACAAAUCUCUUUUACUUUAAAAAACUGCUACAGUUUGAUUUUACUGCCUUAUAUCAUUGAACAUUGAUACAUGGAAUUUGAAAUCAGACUUGUAACAACAGAUAUAUAGAUAUAGAACAUGCAUAUAAUCUCCAUUUCGAGCUCCCUCUCCAACUGGCUUCUGCUUCCGUCGUACUCUUUCUGGGAUUCGGAGUCCGUAUUUGCUCGGCCGGUCCUGCACAGCUCCCUCUCACUCCAAUUGUCACCCAACAAGACCAAUUGCUUAAUCAAGGCACAGAACAAGAAGAGGAUGAGAAGUUGAAACAAGAAUUUGAGAAUUGGAAAUCGAAAACGUAUGCAUUGACUGUGCCUCUAAGGGUUGUUUCUCUUCAGAAUUCAGUGCCUCAAUCUUGGGUUAAGGAUUUUAUGCGAAGUCAAGGAAAGAGAUUGAAGUUUCAGAUGAAUUUGUGUGCUAGCAUUGGUGGGAUCUUUAACAAUUUAUCUGUGCCCUUUAACAAAGUUAAGGGUAAGUCAGCUUCGUAUACGGCUGCUGAUUUGGUUAGUGUUGGUGAUUCAUGGCUCAGUUUUGCGAUUAAAAAGAGAUUGAUUGAGCCAAUAGCUGAAGCUGAAGAUCAAGAUUGGUUCAAAUGCUUAUGUCACAAAUGGAAGGUAACAUACUAACAUCUUUAUCUUUGACCCGAUAAUUUUUAUUGUCUUACAUUGAAAUUUGGUAAUGUAAUUUGUUCUCUAUUUGUGUUACCCUUUGUAGUCGUUUUAUUUAUUUGUUUAUUUGCUUUUAUUUGCACUAAUGAAAUCUCAGGUAUAUCUACGCAGGAAUGAUUCAGGAGAAAUUGAUCCUCGAGGUAAAAUAUGGGCGGCACCAUACAGGUGGGGCACAACGGUGAUAGCCCACAAGAAAAGUAAAUUUCGAAAGCAUAAUUUGGCUCCGAUUGAGGUAAUAAUUGUCUUUAAACUCAUUUAUUUUUAUAUCAAACAAAAUCAAGACUGCCUUUCUCUUCAAUAUUUUUUAUGAUAAUAUCUUUAGAAGCAUCUCAUUGACGGGUAACAAUGGUAUCCCUGAAAGAGUCUUUAAACUCAAUGAUAUUAUCUUCUACAAAUGGUUCAUUAAACUUUGUCGUUGUAGUGAAAUGUACACUCAGAGCAAUGAGAAGCUAUGCCACUGUAGCAUGUAGUGAUGGCACUUAAUAAGUGAGUUGCUAGGAUGUGAACUAGAAAAAUUAAAUAUUGUCUCCUUGGGUAUGCUAGCUCAUAAGUCAGGGUUAAUAUUAGAGCUUAAGUUACUAUAACCAUGAGACGCUAUUGACUGCCAAUUAAAAUAUCCAUUAAAUUGUCUAGGAAGUUAUGAAAGUGGAGGUAUCUUCCGAUUUCUAAGGCCAGAUAGUAGACAUCAUCCAGGAUCCUAGGAAAGUGCAGUUAACCUCCUGCUCGAUGCAAUUAAUAAAUUUGGUCAAUGCCACUGAAACCUGCAAACCGACGUCACAAUGCAAGAUGAGCACUUCAAAAUGGGACAGACGGUCAGUAGCACUAAAUUUUUCUUUCCCAAGAUUGAGCAAUUGGUCUAACAACUAACCCCUAUUGUAGGUUGAUCAUUAUUUUUCCAAUUAUGUUCAGUUUGACCCAAAAAGUUACAGAAUCUUGAGCUGAAUAUUGUCACUGAACACUGUCAAUGUCGUUUAGCAUACCCAACUAACUUGAGUUUGGUAAAACAAACACACUGUGUGUCUCAUCUCUCACAAUUCAAAUUAUCAUCUGUAAUGAUGGAGAAUUUUUCCGAUGUAUGAAGUAUGCUUUGAUACGUGUACCUUGGAGAAGAUAUCUCCAAAUAAAGAAUAUGGAGAGAAAACGGUUCAGUAGUUUAUUAUUCUGUAGGCAAUUCUUGUCUCAAAAAUGGUCAAAAUUUAAAUGAAUAAGGACAGGGGAUCUUCAUUCUUUUUUCCCUUUUUUAUACCAAGAUAUCUCUCAACCUUUAUAUAAUCCCCACUGGAUAUCUGCUUCUAAUAAUUAAAAUAAAAAUUUCACCCGCACAAAUAAAUACUGACCAAGCUCUAACAAUAAAAAGUAACAUCUUUACUCAAGUAAUUUACAGUUCCUCAUCAUCUUAGUGUGAGACUAUCAUUACGUUCCAAAAACAUAAUAAAACUGGUUUGAUCCUGUUUAUUGAUGUUUAAAUGUUGUUCAUUGUGACAUGUAGAAAUGAUGAGGCGAAGUUUAUUUGGUCAUCAAUUAGUAAGAUCUUGUUUGAAGUUGUUUUCUGAAAUGAACUGCCAAAUGGUAGUUUUUUUGGGCAUAUGAUGGCUCUUUUUUCCUCAUUUUCAACAUGUGCCUGCUUGGAAUGGGAUGGAUUAGGCUGCAGAGUUGUUAUAUAUUUUGAGAUGCUCUGGCCAUUGCACAAUUUGUUCACACUGGAAAUUAGAAUGAGAAAUUUGUUGAUGCUGUUUUGAGAGAUCUGCAUUCUAUGCACAAUAACAUGAUUAAUGAAAAUGGAUUGUAGGACUGGAAAGAUCUGUGGCAGCCUGAGCUCGCAGGAAGAAUUUCAAUGGUUAAUUCUCCCCGAGAGGUUAUUGGUUCAGUUUUGAAGUAUAUGGGAGCAUCAUACAAUUCAAGCGAUAUUGAUUCGCAAGUUGCGGGUGGGAAGAUUGCUGUUCAGCAGAAUCUGGCAUUACUGGCAAACCAGGUACUCUUAAAGAAAUGAUAUCUGAUCAUGCAUGUUAUUGCCUGACAACUGAUUUUGUUUGUAAAAGUCUGCUUCUUCAUACAUAUGAAUGCAUAUGUUAGUGUUCUCUUCUCCUUUUCAUACAUAUGAAUGCAUAUGUUGGUGUUGUCUUUUCCUUUUCAUACAUAUUAAUACAUAUAUUGGUGCUCUCUCCUGAGAUGGAUGCAAUAAAGGCUUUUGGUCCUAAAUUUAGCUGAAGAAAUGGCAAGGGAUGUGAGAUUCUGUCUCAUUAAAUUAACAAAAACCCAAAACAAUGAAAACCGAUAAUAAUGUGGUGGGGGUAAAUUGGCACCAUUUGGUUUGUUUCCUUAAUGUGAAUACACGAGCAAUAGGGACUAACAAAAUGAAGUGACAACAACAAGUCAGUGUCCUUUGAUGGAUGCAUUUUAGGCAGAAAUAGGUUUGUAAUUGACCAAUUUCAAAAAAUUUAAAUUAUGUGGUUAUUAGCUGUAAUGAAGGGGAUAGUAGGUGCAAUCAGGUGGAUCCAGGAAAGUUCAACAAAGUUCUGGUAUGGCAUAGUGAAAUUGGUUUGUGCAACUCAAGAGUCUUUCAGGUGAACGAUGAUACGUUUUGAUUUAUAAAUGUUAUAAAUCUACCGUCCAUAGUAUUCUAGUAGAGUCAUCUAUAAGUUCUAGUUAUUGAAAUUGUCUACUUUGUCCAGUUUGAGUUAAGGGCACAUGUAAUAGGAAAAAUAGUAUUCACAUCUUUUUGGUUACCUAACAUUUGAUCGAUCCUAUUAUGAGGGCUUCAAGAUGCCUGACAAUAUGUAGAAUGCCCAUGCUCCUCCCCAUUGUUUAUCUUAUACAAUAAUUUGUUUUAGAUGCUAAUAUAUUUGUCGAUACCGGUAACGAUAUUACAAUAUCUGCGUUUAUUGGGUUUUACAUAGGUUCGACUGUUUGACAGUACACACUAUCUGAAGGCAUUUGGAAUUGGAGAUGUAUGGGUUGCUGUUGGGUGGAGUAGUGAUGUUCUUCCUGCUGUCAAACGUAUGUCUAAUGUUGCAGUUGUUGUUCCCAAGUCUGGUGCUAGCUUAUGGGCCGAUCUUUGGGUAUACCCAUGCCUGCCAUUCUACUUCGAUAUUCACAUUGUUAUCUCCUUCAUUUUAGCGAUCAUAAACUUGAUAAUGUGACUAAUAAGUUCGUAUUCUCUAUAUAGGCAAUCCCUGCUGCCUCAAGACUUGAAACAAAAGAAAUUGGAGGGCGAGUCAGAGGUCCAUCUCCAUUAAUCCAUCAAUGGAUAGAAUUCUGCUUGCAAACAGCGAGAACAUUGCCUUUCAAGCAAGAGGUUAUCCCGGGCGCAUCUCCCUCUGCCCUUGAAAGUACUCUGGUUAAGUUGCCUGAAGAACUUCUGAUGGGUAAACCAAGUCUGGAUACUAACUUAAUUGCUGGAGUACCCCCGGCUGAAAUUCUGGCCAGAUGUGAGUUUUUGGAGCCAUUGCCUGAAGCUACAUUGUCAGAUUAUGAGUGGCUGGUUGCUAAUCUGCAAAAACCUGCCCCCGUCUUGAUGAAAAGGCUGCAACAUUACUUGUCAUCAUUAAUCCAAAGCUUUCUAGCAAAAGCUACAUUGAAAAGUUAAUGGCACUGCAUGCCAGUCAUUGUAAUGCUGUCAGGGCUAUUGGGUCAGGGCAAUUAGGUAAGAGCAUAACUUCAUUAGGAAAAGAGGCUUCAGCUACGUUAAAUAUUGCAGGAUGUACUGAGAUGGUUGAAGUUCUUGAGGUUUUACGAGAAACGAAAGAUGAGUGUUUGUUUGAACAAAGUUGUUGCCAUCUUGCAAGAUCACUGAGCGAAUGCCACCGAUUUCUUAAUCAUUGUAGCCUCCAUAGUUGAAGUUUCCUUAUUUGAAGCUGUUUAUGCGUACGCUUUUUCCCUGCUCAAGUACAGGAAAUUGAAGAAUUAACCAGAUGUGAUAUGCUGAAAGAGGGAAGUUUUCUUCCUUGAACGUGGCCUUGUGAUUUGUCUUGAAGGAAUAGGAUGAUCACUGGCAAGAACCCUAUCAAGGUAGAUUUUAUGGUGCUAACGUAUUAUUAAGCAUUUUGUUACAUCAGCAAUGAUGCUUCCAUAGCAUGAAAGUGUUUAAAUUUAACUGAAUGAUCUUGAUUAAUCAAUUAUGAGUUUUAAUCGAGUAAAAACUAAAUACAAUCAUCGUUAGCAAAUACUGAAAUUGGGUAAAUAUGAUCUUGAUAUUGAAGAAUCUGAAAACACAACCCACACAGGGAAUCACCCUUCGCGUGGGGAUGGAGAUGUUUACUGCAGCGAUAUUGAAUAUGUCCACUGCUCUUUGGGUUAUGGUGCGACUUGCCCUGAAACAAUGGAAAAGAUUAACAUACCCUGCAAUGAAUGAAAGCGGCUGGACUAAUUCUGAUUACCUAAUUGACUCAGGAUCGGGUGGCAAUAAUGACAGUUUAUUAACAAUGCACAGUUCCGAGUACUUUUCCAGGAUCAGAUAUUACGUGGUCUAAUGUUGAUAAUAAUAGAUUAUCAAAUGAGAGAUGCUGAGAGAUGCUGGUCUACCUUUGCAAGCCCCCAGAUUUAAGAAUCUUUUGAUGAUAAUUUACCACCUGUACCUGUGCCGGAAGAUUCACCUAGCACUGAAAAAGAUGAUAAUUUAAUUGAUAUGGAUAGUUUUCAUAACACUUUUAAAUCAUCUAUAUGUGAACUAUUAUUGACGCUAUUUUGUUGUAAACAAUCUUAUUCAAUUAAUAUAUAAUUUAAAAUCAUUAUGUAAAUCAAUCUAUUACUUUUCAUGAUAUUUAAUUGAGUUAAAACUAAGUGCACCCAAUAAAUCUCUUUUCCUUUAAAAAACUGUUACGCUUUGAUUUUAGUGCUUAAUAUUUACGGAACUCCGGUACAGGGAAUUCGAAAUCAAACUCGUAACCACAGAUUAUCUAAUUGCAAGUUUUUGUCCAUAGUUGCUGAUUGUAGUGAUUAUCUAAUUGACUGAGGUGACAACAAUUUUUUUUUUUAAUUUUCAAUAGCAUAAUGUGGAAUUCAAUAAUUAAAUUCUCCUUUUUAAUUUGUUUCCAAUUAAAUUAUUAAUUACUUAAACUCUGUUUUAAGUCUUUAAUUUUAUGUCUUGGCGUAUAUGCAGGGUUGGAUUCUUGAGCGUGUUGGACACGACCAACAAUGAAAUUGACAGUAAACAAACAUUACAACGCGUUGAGUGUCGACUCCGCUAGCUGCCCUACAAGUCUACAACUUUACAAACAACAACUGAGUACACACAUUUGAUUCUUGGGACCCUUCAAUGAAUUUCUAGCCCGGUUGACUCCACCGACAAAAGUUUUGGAAAAUAAAAAAGAAAAUUCAUAGAAUUCCACCAAAUGCAAAACGCGUGGAAUUUAAUUUUCGGCCAUGUGGACCAAAACAUAAUUUAAUGAAAAAAAAAGAUAAGAUUUCUAAAAUGUGUGGAAGGUGAUCCAUAUUUUACUGAAAACAACUUGUUAAAUUUUUCAAAGAUUUAGAAUAUUUGGUCAUAAAUUACGCUCAUGUUAAUUUUUCCGCUAUUGACUAUCAUAUUCUAGACUCACUGGUACCUUUCUUGAUGAAGGGUACUUAGUCUCUCUUCUCCUCUUAUAAAAAUUAUAUUAAGUGAUUUCUUAUUAUAAUAAAUAGUCUUUAAGAACGUAUAGAUUUAUUGUUUUCGUGACCAAAUUAUGCCAGCUUAAGGUUGCGACUAUUAAUAAAAUUAAUAUUUAAUGUUUAUGUUAAAAGAUAUAAGAUUUUAUGCAUUCAUUAAUUGUUAUUAGCUAAAGGAUUAAUUAUUUUUUCAACCCAAUCAGUUGAUGCAUCUGCAAAAAAAAUUUCUUUUAUUGACCAUAAUUAUAUUCCGGGUACAAUAAAUUAUCUUUGGUGCUUGGAAAAUUUGACUUCUUACUUCAAGUUUGAUGUGUCUCUCUCCAUAAGCUUACUGGAAAUAUAUCCUUUUGUAUUAUUAAUAAAGUGAAAUUUGUUGCUCCUUCCUUCUAAAUCUAAACAGAGUUUCACAAUUUCACCAACUUGGAAUAUUUGACAUUGGACUUUUCCUCUCUCCAUAUAAGCCUUCUGCAAAGAAUUGCAUCGUUAUUCCCUUCAUUAAAAAAUCUGUCGAUGUCUGGUUGUGAAGUCAAUGGUGUCCUACGCGGUCAAGGUAAAAGAAAAGUGUUGAUUGUGAACUCACUCAAUGGUGUCCUACGUGUUCAACAUUUUUAUUUAUUAAUCUUUCUGCUAGAUUUUCCUCAUUUCAAGAGUUUGGAACAUUUUGACCAGCUUUCUUCAAAUCAUCGGUGAAUCAAUGCCUUCUCUUAAGUACUUAUCACUGUCAGAUUCUACUCUUGGCACUAACAGCAGCAGGAUUCUUGUUCGAGGUUAAUCAGAUGCUCCCACCCUCCCUUCUUAAUCUAUAAUAUUAAUUUUCAAUUAAAUAUUCAAUUACACAAACCAAUCACUUAUUAUAAAAGAACAAUACGCAUUCAUUAAUUUUUAUAUUGUAUUAAUAAUUGAUGAAUUUAAUAAAUUUUCAAAUAUUGUAUUAAUAUUUGACAUCCAUUGAAGAGCUGUAUCUUUCAAACAAUCACUUCCAGAUCCCAAUUUCACUUGAACCAUUUUUCAAUCACUCACGACUCAAGAGUUUCUAUGCUGACAACAAUGAAAUAAAUGCAGAAAUAAUUGAGUCGCAUUCUUUGACUGCCCCAAACUUCCAAUUAAAAUAUCUCUCAUUGUCUUCCGGUUACGGAGAUGGUGUCACAUUCCCCAAAUUCCUUUACCAUCAACAUGAUCUGGAGACUGUUGACCUCUCACAUAUAAAGAUGAGUGGAGAAUUUCCAAAUUGGUUGUUGGAAAACAACACAAACUUAGAAUAUCUUUUUUUGGUUAAUGAUUCUCUUGCAGGACCUUUUCGGUUGCCAAUUCAUUCACACAAGCGGUUAAGACUGUUGGAUAUAUCCAACAACAACAUCCGAGGCCACAUUCCAGUAGAAAUUGGAGAUGUUUUACCAAAUUUAUACGUUUUCAACAAUUCCAUGAAUGCUUUAGACGGUAGCAUUCCCUCUUCAUUUGGUAAUAUGAAAUUCCUCCAAAUUCUAGACUUAUCCAACAAUCACUUGACUGGUAAAAUCCCCGAGCACUUGGCCAUGGGUUGCGUCUACUUGAAUUUUCUUGUCUUGUCAAACAACAACCUACAAGGUCAUUUGUUCUCUAGAAAUUUUAACUUGACAAACUUGAAAUGGUUACAAUUGGAGGGCAAUCGCUUCGUAGGUGAGAUCCCAGAAAGUUUGUCUAAAUGCUCCUCACUAGAAGGAUUGUCUCUUAACAAUAAUAGUCUUUCGGGUAAGAUUCCACGAUGGUUGGGUAAUCUCACAUGGUUAGAAUAUAUUAUAAUGCCCAAUAAUCAUCUUGAAGGCCCUAUUCCAGUGGAGUUUUGUCAGCUUGAUUUGCUUCAGAUUUUGGGCAUUUCAGACAACAACAUAUCUGGAAGUUUACCAUCUUGUUUCCAUCCUCUCUCUAUCAAACAAGUUCAUCUUUCAAAAAAUAUGUUACAUGGACAGCUAAAAAGAGGUACAUUCUUUCAUUGCUCUUCCCUUGUGACAUUAGAUCUUAGCUAUAACCGCUUGAAUGGCAGCAUUCCGGAUUGGGUUGAUGGGCUUUCUCAGUUAAGCCACCUUAUCUUAGGUCACAAUAAUCUUGAAGGUGAAGUGCUAGUUCAAUUAUGCGAAUUGAACCAACUACAAUUGUUAGAUCUUUCUAAUAAUAAUCUUCACGGUCCUAUUCCUCCUUGCUUUGAUAACACCACACUUUAUGAAAGUUACAGCAAUAAUUCUAGUCUUGAUGAGCAAUUUGAAAUAUCUUGUUCCAUCGAAAGCCCUCAGGGAGAUGUAGAAAAGCAAAUCCGUGAAAAUUUUGAGUUCACAACAAAGAACAUUGCGUACAUUUACCAAGGAAAAGUGCUUAGCCUCCUAUCAGGACUUGAUCUUUCUUGCAACAAGCUAAUCGGUCCUAUUCCUCCUCAAAUUGGAAAUUUGACAAGGAUUCAAACAUUGAAUCUAUCACACAACGACUUGACAGGAUCGAUCCCAUCAACAUUUUCAAACUUGAAGCAUGUCGAAAGUUUGGAUCUUUCCAACAACAAAUUGAAUGGGAAAAUCCCUCAUCAACUAGUGGGGUUAAAGACAUUGGAGGUUUUCAGUGUGGCAUACAAUAACUUAUCAGGCGAAAUUCCAGAAUGGACUGCACAAUUUGCAACAUUCAAUGAGAGUAGCUAUGAGGGAAAUACUUUUCUUUGUGGAUUGCCAAUGCCCAUUUGCAGAUCACCAGAAACUAUAUCGGAGGCUUCAAUUGGCAAUGAACGAGAUGAUAAUUUAAUUGACAUGGACAGUUUCUUUAUCACAUUUACAACAUCGUACGUAAUUGUGAUAUUCGCAAUUAUUAUUAUUUUAUAUGUAAAUUCUUAUUGGCGACGUAGAUGGUUUUACUUUGUUGAAAUGUGGAUAACUUCAUCUUACUAUUUUGUUGUAGACAAUCUUAUUCCAACAUGAUUUUGUCAUUGAAAUUAAUUAGUAGCUUAAUUACGAUCCUUUAAGUACUAAUCAAGUUUGCUUAGGAAAUAUUUUUUUAUUAAAAUUGUAGUAGUAUUUAGCAUUAUAUAGCUUCCAACUUCCAAGCACUUCACAUUUGUCUCUACACUUAAAAAACUGAGUGAUCAUGUUUUGCAGAUCUGGAUUUGGAGCAGGAUGGAUCCAAACCCAUAUCUGUCCACCAUAACUUAUAGCUUCCCUAUACUGUGCAGCAUACUUAAAUAAGAGAACCAUCUCCAAUGUUAAAAGCAUUCACUCUAUAACAUUCAUUUAGAAACUAUAUUCAGAAUAAUUUUAUAAUUAAACACAAGAAAUGAAACACACAGAUACACUUGAUCGCCUAUUUUACUCUAAAAAAGAACGAUUACUGUGCUAUCAUCAUCUUCUUCACUAGCAACAUUAACACCAAAUCGAUAGACCCAUACAUUUCAUCAAGAAAGGUAUAUAUCCAAUAAAGUUGAAGCCUAACAAAAAAUUCAAGAAGAUUAAUGCCUCGCCACAACAAGGGGCACAACAACAUCAAAGUAGAGAUUAAGCAGUAUUCUCAAAGCUAAAACUCUCAAAUCCACCCACCAGAAUUUCAUAUCUCCUCAACAAUUUUAAGAAAUAAAGAUAAUUAGGAUUUAACAUUAGUUUUUUAUAUAUUAGUUUCAUAAUUUACAAAUCAAUGAAGAUGAAGAUUAUGCUAAUAAAUUCAAAUUAUACCAUACAUUCUCUAGAUGUUACCAAAAAUUUCUAAGUCAAUCCCACAUAUUUCAUAAUUUUAAGACUAGAAAAUUUCACUAGUUAGAAGUUUCAUUAACUUCAAGUGGAAGAUGAAGAACAUUAUACAAGUGAUUCAGAUUAUAUCAUACAUACUCCAAAUGCAACUAGAAAUUAACAAGUUCAUGCGCACAUAUUUCAUAACAUUAUGAUUGAAACGUUUCACAAAGAGAAAUUCUAAAUUCAAUCUCUUGCAUGAAGGCAGUUUGAUUGAUUUGAGUUACUUUCUUAUCAAGCUACUAAUAUAACAUUCAAGUCAGGGAGAAAAUAAAUUAAAACUGGGAAGAAAUAACAGUAAAAAUUUGUUGCUCAACAUGAUGUGUAUUUUUUUUCAAGGCAAUUUGGAAACACAAUUGUUACUACAGAUAUUCUUCUCAACUUGGAGAUAAAUACAAAUAUUAAAAUGCAUAUGAUCGCACAUAUUACUUCGAGUUUAGUAAGAUUUCAUUAAAAGAAGCAAUCAAACCACUUAUCAAUUGUCGCAGUCGUUCUAUAAACUAAAAUAGCAAUAUAAUACAAGAAAAAGAACAUAUAGAUACUUGGCAAGAGUUCAUUAAGAAGUCGCAUCACAUUCGGGUGAGGAGUUUGCUUCUGAUAUCUUGCUAGCUGGGGCUUUUUCUUGUCUUUCUACGUAUGCCGAGGGAAACCAACCAGCUUGGCCCUUGCAUUCACCUUCCGACCAUCCAAUAGGAGCCACCUUGAGAAGUUAUAACUAAAACGGUGAAUUAAACAAAAGUUGACCGUUCAAAGACCUAAGGGGAAAACUAAUUCUUUUACGUAGGAGGAGUGAAUUAGUUGUGAUCACUGAAAUAACAGCAUAACUAUGGAAGCAUAACAAGAUAUAAAUUCACACGUCUAUAAGGAUAAACUGGGUGGUUUAGAACUGAGCUAGCAACCCUACUAUAUUCUGAUUUGCACUUCAAUGUAAAAGGGAAUAUAUGGUAGGAAGAAAGAAAACCAACCAUCAUUUGUUAACUCAUUGCUUUUCAAUCAAAAUUUUAAGAACAAAAUGCCAUGUGCUUUGAACAUCAAAUAAGUAUAAGCAUUAGUUCUAAAUUCCACAUAUCAUAAGUUGUUAGAAGGAUAAGUUAAUAGCAGAGUAGAAAAAUCAAUGUGUUGGUAUUUAGAGGGGAAAGUACCUGGCGAACCACAACAUAAUCAUCAAUUGAAAGACUUAGCUCUCCAUUUGCUUGAGCAUCAAAUGGAUGUAUAACCUGCAAGAUAAUGGGAUAAAUGGAACUUAAAAAAAGCAUAACAAAAGCAGCAACAGUAGCAGCAACGUUCAUUGUAACCACUAUGAUCAUGGCCAACAAAGAUAUAUUAGAAACAAAAUUCCAUUUUUACUAUGACAUUAAUAUGUACUAUACGAUAUCAUGACGAUUGGGUUACUAAGAGCUAUCAAAGUCUAAUAAGUUCUGUAUAACUUUAUGUAGUUAUUUAAAUUAUGGAUCAGAUUUUAAAUUUGAAAUUUUGACUGCUCUCCACAAAACAUGGCCUAUGCACAAGAAAGUCAUAGAUAAUGAGGAUUACAAGUGUCCGACAUCUUUUGAGUGAUGGAUUUAACAUGAGAGCUUAUGGUCAGUCAAUUUCCUCUGCCUAGCAAUAUAAGCUUUCUCGGCCAGAUUUAUCAUCAAAUACAUAGAUUGCCCCCAAGUCACAUCCAUAUAAACAUAGUUUUUCUAGGUAAACCAAGUAAGGAGCAUCAUAAUUCAGACAUAAUCAUAAAAAGGCCCAUCUAAAUUAAGAGAAAAUCUCAAAAAGAGGGAUGCUGAGCUAUCAGUCUUGUAUCUAUAAGCAAUAUCAAGACUUUACAUCACCUGCUACAUCAUGAGUGGCUACACAACUUUCAGUGGUUUGUCUUUCUUUGGCACGCCUAACUCAGCUUUGAUGUUGCUGAGAUAUUGAUAGUAGAGACACAUGAUACUUCUAGCUCAUGCAUUCUAUCUAACUCAUCCAACAACUAUCUCUUUUUUAAUUCAUUAGUGUUUGCUAAACCUCAUGCUUAAAAGUCCUGUUCUCCUAAAUAAAGUUUCCUAAGAAUGACUUCCUUAGCACCACAGUUGGACACUUGUAGAGCAAUUUUAUUUGGGGGAAAAGAAUUUUCAAGGUGUUAACUAAUAAAUUUUAAAAAAUAAUUACAAUUUGUCCUACGAUCAUAUGACAAUUUAUCUGGGAUGAAAGGAUACAGAUAGACAUCUUCCACUUUCAAGACUAAUCACUACUUCCGUAGAUGUUGUGCAAUAAUACAAAUACUUGACCAGAUGGUAGUGAUGGUAGAAAAAAAAUUUAUUGCUCCAAAAUUAAAAUAAGAAUGCAAUAUGUUAAGCAAAAGGCUGUGCAACAUCAAAUUAAUUGAUAAGAUAGAUGCAGACAAGCAAGUUAAAAUGCAUAGUCCCAAACCUCCGCAUACAACUUCUCUAAAAUAGCAAUAACGUGUUGAUGCUAUGUUUUCUCAGCAUCUACCUGCAAAGGCCCGAGACCAGGAAAACAACAAUAAAACCACUAGCUGAAGGAGAAAGCAAAGAAAGAAAUACACUUGACAUAAAUCUUGACAAGAAGCACAAUUUAAGACAUAACAAACCCCAAUCAUAUUGUUUAGAACUACCAUUCGUUAUUUCGUUAUUGUAACAUUUCGAACAAGUGUUGACUUAAUUCAACAUUGUUGGAAAGAUAGGCUUUUAGAAGCAGAAGAAAGCCUCUCAAACCAAAGUGCUGGUCCUUGUAUUGAUCAAGGGAUGUAAACAUAUUACAUUUGCAGGAUGAGAUUUAAUCACUCCCCUGAUUUAUUUGGGUUGCAGUAAAACUAAGCGAGCAACUGUUUGACUUCCAAGCAACAGCUAAAUCAGCUAUUAAAAUUCAAAUAAAAUCAUAAUAGAAUAAUAACAGGCCCUCUUGCAUCAAAAAUUAAGUUUAAUUUGUGCAUUGUUUUCUAUAGACAUGUCAGUUUCUGCUAUUGAAAUGUUAAAAGCAUUGAAAAAUUAUUCAAUAAAUUAUGCAAGCAUUAAAAUAGAGGACAUAUUAAAAAGUUUCUAAUUACAAUGCUAAUAUUUCCUAUAUUUUAGCAUUUGCAUAUUUUAAUUUAUUUAAAAGCUACGUCGAUCAACUUUGGGCAUGAAGAUUUUAGCUUCUACGAGACUUGAUUGGAAUAUGCAUAAGGAAGAGUGUUAAAAUAUGAUGCAUCCAACGAAAGAAAACCACGUGUAGUCUUUUAAUUAAGCCAAAGUAGCAGCUCAAACAAAUGACACUUGGACCAACAUGCAAUCAUGAAGUGGCCGGAAAAAGGACAAAUGCUACUUUGGCUUAAAUAAAAAAUAACAUGUGACUUGACUUUUGCUGGACAUGCAUCAUGUUAUUACAAGACAACAGAAAUCAGUAUGAUAGUACUAAAAGUUGACAAUAACAUGAAGAUAAGAGGCAGAAUGUCAACACAUGCAUAGGCACACACAAGAAAGUAUUAACAUAUAUACCAUAGCAAAAACUCUUUUAUAUGUCAUCUGUUGCUGCUGUGAUUCAACUGACAGCAAGGCAGCUGUCGCUUCUCUACCAAGAGCCAUUAUUUUAGAUUUAAGCUCGGUCAAUCUUGCUUCUGCAUUUCGAAGCUUCACAGCACUCUCUGCUGAUAUAUCAGAUUCCCUAAUCUUUGAUCGGUGCCUAAAUACUUCAGCUGCCUGGUGAAAAUAUUCAAUAUAAAUCUAAUAUAAUUCUCAUCUUGCCUUAUACAUGCAUAUGUUACGUCAAAGCUUACCUGGGCUUCAACUUCAUGUCGAAGUUUGUCAUAACAAUGAGUCAGGUGUCGAGCAUCUUCCAAAGGUGCUCCGUUGAUUAACGCCCGUAGUGGCUCAGAUACCUACAUGUCCAAAAACCUGUAACAUAGUUAGAAAAAUGAAAAGAAAGAGCGAAACCUCAAUUAAAAAGUUCAUCCAACAUAAUCAUGGAAUUUGGGCCUACUUUAAGAAUAUAUAUAAGGAUAAUUUAUGCAAUUUUGGGUCUUAGGAUGAUUGGUAUUAGGUUAGUGUUCUUCUCUUCUGUAUUUAAGGUUAAAAUAGAAAUAAACCUAUGCAAGUAUCUAAAUUAGGCCUGUAAGACAUCCACAUGCAUCCUUCAGUCUCAUGGAUUUGAUUUUACUAUAGAUGCAAGUGUCUUUAUCGAAAAUGCUUGGAGUCAAUUGAGAGAACUCAUGGCCAAUAACUUGUCACACGCUAGUCUUUGCUAGUGAUCACAAGGUCUCUUCAACAUUUGAACCAAUAAAAUUAUUAAGUCAUGGAUGUCACUAGCAAUGAUUUUAAUAUAAAACAUUAAAUAUUUCAGAGUUGUAACUUUAAAAUGGAUUCUUUUAUUCAAUAUCAUAGAACUAAGUUUCCUUAUGAGAAGAUAAUAGUUUCGAUAAUAAUUUUACAUAUAAUUUUCUAUAUUUGAAUUAUUUUCUAGUUAGGGAUGAACUAACCUGAUCACGAAGAAUCCCGAGCAAAGUUUCCCUCUCAUUUUCCAUCAAAUCAUGUGAAGUGCCAAAUUGAAGAGCAGCUCUUGCAACGCAAGAAUUGUCACUUUGAUUCUCUACUCCAUACUUGCAACAAUCUUCAGCCAACUUUCUCGCUACAAUAUUUGAAUACAAAAAUAUUGUACACAAGAACUAUAAAAAAACUAAUGAAAAAUGCCAAGAUGGAGCAGAUGCUUCAAUACUGCCUAUACAAACCAUAAAAAACUAAUGAAAAAUAAAUAAAAUCGAGAAAUUUUACUAAUUAAAAGUCUAAAUAUAAUUUUGAAAAAAGAAAAGAAACGGACUUGCUGCUGCUUGGCGACUUGUUCUCGGAGCUUGAUUGCCUGUUUCUUGAUAGCUUCCAUACUGUUUCUUUCAAAAAGCGACGACGGCUCUGCUCAUGGAAGUGGAAAAAAAAGUGUGAUCGAGAAAAAUGAAAAGGCGUGAAUAAUUUUUGACAAAAAGCGAAAAUCAAGGAAAGCCGGCUCUUUCCAGAAAAUAAAAAAAAGAAAAAAAGAAAAAAGAAAAUCAUAAGUUUGAAAGGAGAAGAUGAUAUUGGAAGUAUGCAGUGUGGCUGCCAGGUACUUGGAUUGUAUUGUCGGGUAAGGUAAUAGUGGAGAAUUGUAAGUUUGAACGGAGCAUGUUGGACUUUUGUUGACCAAAUUCAAAAGCCAAAUGGCACGGCCCGGAAGCUUUUGAAUAGAAAAACUUGCUAGAAAGCAUCAGUUUAAAUCACUACUUAAACGCUUGCUUUAACUGCACCGCUUUGUACUGUUUUAUGUAUGUAGCGGUUGUGCGGUUGUAAUUCACGGCUGACGCUACGUGUUUGUUUGUACUGUUCUAUUCGGUGACAGAGUAUUAUUAGUUAGGCCAAAACUAUGUUGCAACAGUGGUACAGUAGCACUGUUGCUUUCAGUCAUUAGAUCUAUAGUUGUACAGUUGCAUUAACAAGAUCCAAUGACUGAAAGCAACAGUAGUACCGAACUACUGUUGCAACAUAGCUGGAGCCUAUUAGUUAUUUCAAAGGGAUAAAUAAGAUUGGUUACAACAAACCUACUAAUUUUAUAAAAUUCAAGUAACAUAGAAUAAAAUAAAAAAAUAAAUACAAAAUUGACUUUUAUUUUUUAUGGUUGACUAUAUUUUGUGUUCUCUUCGGGCACUGCUACAAUUGUUCCCUAUAUAUCAAUUACACCACAUACUAUCGACACAAGAAAUGAAAUCUAAUAUCACCUGUUUAGUUAAAAAAUCACUCAUGAAAAAAUUUUACCAUUUUGAUUUGAGGAUCCAUAUUUUAAACUACAAGCUAAUGUUCAUCAAGAAUUACUGAUGGACAAAUUAUUUUUUUUGAUAGAAGAAUUUCUUUAGGAACUACUAAAUUAUUAAUAAAAAUAUCGAACACACCCACAUAUCAUCGACACAAUUGAUUUUGAGGAUCCAUGCUUUGAACUACAGCCUAAUGUUCAUCAAGAAUAGAGUAUGGCUUAUGAGUAGAAAAUUUUCUUAUUUUGGCCCAAAAUAAAAAGAAAUUAAAUUGGAUGAGAAUCUGCCACUUUCUCAUGAAGAAAGGCAUACGGAGCAUACCAUGGUACCAUACAAUAUAAGAAGCCUCCGUUCUUUGGUUUUUCAAACUCUGAAGGGGCUAAUAUUGCCAAAUUCCCCCUUGAAAAUUCUGAUUACGACAUUAUUCAUCGCUUGAUGCAAUCAAAGUAGUGACAAAGUUAGGAAAAAUAUGAGUCCUAAGUAAUUGCUAGGCAGGGCUCCUGAGAGCAAAAUUGUCCUAAGCAUUAUAUGCAUACAUAGUGCAGUACAUAGAGCACGUUGAAUUCCCCACUAUAACACAAACCCAGAAAGACAAGUAAUAACUCAACUGAUAUAAAGACAAAAAGAAGAUAAAAUGAUAUAGAAAAAAGAAUUUCAAAGAGACAGCAACAUACAAUAGACUGAAGCCACUUGAUCUGCUCAUUGAUUGCAGCCUUAAACUUGCAAAUAGUUACUGUACGCUAGUGCUCUAAGAAGUGAAAAUGAUGCGAGCCCUGAUUCCCUUUUGACUUCCAUUUACUGUCAAACAUUCUAGUAAUACAAAAAAUUGUUUAGAUAUCUUGCUAUAAAUAUAGCCGUUUGACUGUCAUAAUAAAGUCACAAAUAACCAUUCAUAUUGAUCUACUGUCACACAGCAUGCUUUAUGCAUACAACAGCUGUAUGCAUACCAACUCCUAACCUUAUCAAUACAUUUGGCAAAAACUUAAGAAGAAAGCUAUUUCUCCAUCUCUUUUUUGAAAUUUCACAAUAACCAGCACAAUGUGAAAGCUAUGUUCUAACCUUAUGAUAAAUGCUCCAGACUCCAAAAGGGUUUUAUAUAUGAGAGUUUGUUGCAGCAGAUAUAUUGACUUAUCAAGUAUGAAUCAUUGUCUGGAUGAACUAUCUUUAGAUAAAAGAAUAUUAGAACCACUGUAGAAUAUCUUUACCCUGCUGGUUCUAACAGGAAUCUGCAUGUGGCAACAAUUGCUAGACCCACAAUUCCCCAACUUGAAAUACAUAGUUGCACACCAUGAGAUAGUGCUACAAUCUACUGAGAUCUAACUUAUAUGGUACUUUAAGCUACUAAUGUUUGCAUAUUUCUACAUGUUAAAUUAACACUAUCAUCUAUAAUCACUCCAAAACAACAAAUGAUAAGCAGCUUUUGGCCACUUAUUACUAGCAUACACAAUUAUAAAUAAGAGAUCAUGGGUUUACUUGUUGCACCUACUUAAUUAUCUGCAGUUGACAUCCUGACACAAGGUUUAAAUAGUGACUGCUUAGAACCCUUGUAGUUGGAUCUUGACCUCUCCCAUUGUAGCCAAGAUUGGUUACUCUGGUAAUGAAUCAACACUCUCCUGCUCAGGGCCAUGAAGAUCUGAAAGCUCAGCACUAGUGGAGAACUUCAUCAAUCUCUUCUUCUCAGCAUACUUGAGACAAGGCUGCAUUACGAGACCAAUCACCACAGCACCAACGCUUAAAACUGCAACUUUUAAAGAAGAAAGAGCCAACACAACACAACACAAAUCAAUAUGGUUGGAGGAAUACACAUGAUAAUGGCUCCAACAGUGCCAGUGGGUAUCUUGUAGGGAUGAGAUGCAGCAGGAUAUUGUAUCCUUAACCAUACAAAUGCUAUGAACUCCAUAAUCAUUCCAAAACAGUACAGGAAGUUCUCUGCAGCUACAAUAUCUCGAAAGCUCAGCCAUGAUAGCAAAACCACACCAGAAGCUGAGAAUAUGAUUCCAAUCAAAGGAGUCCCAUAACAAGACCUCUUAGCAAAAAACUGAGGUAGCAUUCCACGCUCAGCCAUCCCCAAAAGUUGGAAAGAGUCGCUGCUCAUCUCAGCCACAAACAUGCCCAUAUUGGACAUUGCUGCAGCCCCCUGGAUGCACCAUCUCAACCAAACUCCUCCAAGCACUUUAGCAAUAUCUGAAAAGUAACCAUCGGUCCACAAGUCGCGAUCUAAUGGAAUAGCUCCAGUUCAAACUAGAAGGGGAAAGAAAUACCCAAAAAUGACCAAGAUCAAAGCAUAAAACAAAGCCUUUGGAAGAGUCUUCUUUGGGUUAUCCACCUCUCCAGCUAGUGUACUUAUUGAGUCCCAGUAGUUGAGAUUCCAAAACAGGGUGUUCAAAUACAAAUUCCAAUCCACUUCACCUAAAUUUACUACAAGCCAUCUUGAAGGCUCUAACUUGGGAAGGGACACAAGUCCCAUAACCCCAAAAGGAAGGAGUGAGAAAAUCCCUAAAAGAACAGCAGCCCAUCCCACAAUGGUUAGACCCCUAUAGUUCAUGAAAGUGAGAACAAAAGUCAAAGCUAACGCCGCAAAGGCUCUAGGUAACCCAUUGCCCAACGCAGGGAUACCAGACUUCAAGUAGUCAAGAAACAGAACUGGGUAUAAAGCAUUAUCAAUAACCCCACUUAGCCAUCCAACCUUGCUGAAAACCCCAAUAUGGGCCUAAGGCAGAUGAAACCCAAACCACAUAACCACAAUUUUCAGGAAACACAGUACCCAUUUCGGCAGUAAUUAAAGCUUCAGGGACACUCCAUAUAAUCGGAAACACCAAGAAACCAAGAAGUGCUAAAAGAGGACCAGCUGCCUUUACACUAUCCUCAACACCAAACGGCCCCCCAGAAACCUCAUAGAAUAUAAGGAAAAUAAGUGGCAAGAUUGAUACUUUUUUAGUGCCAUGGACUCGAGGAGAAGAUGGUUGGUCAUUGAUAUUAACAUAUUCAACAGCAUCAGACUGCCCUAUUUCUACUGAAACUUGCCUAUUUACAGUGUUCCUCAAUUUCUGCAUCAAGUUUAAGCAUAACUAUCAAAAGGGUAUCCGCAUCUAAAUUAUGAAACAAAAUGAGCAUUUACUUAUUAAAAAAAAUCAAAAAACAGAAAUGGAUUUCGCAGAGCACAUGAAUUUAAGUUCAACAUUAAACAGGCGCUUAAGAAAACAAAAGGGUCUGUUCGUAAAGCCAUCAGAUUGCAAGAUUGAACAACAUUAACGGAAUCAAUAGAAUAGAUGUAAAGAGAUCUGAAAAGAAAAUAAAAUAAAAGAUAAAGAGAGAUAAAACGAACCAUCAAAUAAGUGCAUGCAGAGCAGAGAGGCAGAUACUAGAGAAGCUCCGUCAUGUUAGAGAGAGCCUAAUUCAAUCAGAGCUCACUGAGUUUCUUUUCAACCGACCGGCAAAUUUGGAGUGGCACAACAUAAUAUUUUUACUUUUAAUUUUUGGAACACUUUUGAAUAGAAUUUUUUGUUUUUAAAAAAGGUAAGGGAGAUUAGUAUUUAUUUAACGGAUCAGGCUACGGUGCAACUGUGGCACCGUGCCACAGUUGCAUCUAGCCGUUGGAUGCAAUUGGAAUGGUGGAGUCCACUGACAUCCAACGGUUAGAUACAACUAUGACACGGUACCACAGUUGCACCUAAGGUUCCCUUAUUUAACUUUAUAUUUUUUAAAAUACCUUAAAAAUAUUUUUAUGUUAAAAUAUUAAUAUUUUUAUUAAUAAUUUUUAUAUUUUUAAUUUAUUUUUAUAAUAUUAUUUUUUAUAAUAAUUUUUUAUUUAAAUAUUAAUAAAAAAAUAAUUAAAUUAACAAUUUAAUCCUAAAAUAAAUAAACACGUGUUUGGUUUUGGGCUUUUUCUUUUGUUCGUUUAAUAUCAUCUGGCUCCCUGAUUUGUGACUAAUUAUCAACAGAAUCCCGUUGGUUUCUAAAUUGAAAUAAUAGAAGGUCAUGAGACUAUUUACUCCAUUUAGCACUGCAGACUUAGAGUAUAUUGAAAAAGCUUUGUCAAAUAGUAGUAAUAGGGGCAUAAGAAAUAAAUUAUAGCUAUCACAAAUUCGUUAGGAGAAUUUCAAUUUUUUCCAUCAAUAAUGGCUAUGAAGCAAAAUUACCUUAGGUUAUAUUGCAAUACUAAUACUUCAAAUCCUGAUAAUAAAUUUGAUGACAGUCGUUUUUAUCAUGGUUUUAACAGAUAUAAGAAGAGAAAAUUAACUGUUCAAACAAAUUAGAAGCAAAUUCUUUCAUAUCUUUCUUUUAUUUUUCCGCUUACUUUCUUAGCAUCCAAACAAGUUAAAGUUAAAACGCUGUUAGAGCCAACAAUAUGCAGGCAUCAAUAAGCAUAGUAGUUUUGUAUAUGUAUUCUAUACGAUAUUCUAGGGAUGUCAAUUGUAGAACAUUUUGUGGUAACUUUUUUACAUUAAUUAAUGUUUGAAGAACUUGUUAAAAAGAAAAUGGUAAUUUUAUCAUUUUGAAAGACAAAAAAAAAAAAAAAAAGAGUGAAAGUGGCGUUACCUCAUGGUCAUUAGAGACUUGUUGCAAUGAUAGCUCAAAAUUAAAAAUUUGUGAAGAAUUAGUAGACAACGACGAUACUAUAUUUAUACAGUCACCAACGUGUUGAUUUUUGUUUAAUGUUUGAUCGAUAGAAACUUUCGUCGUCGUCGCCGUUGUUGAAUUUGUGCUAAGAAUAUCACAAGAGAAGAAAAAAGGAUGAAAGGGAAGAGAAGAAGAGAGAAGUGGUGGACAGCAAAUAUGAUAUGCUAGCUACACACAGGCCUUAGAGAGUUUUUUUUUAAUAUUUAUUGUAUUUUUGUUUUUGUUAUUGGUUUUUCAUAUGCUUCCAAGGCAGCAAUGCGUUACAUCAUAAAUUGCACCUUUUAGGGGAGGUGGUAAAAAACAUGAGAGCAAUGCAUUCUAGCGCAUACAUGCAGAAAGAGUUUCCAAAUUUUCAAAAGUUUCUUUAUUUCUUCCACCUUUUUUUGCUUAAAAUAAAUUUUAAUUGUAUUUUGCAUUAACUUAGAGAAAAAAAAAUCCAGUUCUAUACAUAAACGCAUACAUUGAUUAGAAAAUGAGUUUUAUGGACACAAAGGGACAAUAUAAGAGAUUCUUUUUGUUUAUUAGAAGUAACAUAACUAGUUAGUGUAACAUGUAAUUAUAAGCUACCAAUAAUUUGCACUAAUGAUAAUUAACGGUAUAGAUUUUGAGCUAUGAAUGUCUUGUGGCUAGUUUAAUUAGAUUUUCGAGUUUUCAGCAGAUCUAUUUUAAUGAUUAUUAAAUUAUUUUCACUUCUUAUGCCUUAAUAAAAAAAAUCAAUAUUUUUUGCUGUAUUCUAUAUUUUAAAACUUAAUUUUUAGUUCUUUAUAUUGCAAACCAAACUGAGUCAAAUAGAGUAUGCUCUUCAAAUAAUUUUUCCAUUGCCUUCAAGAAGAAUUCAUUUUAUUUUUAUAUAUUAAUUUAACACUUGUAAACCGGGCCGUCAGAUUGCACAUAAAGCAAAUGAUCAAACCGUUACAAGACCGGCCCAGGCCCACCGACUCUAUUUUCUUUCAUUUGACCAUUAAAAAGCUUUUGGCCACCCCCACCAAAUAAAUAAGCUCUUGUUCUCUUUUGUUCCCUCUCAAAGGAAAAUAUCUGAUCACCGGAUAAUGAUUCCGGCGACACAAAAGAUCGAAACACCCCCCUAAAUUCCCUAAAUUUACGAUAAUACCCCACCAUGGAUGAUUCCGUUGAAAUGCCGCCUUACGAUGAAAGGCCUAAAAAGGGUUUUAACUUCACCUCCAUGCGCUUGAUCUUAACCCUCGUUUUCCCAAUUUUAACUUGCUUUUUGUUGGCAUUUUUUAUUGGAAUCGUAGCUGUUUUAUUCGGUGAAUCAUCAGUUUCCAGUUCCAUUUUUGUCCCUUCCCAGUGCAAGAUAGUGUCCAGCAGUAAGCUUUUUUUAACAUUUUCAAUUUUUUUUCCAUUUAUGAAGUCCAAAAAUUUUAUUAAUUUUGACUUUUUUGAAUGAUUUUGCAGGUGUUGAUAUAAGGUCAUCAAAAGUUUGUGAACUUGGGGUGUUGAAUUAUAAGGCGAAGCGUGUGUUUUAUCCAUUUGAAGCAAGUAAAUUUCGCUGUCGGUAUGAUUACUAUUAGGCUUCUAUCUUCAAGGUAUUCAUACAUUUUCCCCUGUACUAUAAGCUUCUCAGUGGCGGUCUUGUGAGCGGAAGUGAGCGGUGUGGUUGACAGCUUCUUGAAAAUUAUAAGUUUGAACCAAGCAUGUUAGAGCACCACCAAAAGCCUCUUUAAAUAAGAUUUUAUUAUUUAUUUAAAGAGCCACAUCAAUAUUGAAAGCUCCAAAAGACACUUCAAUUAAAAUUCUUUAAAUAAGAAUUGAUUCUCUUCAAAUUUGGAGAGUUAAUUUCUCCCUCUUCAAUUUAUAUUUUAUUACUUUUCAUUGAAGAAAUAGAGAAAUGCUUUAAUUGCUAUUAACUUUUCCUUUAAAAAACUAAUUAUAUGAUUAAAAUAAUAUUAACUUAUUUAUAUUUGAAGAGUCUUUUGAAGAAUAUCAUAUUUUUUUCACCAUUCUAUUUGCCACAUAGGUAAACAAAUAGAUAUUUAAAGAGUAAAAUUUAUAGAAACUUUUGGAGAUGCUCUUAGACUUUUGUUGACCAAAUUCGAAAGCCAAAUGGCACAGCUCAGAAGCUUUUGAAUUGAAUAACUUACUAGGAAGCUCCAAUUUUUUGUUGGCUACAGUAAAAGGAUGUUGUUUUAUUCUUCUUAUACUUUACGCUUGCAUCAGCUUAAAUCACUUCUUAAACGCUUUGCUUUAACUCCACUGCUUUGCUGGGGCGGAUUUACCUUGGAACAAGUGGGGACUUAAGUCCCCACUGAAAAAAAAAUUGUUUUAAUAAUUAAUUUGAUUUGCCAAAACUUCUCAAUAAAUUUUUCUUAAGCCCCCAUAAUUUCUUUCAACAAGCAAUUGAUCUAAAUGAGUUAAUUUCUGUCAGUUGUAUCCAAAUGAGUUCUCUGCAAUUGAUAUCAUGGCACUUGAAAUUCAACUUGAUACAUAUAUUUUGGAUAUGCGCACUAGUGCGAGACUAAAAGACAUAAGGUAUAUCCAUUGGUUUACUUGUUAAUAAUAUUAGCAUUGACUUUACCCGUUGCCAUUGCUAGUGUAGAGAGUAUUUUCAGCCAUGAACAUUUUGAAGAAUUGGUUAUAAAGCUGUGAGUAAUAGAUGAAUGAUAGUUUAAUUAUUUACAUAGAAAAAUACUUAUUUAAUAAUAUUGAUAAUGAACUUGUAAUGCAACAUUUUUAAUGUAUGAAAACUUGAAAGGACAAUUGUAAACAUAUAUUGAAGUAUGAUAAAUCUUUCAAAUUUAUAUAUUUAUUACUUUUUAAAUUUUUUUAUAUUGCCGUUGAAUGAGCCCCCAGUCAAUCAAUAUGUUGUCUUCACCCUGCUUCGUACUCUUCUAUAUAUGUAUCGGGUAUGCAGUUGUAGUUAAUGGUUGAGACUACGUGUUUGUUUGACGUGGUAGUUACGUUACGAGUCUGUUAAACAUUCGAUGAUUAAAGUAUUAUCUGUUAUUUCAAAGGGACAAAUAAGAUUAGCUACAACACACCCACUAGUUUUAUAAAAUUCGAAUGAGAUGGAAUAAAAUAAAAAAUAAAUAAGUAAAUUGACUUUUAAUUUUAGUGGUUGAAUAUAUUUUCUAUUCUCUUAGGGCACUGCUGUAAUUAUUCCUUAAACGUCAGUCAUACCCACAUAUAAUAGACACAAGAAAUGAAAUCUAAAAUCACCUGUUUAGUUAAAGAAUCAUCAUGAAAAAAUUUUGCCAUUUUGAUUUGAAGAUCCACUUUUUGAACAACCAACUUAUGUUCAUCAAGAACGGAUCAUGGCUUGUGAGUAGAAAAAUUAUUUUUGGACAAAUUAUUUUUUUUAAUAGAAGAAUUUCUCAAGGGACUAAUAAAAUUACUAAUAAAAAUGUCAGACACACCCACGUACCAUCGACACAAUUGACUAUGAGGAUCCAUGUUUUGAACUUCCACCUAAUGUUCAUCAAGAACAGAAUAUGGCUUGUGAAAAGAAAAUUUUCUGAUUUUGGCCUGGAACAAAAAGAAAUUAAAUUGAAGGAGAAUCUGCUACUUUCUCAUUAAGAAAGGCAGACAUGGUAUACCAUGGUACCAUACAAUAUAAAAAGUCUCCAUUCUCUGGCUUUUCAAACUCUGAAGGGGGCAAUAUUCCCCAAUUCUCCCGUGAAAAUUCUAAUUACGACAUUAUUCAUCGGUUGAUACAUAAGUACAAGUAGUGACAAAAUUAGGAAAAAUAUGACUCAUAAGUAAUUACUAGGCAGGGCUCUUGAGAGCAACAUUGUACUAGGCUUUAUAUGCAAACAUGGUGUGGUACAUAGAGCACGUUGAAUUCCACACUAUAACACAAACCCAGAAAGACAAGUAAUAUCUCAACUGAUAUAAAGACAAAAAGAAGAUAAAAUGAUACAGAACAAAGAAUUUCUAAGAGACAGCAACAUACAAUAGACUAAAGCCAGUUGAUCUGCUCAUUGAUUGCAGCCUUAAACUUGCAAAUGUUUACUGUAGCCUGGUGCUCUAAGAAGUGAAAAUGAUGCAAACCUUGAUUCCCUGUUUACUUCCAUUUACCAUCAACACAUUCUAUUCAUAAGAAAAAAAAUGUUUAGAUAUCUUGCCGUAAAUAUAGCCAUUUGAUUGUCUUAAUAAAGCCACACACAACCAUUCAUAUUGAUCCACAUUGCCACAUAGCCUGAUUUAAGCAUACAACAGCUGAAUGUAUACCUAACUCCUAACCUUAUCAAUACAUUGGCGACAACUUAAGAAGAAAACUAUUUCUCCAUCUCUUUUUUGAAAUUUCACAAUAAAACAGCACAAUGUAAGAGCUGCAAUGAAAAUGGACCGUCUGAAACUAUGGCGGAAGCUUCAACUAGUGUAGUGAUUUGACCUUCUUAUUAACCUAGCGAGAUCAAACACUGCCCUUGAUCUUGAACAGAUCAAUACGAUACGCACAACUUAUGAUUGAAUCCAGAAACAAUCAAAUCUUUAGCAAGAAUAAUUAAUCAGAAUCAAGAAACAAGUUUAAUGAAUAUAAACCUAUAAUUGGAACAAACACAGCCAAAGAACCCAAGAAUGACACAACGAACACCAAGGGAGAAGCUUUCCAGUGAGAUUAUAUUGAUGAUCAAAGAAGAAUCUUUUUACAAAGCUAACAAAAGAGAUUUCAGAGAAUAAGCUAUGACCCUCUCUCUCUUCAAUCUCUGUCUAGUUUGUUAACAGUGAUGACCCAAUCUGCUUCGUUAGCCAGCUUCAUAACUGCGUCAGUGACAAACCAGCAAACCCAGAUUGAGCAGACUAACGACACGUGCAUAACGGCUUUAACGAACUUGGUUAAAGAACUGCUCACAUGUUCGUCACGCGUGUUGCUUAAAUGAUAGCCAAAACGACUUCAACCAGAUGCCGUUUUGAAGCUUAUGAAUUAUAAGUGAAAACACGUGCUUGUCUCGUGACAUUUAAAUGCAACAACAAGCCCAAAACACUGCCGUUUCACUAUGUUGAGUUUGCCAUCUCUAAGCUUCACAACUAGCAGCGGACAAGAUGAUAAUUUAAUUGACAUGGACAACUUUUAUAUCACUUUUACAACAUUCUAUAUAAUUGUGAUAUUGGGAAUCGUCGGUGUUGUAUAUGUGAACCCUCGUUGGCGACACUGGUGGUUUUAUCUUUGUUGAAAUAUGGAUGACUUUUUGUUACUAUUUUGUUGUACAUAGUACAUAACCUUAUUCCCAGGAGAUUUAAUCAUUGAAAUUAACAUGUUAGUUUCAUUAGAAGGCUGAGUGGUUAGGGCUGCUACCCUCCAACUUGGAGGGCAAUAGUUUAAACCCACAAGCGCAAUGUGGGGGUAUUUCAUUCUUUAAUUACAUUGUAUAAUUGAAUAAAUGUAAUCUUCUCUCUUACACAAGUGUGAGUGGAGUAGACAUCUCUCGAAUAUUAGCGAGGGUUAAAACUUGGACAGAGCUCAAUAAGUAUUUAUGUAAGUUGGUCCUAGUAAUAAUCUGAUUUGUAAAUAUCAGUUAUAGUCUCAUGUUUCCUUCCUUAAUUAUAUUGUAUAAUUAAGUAAAUGUACUCUUCUCUCUUACCCAAGUGUGAGUGGAGUAAACAUCCCUAGAAUAUUAGUGAGGGUUAAAAUCUGGACAGAGCUCCAUAAGUAUUGAUGUAAGUUGAUCCCAGUAAUAGUAUGAUUUGUAAAUAUCAGUUAUAAUCUCAUGUAAUAUGAGUUGUAAUUUGAGCAACAGUUUCAUGUAAUUACAAAAAAAAUGCUACUUUCAUUACAUUUUUCUUCGUUAAAAUUCUCAAGUAUCAAUUAUGUUUGCUUAAGAAAUAAAAUUUCGUUAUGAAAAUUGUAGUAGUAUUUCCGAGCAUCUCACAUUUUCAAUGAUUUUUCAUAAAUCAAUUAAUCUGUCGUACCAAUAUCAUGUUUAGUUUUUCAGACUAAAUAAUCAAGAAAGCAAACAAAUUCACAGUUUAGAGGGGUAAACUAGCUUUUAGAUUUUAGAACUAGGCUAGAUACCUCACCAAAUUCCAAUUUGUACAGUGAACUACAAGAUUGAGAAAAUAAUGUAUUUAUAGUUUAAUUGAAUCAUGAGAAAACAAUGUAGUCAUAGCUCAAUCGGACAUGAUCACGGAGAGGCAUAUUCUUUUCAAGUUAAUUUGAUCCAUUUAUAAGAAAUGAAGUGGAUCGAAGUUAAAAGUUAAAAUAAAAAAUCCUUAUUCUUGAGUUUUACGACGUCGUUACUCCUUCAAGAGGCUGAUUGUGCAAGUGAAUGGAGAAACAGAAUGCUUUUAUAAUUUUUUUAAUAAUUGUAAAAAUAAUUAACCAUAACAAAUCCCUUGCGUAAAUACUAAUCAUUAUUUAAAAGGUAGAAAGAUAGUUAGUGCACAAUCAAAUUUUAAGCCCCUACCUCCUCGGCCCAAGAUUCAAACUUAGAUGAUCAGCCAAAUAAAAUUAUUUGAAAAUCAUUCAAUCAGGUUCCCGGAGUAAAAAUACAAGAUCCUUAUUAUAAAAGUUGUCCCACCUGCUGGUGUAUAACAACCACUUCAAUUCAAACUAGAUUCUUUUUGUUUUUUUUAAUGUAAUCCUGAUAAUAUUUAUGUUAUCUUAAGAAUAGGUCAGCUUGAUUAUUGCUGAAAUAUAGGAGGAAGUUAGCUUUGAUUCAUUGUAUUAUUUAUACGCUCUGAUACCAUAAAGAGAUUGAUAAUUGAAAAUGAACUCACUUCGUUACUGGUAUGUCUGGUUCGGUGGUUGGCGGGGAAGGUGGAAGAGAUGGUUGGCGGGCAGGUAGAGCUUCCUGUGGGGUUGGGUCAGCUGGUUGUGAAGUAGCCUCAGGCAGAGAUAAUUCUUGAGAGCUAGCUGCAGAUGGAGUGUUGGCUGCCUGCUGGAGUGAUGUGGGAAUGGACACAGUAAGUACAGGAGGAAUCCAAGUGGAUAUGGUAGUGGAAGUAGGACGUGGAAGAGUGGUGUGUAGUGAGGUGUAUGGAAAGACUGAUUCAACAAAUUGAACAUGGCGAGAAACAUGUUGCUGUUGAUUAUCAUUUUAUCAGAGAUCAAGUUCAAUCUGGUCUACUUCGAGUAGCUCAUGUCUCCUCUGCUGAUCAGCUUGCCGAUCUUCUCACCAAGCCACUGCCCACUUCUCAGUUCUUGCUUUUACGGGACAAGAUUGGCCUCUCUACUCGUGGCCUAUCUUGAGGGGGCAUAUAAAAGUUGUCCCACCUGCUGGUGUAUAACAACCACUUCAAUUCAAACUAGAUUCUUUUUGUUUUUUUGAAUGUAAUCCUGAUAAUAUUUCUGUUAUCUUAAGAAUAGGUCAGCUUGAUUAUUGCUGAAAUAUAGGAGGAAGUUAGGUUUGAUUCGUUGUAUUAUUUAUACGCUUUGAUUCUAAUGGAACGAAGUGAGUUCAUUUUCAAUUAUCAAUCUCUUUACUUAUUUGCAUGAUAUAUAUGAAUUAAUGUAAUUUAUUUGAAUUAUCCAAAUUCAUUAGAGAUAAAACUAUAAAAUAUACCAAAAACGUUAGAAGGAAGGGUGUGUUGGGAUGUUUUACAAACUAUAGGAAUCUGGUGAGAUUUUGAGCCAAACUGUAGGGAGUUGAAGGCAUUUGCCCAAUAUGUUUAGUCGUACACUAACCGUUAUUUGAUCUUGUUGUUGGUCCCGGAUGAGCUGUAGUCUUAUUUUAAUUUUAUUUAAACUCACCAUAAGAUUCGCGGAGCUCCUAACUAACUUAAAUGACUCUGCAGAGCAUGUCAACACAUAGCAUGUUUAACCGUUUUAUUUGUAGAAGAAUUUAUGAUUUCCCAUUAGCAUUAUUAUUGAAGUGGGGCGGGGGCGGGUCAAAUCUCAAUUGCUUGAAAAUUUUAUUUAUUAUUAUUAGUCUUGAAGUGAGGUGGGUAACGGUUCGCUCCAAUUCGAGGGAAUCAAAUAUAUCAUCCAAGGUAGAAUUGUGGAAAAUUAAAGCAAAAUAAGAAAUAUGGAAAGAAAAGAAGAAAGUUAAGGCAUGAAAGACAUAUACAGUUGAAAUUAUAAUCAUGUUUCUAUUUUGUUAACUAAUCAAAUGGAAAGCUGAACUGUAAACAAACAUUAAAACGUGUGGACCAAGCUAGCUGCCCUACAAGUCCACAAUAAUAAUUGAGUACUUUGAUUCAUCCUUCUAUAAAUUUCUACCCAUAUUGACUCCACCGAAAUUUCCACAAAAUUAAAAAAAAAAAACUGAAUUUCCACAAAAUACAAAACCCGUUGAACUUAUUUUUUGGUCAUGUGAACUAAGAUGUAAAUUAAAAAAAAAGUAUAAAAUUAAAAAAGAUAAGAUUUCUAAAAUGUGUGGAAGGUGAUUCAUGAUUCACUGAAAUUACUUACCCCAGAUAUAAAAGUAAACCUAUCUAAUUUCAUUAAAAAUAGUUAGAAAAAAUUAACUAAUAAAAAGCUACGGAAAUUAACCCCCCACAAAAAUGACUUUUUAUAGAAGAAUUUAUGUUUUUUAAAAUAUGUUAUCAAAGUGUAUUUGAUCAAAUCUCAAUUGCUUAGUAUGGUUAGGAUUUUGUGAACAUCACUAAAAAGUGAAAAACUAUGAAUGAUAGGGGUGAUGCUUGCAAUAUGAAUAAAUAAUGGACUGAUUCAAUUGAUGAUUACAUUUAUAUAUUAUUGAUUAUUUAUGAAUUUUCAGACUUGUUAUGAUGUAUAACUAUGUGAUUUUGAAACUUGAAACCGUGGCAAACAUUGAAAGGAAUUAUAACUUGAAAGCAUGACUCACGGGGUAUGUCAUGAUUCACGUGCACAAAAAAGGUAGAAUUGUGGAAAUUUACAACCCAACGACAAAUACGGAAAGAAAGGAAGAAAAUUAAAAGACUUCGGGCCUAGCCUGCGUGUAUUAAUUAUUAGAUUACUUUUUUUUUUAUAAGGGUAAUCAUCAAUUUACUCCAUAACAAUCUUUAAUUCAUUUUUAAAAAAUAUGAAAACUUUAAUUUAUCUUUUAAACAUCGUUACCUCUUCAUUGGUUUUAAUAGUUCAAAGGGUAAAAUUAUAUUUGCAUAUUUUCUUGACCGCCAACUAAAUGAUAAAACUCAAAAUUCAAUCUUGUUAUCUUGUUUCAAUCCUCUAUCAAUCAAAUAAGAUUUCUAAAAUAUGUGAAAGAUAUUGCAUGAUUUCCUCAACCUACCUGGCCCCGAACAUCAAGGUAAAUCUCUCUAAAAUAGUUGAUUAAAUCUCAGUUGCUAAGUAUAGUUAGGAUUGUGUGAACAUCACUGAAAACUAUGAUUGAUAGAAGUGAUCUUUGCAAUAUGAAUAAAUAAUUAACUGAAUCAAUUGAUUUAUAUAUUAAAGUUUAUGAAUUUUCGGACUUGUUGCGAUAUAAUAAUAGCAUAUGAUUUGAAACUUGAAACAGUGGUAAAUAUUGAAAGGAAUUAAUUUGAAAGCAUGAUCCGUGGGGAAUGUGAUGAAUCGUGUUUACAAAAAAGGUAGAAUUGUGGAAAUUUAUAACAGAACGAUAAAUAUGGUAAAAAGGAAGAAAAUUGAAAGACUUGGGGCCUGGCCUGGGUGUAUUUUCUAACUGUCCAAUGGACAAAAUUAUAUUUGUAUACUUUCUCUUCCCUAGCUAGGUUUCAUAGAAUAGCUCAUUUCAUUUUUAUUUUUUAAAUAAUAGCCCAAAACAUCCUUAUGUUAAUUCACUGUUAGUUGAAUAUCAUUUGUUAGUAAUUCAUUAAGGGUAAAAAAUGAUUUUCUAUCAAAGAGAAAAUUAGAAAAAUAAAUAAAAGUUGACAUAUAACUAAAAAUGAUCUUAUCUAAUCCCACUAAAUAAGAAAUGCCAAAAAAGAUGAAAAAUUUAUAUUUCAAGCAAUUCUUUUUUCACUUAUUUCUAUUUUGGCGGCAUGAAAGCCCUAUAAACCCUAGAUCUAAAUACCAAAAAUAUCACAAUUUUCUUAUUCAUAUAAGUAUACUCUCUAAUUGCAUUGUAAAAUGGCUUGAAUUGAAUUGAAGAUAAAGAAAAUAUUCAGCACAUGCAAGCACAUAAAAAUUGGUGGCAUUUUUGAGUUUUUCUUCCAAUGAUUUAAAGAUAUUGUUUUAAUUACAGUUUGUUCCUUAUGACAAUUAUUCAAUGGCUAUAUCAAACUAUAUCAUCGUUGAUUUCAUUUAAGAAAAAGUUAAUGAAUUUUGCAUACUUUGUAGUGUUAUUUAAUUGUGUAAAAAAAUUAUUUUAAUAUAGUUUGUAUCACUUUAAUGAAAAAUCUUAUUUUGCUCUCAAUGAAUUACUGGUUAAUAGUUUUACACUCACGGUGAGUUAACGGAAGGAUAUUUUAGGCUAUUGAUUGAAAAGGAGGGAUAAAAUGGGCUAUUGCAUUAAACUUUAGGGAUGAAAAAUGCUUUUUCUCCUUUCUUAUCAAUCAACUAACUGAUAAAAGUCAAAACUCAUAUUUUUUUUUUCCUUGUUUCAAUCCCCUCUCAAUCAAAAAAGUUUCCUUGUCUAAGCAAUGAGGAAUAUGGCUAGAAAGAUUGUUAUUAGAAAGAUUUAUCAAUAGUAAUUGGUUCACAACUGAACAAUUUUAGAUUAUUGUGAGUCAAUAUAGGUCUUGUUUGGAAUUGAAGUGUUGUAGCUUUUAAGCUACAGCUGCUUUAGAAAAAAAACUAUAAUUAUGAAAUAAGAGUUAAUAAUAUAUAAUAAAUAUAAAUUUUAAAUAAUAAAUUUGACAAAAUUAUUAAAAAUAUAAUAGAUUUUUGAUAAUACAAGUAAAAAAAUCAUAUCAACAUAGCUUGCAAGUUACAACAGUUAGUGUUUACCUAAUACUUUAAUACUGUAGCUUUUAAGUUACAGUUGUCCAAUACCUCAAUUCCAAACGCACCUAUAAAAUGGCUUGCUUCAAAAGUCUAUCAACCCAACUUGGAAUGCUCUCAUUGUUGCGGAAACGUGGGUUGAGCAAUUACUAAUACUGCAACUUCUGGAGAAAUAUAAAUGUGGUGAUAAACAAAUGCAAAGAAAAUAGAACACAAUAUUUUACGUGGUUCGGCGUAAUGCCUACGUCCACGGGCAAAAACUGGAAGAUAAUUUUACUAACAAUGAAAUUUACAAAAGUGGGAAAAACUCACAAAACCCACAACCCCAAUACACCCAAAUGGAACCUCACUAGAACACUCAAGUGGAAGCUCUCUCAAAUUCUCUCAAAGAACUCACUUGCAAUUGCUCUCUACUUCUCUCAAAUUGGGAUGGUUACAAUAGCAAAAUGCUUCUCUAUUUAUAGAUUGCAUUCUGCUCCAAGUUGGGUUCAAUUUGUCAAAAUGUUGAGCUGGAUCUUGUAUUGCAUGCACGAGCUUUUCAACACCUAACUUUGUCUUUUGAAAUUGCUUAGCCGACCAUCUUUGCUUUUUUGAAUUUGGCAAGCAAUUCUUUGACUUUUCAACAAUUCUCCACCUCGGCGAAGAUUUAGUAAAUCUGAGCCGAUUAUCAAUAAAUUAUCCUCCAGCCUUUGCCUUCUCCGACUGCUUUUAAACUUGCAGGAUAUUAAUCAAGUUUAGACAAUGCUCAAACUUGAUCGCUGUCACCACCUUGGUCAACAUAUCUGCGGGAUUAUCUAUAGUUUUAAUUUUCUGAAGAAGAAUCUUCCCCUCAUCAAUAAUUUCCCGCACAAAGUGAAAGCGUACAUCGAUGUGCUUCGUACGCACAUGAUAAACUUGGUUCUUCGUUAAAUGAAUAGCACUCUGACUAUCGCAAUACACAUUAAUGUGCUCCUGCGCCAAUCCCAAGUUUUCAAGCAAACCUUAUAACCAAAUAGCCUCUUUAAUAGCCUCUGUAAUUGCCAUGUACUCGGCCUCUGUGGUCGAUAGUGCAACUGUAGACUGUAGUGUAGACUUCCAACUAAUUGGCCCUCCAGCAAAAGUAAAUACAUAUCUGGUGGUUGACCGUCGUUUGUCCAAAUCACCAGCAUAAUCAGAAUCAAUGUACUCGAUCACACUUUGACCAAGUGUAUCGUCUCUUUCAAACAGUAAACCAACAUCCACGGUCUUCUAAAUGUACCGUAGAAUCCAUUUCACAGCUUGCCAAUGUCCUUUACCAGGAUUAUGCAUAUACCUGCUCACUAUACCAACUGCAUGUGAAAUGUCAGGCCUUGUACACACCAUUGCAUACAUCAAGCUACCCACUGCAUUUGAAUACGAAACUUGUAACAUGUAUUCUCGUUCUGCAUAUGUUGAAGGAGAUAAUUGUGCAGAAAGCUUGAAAUGAGAAGCCAACGGGGUACUCACAGGUUUUGUCUGCUCAGUCAUGCCAAACUGCUGUAGUACCUUCUUCAAAUAUUGCUUUUGAGACAAGCUUACUUUGCCACGAGCUCUAUCUCUGCAUAUCUCCAUGCCAAGAAUCUUCUUAGCUUCACCUAAAUCUUUCAUUUCAAAUUCUUGAUUGAGUUGAGUCUUCAACUUCUCAAUCUCAUUUUUGCUCUUCGAUGCUAUUAGCAUAUCAUCGACAUACAAUAGCAAAUAAAUGAAAGAGCCUUCUUGUAGCUUGCGAAAAUACACACAAUAAUCAAAUUUAUUUCUUGUGUACCUUUGUCUUUUCAUAAAUCGAUCAAAUCGCUUGUACCACUGCCUCGGAGAUUGUUUCAACCCAUAAAGCGACUUUGUCAAUUUGCAAACCCAAUUUUCUUUUCCAGCAACCUUAAAUCCAUCUGGCUGAGUCAUGUAGAUUUCCUCUUCCAAAUCACCAUGUAAGAAUGCAGUUUUUACAUCAAGUUGAACUAGUUCAAUAUCAAAUUGCGCAACCAUGGCUAGCAAAAUUCGAAUAGAUGAAUGUUUCACAACUGGAGAAAAUACCUCAUUGUAGUCUAUUCCUUCCUUCUGAGCGUAACCCUUCGCUACCAAUCUAGCCUUGUAUCGAAUUUCAUUUUUACAAGGAAAUCCUUCCUUUUUUGCAUAUACCCAUUUGCACCCAAUUGCCUUCUUUUCCUUGGGCAGUGUAACUAACUCCCAAGUUUCAUUUUUGUGAAGAGACUGCAUUUCUUCGUUCAUUGCUUUCUUCCACUGUAUACUUUCUGGAUUACUUACUGCUUCUCUGUAAGUGGAAGGAACAUCAUCAUCUACAAUUGGAAGUGCAUAGGCCACCAUAUCAACAAAGCGAGCAAGUCUGCGAAUCUCUCUAUGUGGCCUUCUAUAUGCAAUUGAAUCAUGUUGCUGUGAAGGUUCCUAGGUCAGAACCUCUUCAUCAUUUUCGGUCGAUGGAGAAUCAUUAUCCAUCUCAUCGACACCAGCUGGAUCAGCUUUAACUUUUUCAAACUCCACAUGCUGCAAACUGCUACUGGUCUUGUCAUUCUCUUGAGAAUCUUUUUGUUUCAACAUGGUUGAUUCAUCAAAAGUUACAUCUCUGCUGAAAAUAAUCUUCUUCGUUACAGGACACCAGAGACGGUAUCCUUUUACUCCACCAGUUAUACCCAUGAACAAUGCUUUCUUUGCUCUUGGGUCUAACUUAGAUUCUUUUACAUGAUAAUAAGUAGUGGAACCAAAAACAUGUAAAGAAUUAUAAUCAGUAGUAGGUUUACCAGUCCACAUCUCCAUGGGUGUUCUGCCCUCAAUUGCAGUUGAUGGCAAACGGUUGAUCAAAUGGCACGCAUAUACAACUGCCUCAGCCCAAAACUCUUUGCCCAAUCCAGCAUUGGAUAACAUACACCGAACUUUCUCCAGUAUAGUCCGGUUCAUGCGUUCUGCCACCCCAUUCUGUUGUGGUGUAUCUCGAACAGUGAAAUGUCGCACAAUACCCUCAUCUUGGCAUAUUUGAAGAAAUGGAUCAUUCUUGUACUCACCACCAUUAUCUGAGCGAAGUCUUUUGAUCUUUCGACCAUUCUGAGUCUCGACCAUUUUCUUCCAUUUCAUAAAUAUGCCCAAAACUUCAUUUUUGUUCUUCAUCAAAUACACCCACACUUUUCUUGAAUAAUCAUCAACAAAAGUAACAAAAUAGUGCAUACCUCCCAAAGAAGCUGUUUUGGUAUGUCCCCACACAUCACUGUGAACAUAGUCCAUAAUUCCUUUUGUAUCGUGAAUUGCUGAACCAAACUUUACCCUUGUCUAUUUGCCCAGAACACAAUGUUCACAAAAUUCUAAUUUGCAAGAAUUUGUACCUUUCAAUAAGCCUUGCUUCGCUAAAGUUUGCAAAGCUUUUUCACCAGCAUGUCCCAAACGCAUAUGCCACAAUUUGGUUGCUUCUAAAUCUGCAUCUUUUCCAGAAACUGUUGAUGCUGAUCCAAUAACUGUACUUCCUUGGAAAUAGUACAAGUUAUUUCUUCUUGUGCCUUUCAUUACCGUCAGUGCCCCAGCUACUACCUUCAACAAUCCAUCUCUUAAAGUGAUUGUGAGUCCUUUAGAUUCUAGGACUCCUAAUGAGAUGAGAUUUUUCUUCAAGCUUGGUACAUAGCGAACAUCUGUCAAAACUUGGAUUGAGCCAUCAUGAUUCUUUAAUUGGAUUGUACCUAUUCCCAUGGUUUUACAAGCAUUGUCAUUGCCCAUAAAAACAACUCCACCGUCUAGCUCCUUGAAGUUAGAAAACCAGCCCUUGUUAGGACACAUAUGAUAAGUACAACCCGAAUCCAAAAUCCACUCAUCUGAGUGACAUAUCAAUGUCAUGCCAACCAGACUAAAGUCUGACUCCUCAUCAUGCUCUGCUACACAUGCAUCAGAAGUAGCCUUGCCCUUUUGUAACUUAGGACAAUUCUUUUUCCAAUGCCCUUUCUCGCGACAAAAAGCACAUUCAUCUUUGGCAGGUCUCCCUUUAGACUUGUUCCUUUUUCCAGGUUUGUGGCUUUGCGAACGACCUCUCGCUGUCAGUGCUUCUGCAACUGUAUAUCUGUGAUCCUUUCUAUCUUUCUUUCUGGUCUCAGAGUUGUACAAUGCACUGCAUACAGCAUCGAAUGUGACACUGUCCUUCCCAUGAAGCAAAGUAGUGGUAAGAUGAUCAUAUUCAUCAGGAAGGGAAUUCAACAACAAUAAUGCCUUAUCUUCAUCUUCAAAUCUCUCAUCUAGAUUUAGCAAAUCCGCCAAUAUCUUGUUGAAUGAGUUCACGUGGUCAUUCAUUGACAUGCCAUGUGUAUAUGUAAAUCGAUAGAGUUUCUUUUUCAUAUAAAGCCUAUUUUCAAGACUUUUCUUCAUAUGCUUUUCUUCCAGUGUCUCCCACAAUUUCUUUGCCGAUGUCUCCCUCAUGACAGAGUAUUUCUGAUCUUUAGCCAGACAUAGGCGAAUAGUACCACAUGCCUGUCUAUUGAUUUUUAUCCACUCCUUGUCAUCCAUCACGUCAGGCUUUUCUUCAAGAGCAACGUCCAACUCUUGUUGACAUAAGACAUCCAACACCUCACAUUGCCACAUACCAAAAUUAUUGGUACCAUCAAAUUUCUCCACUUCAAACUUUGCAUUAGUCACAGUAGUUCUCGCUGAUGAAGACGACGACGGUGCCUCUGCCAUCCUUUUUAUCUCAAAUGAUCAGUUUCUUCAACAACUAUUUACACUUAAAAAACAGCCUCUAUGAUGUUUAUUUCGCGUGAAUAAAUGCACCAGGAAAGUUCCCAAGAGACUGGACGGGAACUCGGUCCCAAUUAAAAACCAGAAUCCUUAGACUCUUAUCGCCUUUGUUGACAGAACUUUCCUAGACAUGCAAAAAUACACACUACUUACAAUAGACUGCCUCCCAAGUAUAAAUGACCGUCUCCACCGUAUUUGUGAACAGUACCGUUUAUAGGAAUAGUACCGUAUACGUGAACAAUACCGUAUCCCCCCAAGUACGAGCCGUCGGCUCUGAUACCACUUGUUGCGGAAACGUGGGUUGAGCAAUUACUAAUACUGCAACUUCUGGAGAAAUAUAAAUGUGGUGAUAAACAAAUGCAAAGAAAAUAGAACACAAUGUUUUACGUGGUUCGGCGUAAUGCCUACGUCCACGGGCAAAAACUGGAAGAUAAUUUUACUAACAAUGAAAUUUACAAAAGUGGGAAAAACUCACAAAACCCACAACCCCAAUACACCCAAAUGGAACCUCACUAGAACACUCAAGUGGAAGCUCUCUCAAAUUCUCUCAAAGAACUCACUUGCAAUUGCUCUCUACUUCUCUCAAAUUGGGAUGGUUACAAUAGCAAAAUGCUUCUCUAUUUAUAGAUUGCAUUCUGCUCCAAGUUAGGUUCAAUUUGUCAAAACGUUGAGCUGGAUCUUGUAUUGCAUGCACGAGCUUUUCAACACCUAACUUUGUCUUUUGAAAUUGCUUAGCCGACCAUCUUUGCUUUUUUGAAUUUGGCAAGCAAUUCUUUGACUUUUCAACACUCAUUCAAGUGGCUAUAACUAAGAUAAAACGUCGCAAAGGAAGAGUAAUUAAAAAAUGUAACUUCUUUAACAUGUCCAUAUAGCAUUUUUGUUUACAAGUGAAUUUGUGUGAUAGAGAGAGGAUGUAAGCAAGAUAGUAAACUCCUAAAUAUAUUAUUGUUUGUAAUGUCUAAAAUUUGAAGAGAAUCAAGCUAAUAAAACUCCAUUGAAAUUAGACCUUCAAGAGUACGGUUCUUGGGCAUUAUAAAAUGUUGUAAUGUUGAGAGAUUACCCAACCAUUAUGGAAUCCUACCAAGAUGAUUGUUACCACUAAGAUACAAUCCUUCUAGUGAACAACAAUUAGACAAAUUUUUUGGAGAUCUCUCUUACAAAGUCAUUACCAUCCAAUCGCAAUUUUGAAUGAAAAUAAAUUUUUUUUAUUGGGAGUUUGACCUUAACAUUAAAUUUAGACAAUGAAUUUUAACUUUCUUCAAUUAUUAAGCAGAUUACGGACAUUUGAGGAAUUUGAAAACAUUUCAUCCAUCGAAAGUUAAAAUUAGAGAUGGAAGCUAGGUGCUACAGCUAAUGGGAACAUUAAUUCCUGUCCCUCAUCACACUUUAUUUUGGGUCUAAUAAUUUUACGGCAGCAUUGACCACUGCUCAAGGUAAGUAAAACUUACAAAUGUGUGGCAAAAUAAAUAAUUAAGUGGAUAAACUGUUAACUAAUUUUCUUGAUAUAUACAGCUAAUGUAGUUGUUCCUCUGUUAAAAAAACAAAUGCUAAGCAAUUUCGGCUGAGCCUGCUUGUGGUGUUGAUAAAAACGAGGGCUGGCUUCAAAUAUUUGAAUAGACACCUCCACCGUACCUCAAACAAAUCUGUCAUUAUUUGUGCCAUGAAACAUGUUUCGGCCGUCAAAGUCAUGAGAGGGUUGAUGACGCUACUACGUAUGAUGACACACCAGCCGACAGUGUAGUAACAGCUCAAAAACAAAAUCUACCAAAAUCAACGGAAGUUAAUAAAAAAUUAUUUUAUUAAUAAAAAUAAAUAAAUAACUUAUUAUUUUUGGAGACGUGUGUAGUUGAGUCUGUGGACUGAAAUGGAAAAUAUGAAGAAGUUCAGAGUCGUUGUGCAGAUUGACUUCAGUUAAAUGGGACUAGUAGAUAUUUUAUGCUGACGUGGCACGAAUUAGUUAUAAUCUGUUACAACGUUUCCAGAAACAUCAGUAUAAAUAGAAGCUGAUGAGCAGUGCCUGUUGUACUUGUACGAUCCUUUUUCUUCUUCAGUUGUUCGUCAAUUUGCAUAGAAUCUGUUUCAUUGUGAUCUGUGCAAAGUCUUCUAUAAAUCCACUUAUGUUUGAUUAGUUAUUGAUCAAUAUCGAGAACAUUAUCCACCUGGAACGACUUCAAGUCCAAAGUAAAAGAGAGAGUGGCUCCCCGCAAUUUUCUUGUUUUCAGUAUAUUUUCUUUUUUUUUUCUUUUUUAAAAUCUUUUGACGCAUGCAUAAUCUACCCUUGUUUAUUAUCUCUACUUUGCUCUGCUCAAGUCCAUUUUUUCAAAUCUUAUUUUAAAUAAUAAAUUGAAUAAAAGUACAUUUGUGUAAUUAAUUAGUAUCUGAGGGGGGCAGCAUAUUUGGUGGAGUGUUAUGCUAUGUAAGACUCAGCUAUUAUCAAACAGUCCCUUAACCAUUUAAUUUAAACCAACUUCUAUUUGGUUUAUUUGCUAUCUUUGUGGAUCUCAUAGGCGUGGCAGAGUUUAAUAAUUUUAUCGUCUGAAGAAUAGGAUAUUGGCUUCAAUAAAUUUAAUUUAAACCAACUUCUAUUUACUCCAUCAAUUAAUUAAUGACAUUUUGUUUUGAAAAAUUCAAUAAUUAAAUUCUCACGUUUCAUGUGUUUGAAGUCAAAUUAUUCAUUAACUAGAACUCUGUUCAAAAUUGACUGUCUUGUGGUUCCCAAAUGUAGUUGUAAUAUUGAAUGAAAGUAAAAACUUUCUAUGGCGAGUUUAAAUCUAAAUCUGGACAAUGAAUUUUGAGUUUCUCAAUGCUAUUCUAAUAACAAAAAUUAUGUUGAUUGAUUUAUUGUUACAGUUACUAUCCUUUGAAAAUGGAUGGAUUCAUUGUUUCCGUGACCAAAUUAUGCCUGCCUAACGCUGCAACUAUUAAAAAAUUUAAUAUUUAAUGCACAUGUUAAAAGAUUUAAAAUUUUAUGCAUUUAUUAAUUGUUAUAAUCUUAAAAAAAAUUAAUUAAUUCAGGUCAAUCUGAGUUGGUGCAUCUGCAGGAGCCUUUUUUUAAUUUUUUUUUCCCCUUAUUGACCAUAAUGACAUCUCCUUCAACAUGACUAUUGACAAAGAGCAUGUAAAAACAUGGAAACAGAACUUCCACAGGUGGAAUUUAAGUUUUGGCCAUGUGGCCAUGAAAGAAAAAGGAAAAGACGCCUCUAAGAUUUGUUUCAGUGGUUUACAUUGACUCUUUAAUUUAAUUUAUAGUAACACAAUUUUUUUUGUACAAAUAUAUAUUAUUCAUGUUUUGUAUUAUAUUUUAACAUCAUAUUUUUAUUUAUUAUAAAUAUUUAAAGCUAAUUUUUAGGUUGAUAUUUAAUAAAAGGGUAUAAUCGUUCCAUCCAUUUCUCAUCUCGCGAUCUCUCUCAAUUAUCCUUUAUUGAUAGCUCAAAGCGCGUUGCUGUGGAAAAUUGUAGCAAAAUGAAAAAUUGGAAAGAAAGGGAAGAAAAUUAAUGCUUGGAGAAAGCAAUCCAAUAAGUCAACUGGUCUUUAGUGGGAACAUAUUACAAAAAGGCCUCGAUCAUCAUAUCGUAGACUCGGGGAUAAGGAUUUGGAUCGAGUUUUUGUUUUGAUAUUGAAGGACCUACUUCUCUGCCGCGAUGUAGAAUAUAUGCAAGGAGUUGUCUACUGCUCUUUAGGUCAUAAUAAUGUGAUUGGUGCAUUCAACGUUGCCCCGAAACACUGGAAAGUACUUCCAUAUCCUCCGAAUGAGAACUGAUUUAUAUAUGAUUUCCUAAUUGACUCAGGAUCAGAUGACAACAACAACUUAUUAAUAGUUAUAUCAAAACGGCAGAAGACGUGUUUUGUUUACAGGUUUGAUCCAUUUGGAAUGAAGUGGUCUCAAGUCGAAAGUAAUUUAUCGAAUAACUUUCGACUAAUUAAUAGUUAUAUCAAAGGGUGUGGGUGUUUUACCUCAUCAUGUCUUCAAGUGGAAGAUGAAGACUAGCAAGUGAAUUCAGGAAUAUUGCAUGCCAUUAAAUUUGUAGUUUUUACAUGUUGAUCAGCAGGAUACAACAUUAAAUUUUGUCAUUGACAAUACUGCAUGCCUGUCGUCUAAAGCAUUACCUCACAAGGUUUUAUGAGAAACGAAAGAUGUGUUUGCUUUGAACAAUUAAAGUUACUGCUACGAACCUCCCCAAAGGUCAAGAAGACAGAACAGGAAGCUAAUGCCAUCAAUGUCUUGUUCAUUAUAGCUGCUGGGUAGUUAGGUGUAGUUUCCUCAUUUGAAGCUGUCUAUACAUGGGCAUUUCCCCUGCUUAUGUACAAAUAAAUGAACAACCUUGAAGCUUUAUUAUUCGCAACAAAAAGGGAUUACUAAUUGGAGAAGACUAUACAGAGUUUCUCUCACACUUUCACUCUGUCAAUUUCAUCUAGAAGUCCCUCUAAAAGCAUCUCCCAAAACAGUUAGUCAUCUUUUAUGCUCUGUUUGUAAAAAAUGUGGGCUUUAUUCUUUCUAGAAGAGAUGGAAUUCUAGAAGAGAUGGAUUUGCACGGUCAAAAAGAAAAGAAAAGCCGUAAAAUAAACAGUAGCCGCAAAAUGAACAGUAGCCGCAAAAUGAACAGUAACCGCAAGAUGAACAGUAGUCACUGGUGGCUAUAAAUAGAGGAGUGCUCCUCCUUAUUGUUUGUAUCCAAAAUCCCAGAGAAGGAAUCCAAGUUUUGGUGAGAAAUUGAGAAAGAAAAAUAUUCUUAAGCAUGUAGUUAUAUUGAAGGAGCAUUUGUCUCCUCAAUAUGGGUAUUACGAGUUUGCUUUGUUAAGAGGUAUUUCUCAAGAUUAUGUAUUUGGGGUUUGGGUGAGAGAAAAUUUAUGAGAGUGCGGUUGUAAUAAUUUUCCACAUAGUGAAUAUUUUUUCUCUGGUUGUCUUUUUGACAACGGCCGUGGUUUUUUCUCCGGAUUUGGAGUUUUCCACGUAAAUCUUGUGUUGUGGGAUUGAUAUUAUUUUUCAUUUAAUUUUUCUUGUUAAUUUGUUAAUUGACAAAUUGCUUGGAGAGAUCUUGGGAGGAAGCUCAAUUUCCUAACAGUGGUAUCAGAGCCAUUGAUUGAAGUUUUGGUGUCGGGGUACUAUUCACGUAUACGGUACUGUUCACGUGAAGCAGUUUGAGCCAAUCCGAAUAAUCUGUGGUGAAGAGAAUAUGAAGCAAAUAUGUCAGCAGCUGGUGUUUUUCAAACUUGGUUGAAGUUUGAUGUUGUUGAAAAAUUAAUGGGAGAAUGAUUUUAUUGGCUUGUGGAGAAUUCAAGUCAAAGGUGUAUUCAAUCUGGGUUACACAAGGCAUUGAAGGGGAAGCCAUCCCCUGCGUCCAGUGGUGGCUCUGGAAAAGCUAGUAUAAGUGAUGAAGAUUGGGAAGAAUUAGAUGAUCGAGCUGCAAGUGCCAUACGACUAUGUCUAGCAAAGAAUGUUCUUGCAAAUGUAGGAAAAAUUCUUACAGCGAAAGAACUUUGGGAGAAGCUAGAAAAGUUGUAUCAGACAAAGAGCAUCUCAAAUCGAUUGUACCUGAAGGAGCGAUUUCACACACUGCGAAUGGCUGAAGGUAUAAAAAUUUCCGAUCACCUCAGUGUUCUCAAUGGUAUUGUGUCAGAACUAGAAGCCAUUGGAGUUAAAAUUGAAGAUGAGGACAAGGCGCUUAGGUUACUAUGGUCACUUCCAACUUCCUACAAACACUUGUUACCUACUUUGAUGUACGGGAAGGAUACAGUAGAUCUUGAAGAAGUUACUAGUACUUUACUCUCAGAAGAAAGAAGACUGAAUGGUGAAAGUACUAAAACUACAGAUGUCUCGGCUUUGGCAGUUGUAGGGAAUUGGCAGAAAGAUAAAUCUAAGAAGAAAGGAGUCUGCUGGGGGUGUGGACAAUCGGGGCACUUAAAAAGAGAUUGUCAUAGUAGAAAUGGAGUAGGAUCGGCAAGUGGCUCCAGAUUAGAUACUGAUAGUAUUGCUAGUGGUAAGUCUCUCAUCAUCAUGGGAGACGAUGAUCCCUUGUAAAAUGGAUGAUGAUGACAUCCUCAUGGUAUACCGCUAGUACCAUGAAAGGGGAUAUGUUACUACUAGCGGGUCCACAAGAUUUACACACAAGGCAUGGUUGGCAUUGAUGCAGGGUGUGUGGUGGAAUUUAUGUCGAUGAUUGACAAACUUCCAGGAAGGCCAACAUGGAAGUUGCACCAUAAAUUUCAGCAGGAUAUUUCGACAUGUGCCGAUGUAAAAUUCUUAGAAUUGGUAAUUAAUUCUAAGUGGUAUAUUCUUUAUGGUGGAGUAUGAUAAUUCUCUAUGACGAGGAUUAUGACUUAGGUGAAAACAGUAAGGACAGUGUGGAGAUUGAUUGGUUCUUAAUCAAAUCUCCAAGUGAGAGAAUGUAAAAAAUGUGGGCUUUAUUCUUUCUAGAAGAGAUGGAAUUCUAGAAGAGAUGGAUUUGCACGGUCAAAAAGAAAAGAAAAGCCGUAAAAUAAACAGUAGCCGCAAAAUGAACAGUAACCGCAAGAUGAACAGUAGUCACUGGUGGCUAUAAAUAGAGGAGUGCUCCUCCUUAUUGUUUGUAUCCAAAAUCCCAGAGAAGGAAUCCAAGUUUUGGUGAGAAAUUGAGAAAGAAAAAUAUUCUUAAGCAUGUAGUUAUAUUGAAGGAGCAUUUGGCUCCUCAAUAUGGGUAUUACGAGUUUGCUUUGUUAAGGGGUAUUUCUCAAGAUUAUGUAUUUGGGGUUUGGGUGAGAGAAAAUUUAUGAGAGUGUGGUUGUAAUAAUUUUCCACAUAGUGAAUAUUUUUUCUCUGGUUGUCUUUUUGACAACGGCCGUGGUUUUUUCUCCGGAUUUGGAGUUUUCCACGUAAAUCUUGUGUUGUGGGAUUGAUAUUAUUUUUCAUUUAAUUUUUCUUGUUAAUUUGUUAAUUGACAAAUUGCUUGGAGAGAUCUUGGGAGGAAACUCAAUUUCCUAACACUGUUUUCUAGAAACAGAGUCCUAACUAAAUUGAUUGACUGAACAGUGCAUUUCAACAUAGCAUAUUUAACUGUUUAAACAGUUAUUUGAACCGUCUUCAGAGUUAUCAUCAACAAACUCAUUCAUACUGGUCCAAUCUUACGGACGAUAUCAUAUGCUUAAUAAUGAACGAAUAGUCUUGGAUCAGUGUUUUGCGGCAAGAGCAACUCGACACAAUCUGGAUUCAACCUCCUCCUAUCUAACAAGGGAUUUCGAUUUGAGUUACUUGGUGCUCAAGCAAAUUCACAUCAUAGUUUUGAUUCUUUAGAUAUGAAUUCAUCACAUUACAUAUAUCAGAUUAAGUGUAACAAAAUUCUUUAUCUACUGCGAAAAUAAUAUGCGCUAAAAAAUGAUUUCAAGACUAUUUGACUACAAAAAGCAGCUGCAUGGCUCAGCCUCAGGUAAGAAAGCCACAGAAAAGGAAAAUCUCACUGUCACGACUCACGUCACGCAUCAUUCAAGUGAUGGAUUUAACAAGACUGCUUAUGUUCUAUCAAAUUCCUCUGCCUCUCAGAAGAUAACUUUUCUGGGCCAAAUUUCUCAUCUAAAGCAUAUUAUGCCCCAAAGUCAGAGAUAACAAAAUGGGGCACUACCGAUUAUGAAAGAGAGCUAGUAGUUGUCAGAAGCCUAAGUCAAAUUCCGGUAGUAAGAAGAGGCCUUUCUUGAGUUUAGAUUAUGUGUUCGAGUUUUAAUAAAUGCCUAAGUUAAUAAUAAUAACAACAGUAAUAAUAAACUAAAAAGCAUAAUUACUAUUGAAUGGUAAAAAAAAAAAAUGAAAAUGUGUGAACUCCAAUAACCACCCCAGUGGCGAAUUUUGGAGAGGGCUAGGCCGGGCUUCUUAGAAAUUAUUUUUAUUUAAUUACAAAAUCACCUUUACUGAAACCUAUAUAAAAUUUUUUAUAUUAAUUAAUUAUGUUGCCUCUUCAAUUAUCAUUGAAUUCUUGUCCGUUCAUCAUUUGAUGGAUAAAUGUGUAUUUCAAUAAUUUCAAAUAAUGUCUAGAACAAAUAUUUUGAAUGAUAAAACUCAUUAUGUCCUGCAUUACUAGAUGUAUCUAUAAUUUAUUAUUUACAAAUUAUAUUGUAUGAUAAAAAUGUAUUGAAUUUUUUAAAAAAAAAAAAGUUCGGCUCACUCAGAAAAAAAUGUUAUUAGCUUCGCCACUGCACAAAUCUAGAAUAAUAAUUAUUCCUUAUUAUAUUGACUGCACCAAGCAAUAAACUAAUAAGUUCUCAUUAGUGGUUUUUAAUCUUUUUAAUUCUUUUUACCGCACACCUGAUCAAUAAUUCUAUUUUGUUAACUAAUCAAUUGCAAAUCAUAUAUUAGUGUUGAACGGUGAACAAAAUUGAAAAAAAAAAUUCUUAAAAAACGUGUGGACUCGGAUAGCCAGACCAGAAAUCUAUGACAAUAAUUAGCUUUGAUGCUGGGAAUCUUUUAGUUUCUGGCCGUAUUGACUCCACCAGUGAUGCUGGGAAUCUAAUGGAGCUCAUUCUUUGGUUUUACUUGCAGGUCUAGAAGCAGGUGUCAUCUUGUAAAGAAGGAAAAUAAUAUUUGCCUUUUUGAAUAAUUUUAUUGAACCAGGAGACGCAGCUAUAUACAAGAGAUUUCCUACAAUCAUGCUAAUCUAUUCUAGGUAGUCUAAGGGCCAGUUUGGUAAUGCUGCAGCUUUUAAAAUAAUUACUGUUAGCUGUGCUGUAGAAAUAAUCAGCUGUGAAGAGAAUCAGUUAAGUGUUUGGUAAAUUUUAUUUUUAAAAGUACUGUGAAUUUUGAAAGCAGUUAUGGGUGUUUGGUAAAUCUUAUUGUUAAACUGCUGUAAGAAAAUAAAUGACUAAAAUGUACAUAAUGUAGGAUGAAAUUUACUUAUACAUAUAAAAAUAUACACGUACAAUAUUAUAAUAAAAAUUGCAUAGGCAUAGAAUUGUUUAUAUAUAAACAAACCCAAAUAAGACAAACAACAAAUAUUAUAAUAAAAAAUACAUUGAAUAUGCAUGAAAAGGGUGAUGAAUCACUUACUGUUAUUGAAUAUGGUUAUGGAACACAUACUGGAUCUUGCUUUGUUGCACUAGAGAAGUUUUGAUAGAACACAAAAUAUGAAGAAAUAGGGUAAACGAAAGGUGUGUGUUAAUUAUAAUAAAAAAUUAUUAAAAUAUUGAUUUUAUUUCCAAUUUAAAUAAGGAUAAUUUCGGGUUUAAGUAAUAAUUGUAAGGAUAUUUAUGGAAUUAUAUUAAAGGAUAAAAUUGAUUCUCAAAAUCAAAAUCUAAAAGUUACUCCUUCCCUGCUUUUCAAAAUCAGCUGUAGGAGGAGCUGAUUCUGGCAAAAGUAAUUUUGAUUUUUUUUUUACCAAACACCAAAAUUAGCUUUUAGAUUUUUAAAAUCACUUUUAACCCUCUCAAAAGCAAUCCCAAACGGGGCCUAAAUAUAAAAGGCAACUAAACAAAUAUACAACUAAUACAAUAUAUUCGUCAAUGAAUGGUCAGAUAUCAUUGACCUUUCCUUCUCAACACUCCCCCUCAAGUUGGAGAGUGGAUGUCAAGAACUCCCAACUUGCGUAUCAUAGUUGAGAAAGCUUCCUUUCCCAAUGGCUUGGUGAACACAUCUGCAAGUUGAUCUGUUGAGGCAACAUGUUUGGUUACAACUGAACCAUCUUGUAUUUUGUCACGAAUAAAAUGGCAAUCCAUCUCUAUAUGUCUGGUUCUUUCGUGGAAAACGGGAUUGGCAGCUAUAUGUAAGGCUGCUCUGUGUUAUCACAAUAUAAUAAUGCUGGCUUCGGAUGCAAUAUUCUCAAAUCCUUCAAUAAUGAGCGUAGCCAGGAUAAUUCACAACAUGUACCUGUCAUGGCUCUAUAUUCAGCUUCUGCUGAGGAGAGAGAUACGGUUUUCUGCCUCUUUGUCCGCCAAGAAAUAAGAGAAGAUCCCAGAAAAACACAAUAACCCGUAGUGGAUCUACGAGAUAUUGGACAACCAGCCCAAUCCGAAUCAGAAAAAGCUCGCAAAGAUAAAUCAUUCUGAGAAAGGAAAAACAAACCUUGCCCUGGACUAUUUUUCAAAUAACGCUAUACACGCAAGACAGCUUCCAUGUGUGGUCUACGUGGUGCAUGCAUGAAUCUGCUUAACACAUGGACCGAAUAGGUGAUAUCCGGUCGGGUAAUAGUUAAAUAAAUUAGGCGUCCAACAAGUCGUCUAUACUGAGACGGAUCUUUAAGCAAUUCACCUAAAUCCGAGAGCUUUAUGUUUUGUUCCAUGGGAAAGUUCACAGGUUUAGCACCCAAAAAUCCACCAUCUUUUAAAAUUUCCAAAGUAUAUUUUCGUUGCGAGAUGGAAAUACCUUUCUUCGACCGAGAAACUUCGAUGCCCAGAAAAUACUUCAAAUCACCCAAAUCUUUAAUUCGAAAAUGACUAUGUAGAAACUGCUUGAGGGAUACUAUGGCAUUGACGUCAUUACCCGUAAUAAGAAUGUCAUCGACAUAUAUCAACAAAGCUGUAAACGAUUUGCCUUUCCGACAUGUGAAUAACGAGUAAUCAGCUUUGGAUUGAACAAAGCCAGCAGCUUGGAUAGCUGUAGAGAACUUGGCAAACCAUUGUCGGGAAGCUUGCUUUAAGCCAUAUAACGACUUGUGAAGGCGACACACUAGAUUCUCCCCCUGUCGCCGAAGACCAGGAGGUGGAGACAUAUAAAUUUCUUCAUGGAGAUCGCCAUGAAGAAAGGCAUUGUUGACAUCAAGUUGGUGAAGAGACCAAUUCUGGGCAGCUGCUAAAGCCAAUAAACAACGAACAGUAAUCAUUUUAGCAGUGGGAGAAAAAGUGUCAUGGUAAUCUAUACCUUCUAGCUGUGUGUAACCUUUUGCAACCAAACGAGCUUUGAAACGCUCAAUACUACCAUCCGAGUGUCGUUUGAUUUUAUAAACCCAACGACAACCAAUAGGCUUCUUACCAGGAGGAAGAGAAGUGAGGGACCAAGUGUGGUUGGCUUCUAAAGCAGCCAAUUCAGAUUGCAUUGCUUCUUGCCAAUGGGAAUGGGAAGCUGCUUUGGCAUAAGAUGUAGGCUCAAUAUCUUGACUGACAGCAGCAGUAAAAGAGCGAUGUUGUGGUGAGUAACGAUGAUAAGAGACAAAAUUGCAAAGGGGAUAUCGUGUACCUUUUUGUAGACUUGAUGACAAAGGCGGCAAAUGGUUGGGAGACGUUACUUGGUUACAGACAUAAUCACGUAAAGCCAUGGGAGGGUGAUGAGGUCUUUGGGAACGACGUAAAAUGGGUUCGGGAGGAGGACUAGCAGGUGAUAGCUGAGUAGAAACUAAAUUCGGUGGUAAUGGUUGUUGGAUGGGAGAAAUUGGUUCCGGUGGUAAGGGUUGUGGAACUGGUGGGGAAGGAGCGGAUAUAGAAAGAGGAAUCACAUGGUCUGAAUUUAAGGAAGGGGAUGGAAUAGACUCAUAAGGGAAAAUAGUUUCAUGAAAAACAACAUCACGGCUAGUGAACAUUUGGUGGGUGUCAAGGUCAUAGAGCUUGUAAGCUUUUUGACCAACUAGAUAGCCAAGAAAAAGACAUCGUUUAGCUCGAGGAGCAAAUUUAUGGGGGACGUGCACAUUAGUAGCAUAGGCAAGACACCCAAAAACUCGGAUAUGAGAAUAAGAAGGAAGCUUUCCAUAAAGUCGUUCAAAAGGAGUUUGGCGAGAAAGGAGUGGUGUGGGCAAACGAUUAAUUAUAUGAACAGCAGUAGAAACACAUUCUGCCCAAAAAUGUAAAUGAAGGUGGGUUUGAAAACGAAAAGCUCGAGCGGAAGCAAGAAUAUGGCGGUGCUUGCGCUCUACAACCCCAUUUUGUUGAGGGGUAUAGACACAAGAAUGUUGGUAAGUGGUCCCUUUUUGUUUAAAAAAUUCCCGCAUAGAGAAGAAUUCUCCACCAUUAUCAACCCAAAUGUUGGCUAUAGAUACAUGGAAUUGGGUUUGGACAAAUGAAAAAAAAUUGACAAGUAAAUGUUGUGUUUCACUUUUGUGAUGCAUAAAAAACACCCAUGUGAAUCUAGAAUAAUCAUCCACAAUAGUCAAAAAAUAUUUCGCACCAGAAAGAGAGGCAAUUUUAUAGGGACCCCAAAUGUCACAAUGAAUUAAUUCAAAAGGUCUAAUAGAUGAAAUUGAACUAAUAGAAAAUGGAAGUCGACUUUGUUUUGCAAGUGCACAAACAUCACAAGCAUUAUUAGACUGGGAAGGGAAAUUUAACAAAUGUUUUGCCAUAAAAUCUAAUCUAGAGGAAGACAAAUGCCCCAAACGGCGAUGCCACAAAAUGGUGGAGGAGGUGACCUGAGAACUGGGUGAACAGCAAGAAGUGGCUGCUGCGGAUGGAGUUUGAGGUUUUGGUUUUUCUGAUGCUAACGCAACCAAGUAAUAAAGUCCGUCUCGUUGUUCACCCAAACCAAUUGUCGUCCUCGUCGUCAAGUCCUGCAAAAUACACCAAUGAGGGAAAAAAGUUACUGAACAAUUGAGAUCUCUGGUAACUCGACUCACAGACAUUAAAUCCACCUUAAAAGAUGGCACACCAAGCACAUUUUGUAAAGUAAUAGCAGAAUUCAAAGGUAAAUUCCCAAUGGAUGUAAUCGAAGCCUGUUCUCCACUUGGCAUAGCAACUGGUGGCAAAAAAGUGUUCUUAUUGCUGUUGACAAGCAAAGUUGGUGAUGAAGUAAUGUGGUCUGUUGCACCACUGUCGAUAAUUAAUCGAUGGAGGCGCAACAAUCUUUGUAACAAACCUGAGGCAGCAGCAUUAGCUUUAGGAUUGGUGGAUUGUGUUGUCCCUUUACCCUGCAUGAUAGAUAAGAUUUGUUGGAUUUGCAAGUCAGAGAGCCCAUUUGUCACUGAUGGCACUUCCUGCAUUACUGGACUUUCCUUGACAUUGUUGGCUGAAGAUUGAUGGUUAUUGUUGCGCUUGAAAUGAGUGCUUCCUUGAUUAGAUUUGUUUGAUGCAUGUUUAGGGUGUUCUGGUGGGUACCCAUUCAGCUUCCAGCAUUUUUCUCGUACAUGAUGGUCACGAUCACAAUAAGAGCAAUGCAAAGGUUUUCGAUUAGAUGGGUUGGAACGAGAAGAAGAACCUUGUUCAUGUCGAACAGCUAGAGCUACCGGUUCAGCCCUUCGAACAAUCAUGGCUGAGUUCUCCAUCAUCUCACGUGCAACCCCCAGGCUGCGCUGCUUCUCCUCUUGUACAAUGGAAGAGUAAGCCUUAGCAACAUCAGGUAGCGGAUUCAUCAACAAAAUCUGCCCUCGGAUUGCACUGUAGGACUCAUUGAGUCCCAUGAGAAAUUGCAUCAAUCUGCGUCUCUUAUGGUCUGCCCCACAAGAGCAAACGGUGUCAUUAUAGGAUCCUAGUUCAUCCCAUAAUUUUUUUAGCCUUGUGUAAUAAGCUGCAACAGUCAUCUGAUCUUGAGCAAGACAAGCAAUGUCCCUCUCAAUCUGAAAAAUACGAGGGGCAUUGCUUUGAGAAAAACGAUCCCGAAGGUCUUCCCAUACCUCCUGGGCGGUGGUCGAAAAUAUGACACUGUCUGCAAGGUCUUGUGUGAGUGAAUUGAGAAUCCAAGACAGGAUCAUAUCGUUGCAUUUUUUCCACGAAGCACAUUCGUCUGGUUUGGCUGUGGCAGACGGCAUUGUGGUGGUCCCGUCUAUGAAACCUAACUUGGAUUUGGCAUUCAAAGAAAUCGUCAUGGCUCUACACCAUGUCGAAUAAUUAUCCCCAUUAAGGGGCUUGGAAACAAGCACCAUUCCUGGAUGAUCAGAAUGAUGAAGAAAAUAUGGAUUGGCAGCAUCAAGCUUGCCUCCAUUCGAAGGUUGCUGUUCCGUCAUGAUAAUGAGUAACAACGAAAAAAGAAAGAGGGCAGAGAGCUAGGGUAUCGUUCCCUGCUCUGAUACCAUGUAAAGAAGGAAAAUAAUAUUUGCCUUUUUGAAUAAUUUUAUUGAACCAGGAGACGCAGCUAUAUACAAGAGAUUUCCUACAAUCAUGCUAAUCUAUUCUAGGUAGUCUAAAUAUAAAAGGCAACUAAACAAAUAUACAACUAAUACAAUAUAUUCGUCAAUGAAUGGUCAGAUAUCAUUGACCUUUCCUUCUCAACACAUCUAACAGCUGCUUUGAUAAUUUCCCACACCUUCAUCUUUGAUGGAAAUAUGAAAUAAAAACAAAUUGGUGAAAAUGGUUUUGGUACCCGCGGCUCUGUAAUCUAUUUCAAAAACUACACCAUCAAAACGACUGCAUAAGAAUCUAACUUCUCCUCUUGAUUUUUAUGGGCAUGUUGUGUAGUCCAUGCAGACAAAAAUCAUAUUUUAGUUUACUCUUACUCAAUGCUUGGAUUAAAGGUUUUUUUUUUGGGGGGGGGGGGGGGGGGGGGGGAUUGAAGCAGACUAAAAUGACACAAAAAAUAGUUGAACGAGUGUGGGUUUUGUCUUCAUUUUAGGAGAUCUUUAUAAAUUUUAGGAUUUUUUUUCCCGAGAAAAUUUAUGCCAACUCAUUCUUUGCUUCUUUUAUGAAGGGACAGAUGCAACUGAAAGUAUAUUCUUGAAUUCUAUAAGAGACAGCAGUUUAGAUUCUCGAGCCUUCAAAAAAAUAUCAAAUUCUAGAUUGCUGAAAUUUUAUAUAUCCAAGUAUGAUGGUGCACCAAUUAUUAACUCCAGGGUGCAACUUCACCGCGGAUUAGAAUGUCUUCCUGCAGAAUUGAGAAAUCUCCAUUGGCAUAAAUAUUUUUUUGAAAAUACUGUCAUUAGAUAUUUUUAUUAUUCAUACUUCAUUGCACAAGGCACCACCUGGCUUCUAUUUCAAGCCCUAAUAAUGAUCCGCUGCUGGAAAAGAAUUUGUGCAGCAUGUACGCUCCUUGACCACAACAGCAAAGUUUAUUGAUGUUAUUUCAUAUUCUGCUGUGAGUCAAAUAAAAAUUUACUAUGCCCUUUCGGCAUGGCUUGCCUUUCAGCAAAAAAAGAAAAAAAAUCUUUCAAAUUGUGGAAGCAUGCUUACAUUAAUCAGCUCAGUAUGUUAUGUUUCAAGGGAUGCAAAAUUCGUUUUGUUUCUCAUGGAAGAAUUGACUUGUCUGGAUGUAUUAAUCUCAUAGAUUUUCCACAGAUUCGUGGGAAUAUAACAAAGCUAGACUUAAGUGAGAUCCCAAUAGAAGAAGUUCCGUCAUCAAUAAAAUGCCUAGCUGAUCUUAAAACGUUGCGUUUGAGUAAGUGCACGAGGCUGAAGAGGCUUUCCAUCAAGCAUUUGUAAAUUGAAAUCUCUUCUUGAGCUUUAUCUCUAUAACUGCUCAAACCUUGAAAGUUUUCCAGAAAUCAUGGAGAAAAUGGAACGUUUAAAGAUAUAAAUUUAGCAAGGACGGCCAAUUACAGAGCUGCAAUCUUGAUAGCCUUCGGGAUAACAUUAGCAAUUUAAAAUCUUUGAGGUACAUCUCUACUAAUGGAUCAGCCAUUAGUCCUCUGUCGCAGGUUCGGUUGUACUUAAAUAUCUAUCAUUUUCUCAAUACAGAGGUUUGGUAUCAUUGCCUCCAAUAUUAUUGUCAGGUUUAGGUUUAUCGAAUUUGUUACAGCUAAAUUUAAGAGACUCUGCUAUAAUGGAAAUUCCCCAAAAUAUUGUUCGUCAAUCCUCAUUGAAAAUUUUAAAUCUAAAGGCUUGUUUGUUAACUACUUGAAGUAUGUAGUUAAUGCUUUUUUUUUUUUUUUUGUAAUUUAUGUUUGAUUUGAGAUAUUUACAUUUGAAUAAAAAAAUUAAACUUUUGUUACAUUUAUCUAAAAAAAAAAAAGGCUGAAUGGGAAGUAAAUAAUUCCCUUUUUCGUUUUAACUUACAAAAACAUAAAUGUUAACUAUGUUUAAGAAAUUUUUUAUUUAUAAAAAGAAACCAAAUACUACUUAUAUUCGUAUAUCAAAAAAUGAAAAACAAACAUGUUAUUCAUACGUUCACAUACAAACUCAUUCAGACCUCAGCUAAAUACAAAUCCAUUUACAUUUCAAAAAAAUAAAUAAAUACUUCCUAAGCGGGAAUAACUUUGAGAGUUGACUUGCAAGGCUAGAAUAUCUUGACUUGAAGGGUUGCAAUGAUUUCUCAUCAUUGAGAGUUUAUCAUUGUGCUUCAUCAUCAUCAUCAUUAUUAAUAAAAAGGUAAGCAAUUAAGAGUCAAAUUAAACCAGAAAAUCACUCAUCCACGCUUUUGGGACAUCAUUCUGCUCAUUAUUUUUAUUCCGUAUCUUCAUUGUUUUAUUUGGUAAUUAUUACCAUUAGUAAAUAAAGGGAUUAGUUGAUUAUUAUGAACUAACUAAAUGGAGCUCACCCUUAAAUGUCGGCUUGUAUCAGGGAGGUGCCUUAGGGUUAAUAAAUCAACUAAUCCCAUAAUUUGUCGAUGUAGGUGAUGGUUGUUAAAGCCAACAAAAACAAAUACCUACUCUAAAUAAAUUGUGUAUAGUGAUUGAGCAGGGUCGUGUUUACAGAGAUCGGUAAUUAUUUAAAUCCUUUUAAAACGUAAAACAUAAAAUGGGGGUUUUGUUGACAAUAAUAAAAAUCAAAUUAAAAUAACAAGAAUGCAAAUUAAAGUUGUAAUUCAAAUUUGGAGAAAGCUCUGGUUGAAGGAAUUAACUCAGCUUAAUUCGACUACUGAUCAUUUAUUCAAAUAUAAAUUAUUACUACUUAUGAAUAGACCGGUUAUGGCUACUGAGAACCUCUAAUAGCCAAUAUCUCCUUAACUAGUCGAUAACCAAGGUACGACCAUUGAUUAUUUCCCUAAUCAAUAGACAACCCUAGAUACGAUCAUAUGAUUUAAUCAAUUGACAGCCUAAAAAACCAGAGAGACCCAAAUCCUAAUCAACAAACACAUACGAUGGUUCAUUUAAAUUAGAUUGUUUAUUCUCAUAACACAACUCUCUGCUAUGUUAUUUGUCACAAACAUUAAAAUCUUCAUACAAUGAAUCCUUUAAUUGACAAUAGAUUAAGUUGAUAAUUAAAUAGUGGCCAAUUACCUAAUUAACAAACAUAAUCAUGAAAAUAAUUCAGAGAAUAAACAAAUACCCAAAAAGCAAUAAAACAAUUAAAACAUAAGAAAGAUCUCACAGUAGUGAUGAAUCAAAGCUUCAUUAACCUUCAACUAGAAAAAUAGGUUUAGUUCUUCAUAGAGAGAAGAGAAAAGUUUAGAUCUAGCGUUUCUUUCUUUUUCUCCAAUCCCCCCUUUUUCACUAUAGAUUCCUCCCUUAAAUACUCUCUCUCUCUUCUCCUCUAGAGUUCUAUUUAAAAUAAAAUACUAAUAUAUGAAAUAUUAAAUUCGUAAUUACAAAAAUAGCCAAAAAUACAAAACAUGUUAAACUAAAAACUGCAGGUCCGUAGUUGACAGCACGCGCCCACGCCUUAUCAAUAAAGUUCUUCUGACGCUCUAAAUUUCUCCAAGAGAACAAUCAUCUUUAAACAUCAUCUUAUAGCUCAAUUUUAUCACAAAUCAAUAAAAUUGCACCUACAAAAGUAAAACACAAGUAAAUCAUUAUUAUUAAGUGCAAAACAUCGAUAUUAAGGGAAGUAAACAAUGCAAAACUAGUGCAUAAAUUGCACUCUAACAGUAGGGUAGCAAAUUAUUGCCAUAGAUCAGCACACAUCUCGAAAACAUAUUUGAUCCACACAGUGAAGAUGAUUCAAUAUUAAGCAUGUCAUAUAAUCUGGAGUUGGAUAUUGGAUCAAUUUGAUGAUAAUGAGUUUCUUUCAAUCUCAAUAUGUAUCUUCUUCGCAACAUGACUAGCCAUUGCAAACUCAAACUCUGACAAUGAUUUCUCAAUCGCUUUCUAAGACGAUGAGCAUGUAUGUAUAUAUAUGUGUGUGCACGUGCGCGUGUGUGUUUGUGUACGUAUAUAGAGAGAGAGAUAUAUAUAUAUCACACAUGUGCGCUUUCCUUUUGUCAAUAAGAUAUGCAGAGAGCUUAAUAAUCAUAGAUUAGCUUAUAUCCUUCAAACCAUGUGCUAUGAAGUAAUUUCACAAACACUUGUUGAACGUUAUUGAAUCAGUAGUUCACAGUUCAAUACAAUGUAGGUUUCCUAUUUGAAGUAAAUGAUUAUGGUGUGUGCAUUUUUCAUAAAGCUAACUACUGAAUUUACCAUUGAAACUUGCAAAAUGUAACAGAGAGAUGCAGAUAGCAGCCACGAAACACUAAGAUUGAAAAUCAGGACUACUGAAUUCUAUUACAAGCCCUUAAAAUAGACAACAAUCAUCCUCAAAUGUAUAUACUGAAAGUAAAAAAUAUUAAUCGUAAAGUUAUGCAUUAACAAAACUAUUGAAUACUUAUCUUUAGCUAUAUAUUUUUAAUUGUAGCUCCCUACUUUGUUCUAAGAACUAGGCAAAAGUAGCAUAUCUUCAAUCCAAUCAGCAUAUAUACCGCUCAUCUUCUCCAGUUCUUUCCACUUUGAUUUGCAUUUCAUACCCUGCACUUGCUGCUUAGAAAUAGUCAUAGUUUGCACAUUGACAGUAGAAAAAGUACUUGAAACAAUCAUUGGCAUAGCAUGGGAUUCCAUUGAGUCGCGGUCUCCAAGCUUUCAUGGUUCUGUAAAGAAAAUGACAAAAACAUCAUGCUAUUGGCAUUCUACUUUUAGCAAUUUUCCACAAGCUGAGCUUUUUCAUAUCUCUCUAUAAAUUAUGCUGGUUCAACCUUCAGAUAAGUUUGUGAUAAAGGCAUCUAUGAUUACAAUGGGAAAAUUACAUGAACUUAUGUUAUCAAUCAUUGUUUUGCCUUCUCGUGAUAGAAUUCUGCGCAAUAUAAAACAUGACAUAUCUGUUACUUACCAUGCCAUGUCGUGAACCUAGAAGCAAUGCAAAUUGCAAGGAACAUAUUAAGCUAUCUACUGUAUAUAACAAAUUCUUAUUAGCCCACAAUCUUGUGCCCCAACAUUGAUCAAGUAACACUAUUAUUUCAUUUCCAAAAUGGCAUAUAUAAUCUGAUGUUGAACAAACCAAAUUGGGAAUCAUCAUUCCUUACAUUGAGCUGACAUUCGUACCUGCUAGUCCAUGAGCAAAGUUGCUUAUAUUUCCACACAGGCAGCUCCCCUUAUCUCUCGGUUCCGACAGAGCUUUGUUUUCCCAUCACCAGCUUUGGAUUCAUUCGAUCACUGAUGCUCCGAGUUAGCAAGCCCCUUGUUGUGUUCCCAUUUAACAGACCCACUUCUGUUAUCCACAGAAGAUCCACCACUCAAAAUGCUUAUCACCGAACUAUUCCUAAACUGAGUAGAAACUUCCGCACAUCUCUCGGCAUUUACAUGAAGAAAUCGACACCCACCCUCAUAUUUGUAAGUUUUCUGAUAAUAGAAAUGUCUACAAAGCUGCAUUUCGUUAGGCAAUCUAGUCUCUCCAUUCCUAGCAAAGUGACAUUGAUUCCCGUAUUUGUAAUUGCCUAAUUGGGGUUUUGGCAAUAGCCUGGUCUUAAAAUUACCACCCAUUACUUUGUUCAAUGCCACUGGCAUCCUCUGAUUAGGAACAUUUUCACAAUUUUUAGCCCUGUUAGUCGAAUCACAUUCAAGGGGAUAGUGAGACAGUAUUUCACUAAAAGAUUCAAUUUGACUACACAUAUAAGAAUUUGAAAUCACUUUUUCUUGGAAUAUUUAAUGACCCACCCAGGGUGAAAGUUUUUGAAUGGAAAUUAUUUAAUUUGAUUUGUUUUCCAACAAAUUCAAGAAACCCCAGAUAGUAACAUAAAAAAAAAAAAUCAACCAAUAAUACGCAAUGGGUUUCUUUCUUUUUGCUUUUGGAGGGCCAUGAAGAUCUGGAGUGGGCUGUAAGUAAUAGCCUUUAUCACUGGAGUGACAAAUUUGCAGAAGAUGAUGCAUGGGGAAGGAUUGGGCGAGCAUAAAAAUGGCUUUACACUCUUUGGAUUAGCGCCUCAUUUAGGUUGUAGCGAGAUAAAGAUAUCAUUUAAAGUUUUAUAAUCCUUGUUAUGCUUAAGGCUUCACUUAGUAUAGCAUAGAGCUUUUCUAGUUUAGCAUUUUACAAGUAGAAUUUUUUUAAAUUAUUAUUUAUUUGGUUGUUUUGUUCAGAAGAGCUUUUAAAGCUCCAAAAUCUUUGAUAGUCAGGUUUUUUUUUGGUAAGUAAAACUUUUAACAAAAAUUUAUUAUUCACUUGAUCGUUUACAAGAGUUUUCAUUAGAAGUUAUGUAAAGUUCUUUAAUUUUUUUUAUCAGUGCAUCUUUUUACAAGUAUAAUUUUUAUUUUUUAACAAAAAUUAAUUCAAUAAUAUUAAUAAUCUCAAUAUUUGAGUUUUAAUAUCAUAUGUCACUCAUUUAUUGGAUGACAGAUUUCAUAACUUAUAAAAUUAUUUAACUAACAUCCACUAAGCUAAUGUCACUAUAGUGAAGAUUGAAGUUGAAAUUUAGAUGUUACGUUGGGUAAUAUUGCGCUUAUUUGGUUGUUUAUGAGAGUUUUUUUGUACAAAUUUAUUUUUAUACAAAUUGAUAUAGUCUAAAUUCAUUAAUUAGAUGAAAAUAGAAAAUAAUAAAAAUAAAUCUUGUGUACUAAAAGUUAUUUAAUCUAUUUAAUUGAAUUAUCCUACGUUUGUUUGUACUAAAUAAAUUUAUAUAAAAAUUAAUUCUAUUUUUUGAUGUGCAACUAAACUUUUAGUCUCUUAUUAUUCGUAAAAUUCAAAUUCAGUGGCUUAUCAAAUAAAAUUAAAACUAUUGGUUAAUCAAAUAAAAUUAUUUGAAAUCAUUGGGUGUGGUAGCUGGAGCUCUUGAAAGUUGAAACUAUGGAAGCCAUGAAAUAUACCAGCGAAAAGAGUUCUAAUUUUUAAAUGUCUAUUUUAUAAAAAUUUUAAUAAUAAAAGUGUCGCAUCGACAUUGAACAGUAUAAAAAUUUUUAAUAAUAAUUUUUUUACGUUUGGGGUAUUUUUGUAAUUAUACGAAGGUAAACUAAUCGCAAAAUUCAUUUGGCUUACACUUGCUCUGUGUAUGGUUAUGGCGGUAUCAUUAUCAUCUUCUCCAUUCGUACUGACACCAAACCUUAACCGUUCAGAUUCCCUUUCUCGACUGUCAUACCCUACGCCCCGUCUCCGUGUCUCCGAUAAACAGUGCUCAAUUAAGGCCAUCAGAUUAUCCCGGACCCACAUUGAUCCAACGGCUCACAAUGACCGACGACCUCUCCAUCUCCAUUACAAGCUUCCUCUUCAACUGGCUUCUGCCUCUAUCGUACUCUUUCUCGGAUUCGGAGCCCGUAUAUGCUCGGCUGGUCCUACGGAGCUACCUCUCACUCCAGCUGUCAACCAACAAGACCAAUUGCUUAAUCCAGACACAGAACAACAAGAGGGUGAGAAAUUGAAUCAAGAAUUUGAGAAUUGGAAAUCGAAAACGUACGCAUUGACCGUGCCUUUAAGGGUCGUUUCUCUUCAGAAUUCAGUGCCUCAAUCUUGGGUUAAGGAUUUUAUGCGAAGUCAAGGAAAGAGAUUGAAGUUUCAGAUGAAUUUUUGUGCUAGCACUGAUGGGAUCGUUAAAAAUUUAUCUAUGCCCUCUAACAAAGUUAAGGCUAACUCAGCUUCGUAUAUGGCUGCUGAUUUGGUUAGUGUUGGUGAUUCAUGGCUCAGUUUUGCGAUUAAAAAGAGAUUGAUUGAGCCAAUAGCUGAAGCUGAAGAUCAAGAUUGGUUCAAAUGCUUAAGUCACAAAUGGAAGGUAACAUCUUUGUCUUUGACCGGAUGAUUUUUAUUGUCUUACAUUGAAAUUUGGUAAUGUAAUUUGUUCUCUAUCUGUGUUACCUUUGUAGUGAUUUUUUUUUUUAUUUGCUUUUAUUUGCACUAACAAAGUCUUAGGUAUAUCUACGCAGGAAUGAUGCAGAAGAAAUUGAUCCUCGAGGUAAAAUAUGGGCGGCACCAUACAGGUGGGGCACAAUGGUGAUAGCCUACAAGAAAAGUAAAUUUCGAAAGCAUAAUUUGGCUCCGAUUGAGGUAAUAAUUGUCUUUAAACUCAUUUAGUUUUAUAUGAAACAAAAUCAAGACUGCCUUUCUCUUCAAUAUUUUUGAUGAUAAUAUCUUUAGAAGCAUCUCAUUGACAGGUAAUAAUGGUAUCCCUGAAAGAGUCUAUAAACUCAAUGAUAUUAUCUUCUACAAAUGGUUCAUUAAACUUCUUCGUUGCAGUCAAAUGUACACUAAGAACAAUGAGAAGCUAUGCCACUGUAGCAUGUAGUGAUGGCACUUAAUAAGUGAGUUGCUAGGAUGUGAACUAGAAAAAUUAAAUAUUGUCUCCUUGGGUAUGCUAGCUCGUAAGUCAGGGUUAAUAUUAGAACUUAUGAUACUAUAACCAUGAGAAGCUAUUGACUGCCAAUUAAAAUAUCCAUUAAAAUGUCUAGGGAGUUAUGAAGGUGGAGGUAACUUCCAAUUUCUAAGGCCACAUAGUAGACAUCAUGCAGGAUCCUAGGAAAGUGCAGUUAACCUCCUGGUCGAUGCCAUUAAUAAAUUUGAUCAAUGCCACUGAAACCUGCUAACUGAUGUCACAAUGCGACAUGAGCACUUCAAAAUGGGACAGACGGUCAGUAGCACUAAAUUUUUCUUGUCUAAGAUUGAGCAAUUGGUCUAACUACUAACCCCUAUUGUAGGUUGAUCAUUAUGUUUUUCAAUUAUGUUCAGUUUGACCCAAAACAUUACAGAAUCUUGAUCUGAAUAUUGUCACUGAACACUGUCAAUGUCGUUUGGCAUAGCCAACUAACUUGAGUUUGGUAAAACAAACACACAGUGUGUCUCAUGUCUCACAAUUCAAAUUAUCAUCUGUAAUGAUGGAGAAUUUUUCCAAUGUAUGAAGUAUGCUUUGAUACGUGGGUUACCUUGGGGAAGGUAUCUCAAAAUAAAGAAUAUGGGGAGAAAACAGUGCAGUAGUUUAUUAUUCCGUAGUCAAGUUUUGUCUCAAAAAUGGUCAAAAUUUAAAUGAAUAAGGACAGGGGAUCUUCAGUCUUUUUUCCCUUUUUUUAUACCAAGAUAUCUCUCAACCUUUAUAUAAUCCCACUGGAUAUCUGCUUCUAAUAAUUAAAAUAAAAUUUCACCCACACAAAUAAGUACUGACCAAGCUCUAACAAUAAAAAGUAACAUCUUUAGUCAAGUAAUUUACAGUUCCUCAUCAUCUUAGUGUGAGACUAUCAGUACGAUCCAAGAGCAAAAUAAAACUGGUUUGACCCUGUUUAUUGAUGUUUAAAUGUUGUUCAUUGUGACAUGUAGAAAUGAUGAGGUGAAGUUUCUUUGGUCAUCAAUUAGUAAGAUCUCGUUUGAAGUUGUUUUCUGAAAUGAACUGGCAAAUGGUAGUUUUUUUGGGGCAUUUGAUGGCUCUUUUUCUUUUUUCCUCAUUUUAAACAUGUGCCUGCUUGGAACGGGAUGGAUUAAGCUGCAGGUUAUAUAUUUUGACAUGCUCUGGUCAUUACACAAUUUGUUCACACUGGGAAUUAGGAUGAGAAAUUUGUUGAUGCUGUUUUGAGAGACCUGCAUUCUAUGCACAAUAACCUGAUUAAUGAAAAUGGAUUGUAGAACUGGAAAGAUCUGUGGCGGCCUGAGCUCGCAGGAAGAAUUUCAAUGGUUAAUUCUUCCCGAGAGGUUAUUAUUGGUUCAGUUUUUAAGUAUAUGGGAGCAUCAUACAAUUCAAACAAUAUUGAUUCGCAAGUUGCUGGUGGGAAGAUUGCUGUUCAGCAGAAUCUGGCAUUACUGGCAAACCAGGUACUCUUAAAGAAACGAUAUCUGGUCAUUGCAUGUUAUUGCCUGACAACUGAUUUUGUUUGUAAAAGUCUGCUUCUUCAUACAUAUGAAUGCAUAUGUUAGUGUUUUCUUCUCCUUUUCAUAAUAUAUGAAUGCAUAUGUUAGUGUUGUCUUUUCCUUUUCAAACAUAUUAUACAGAUGUUGGUGUUCUCUCCUGAGAUGGAUGCAAUAAAGGCAUUUGCUGCUUAAUUUAGCUGAAGAAAUGGCAAGGGAUGUGAGAUUCUGUCUCAUUAAAUUAACAAAAACCCAAAACAAUGAAAGCCCAUAAUAAUGUAGUGUGGGUAAAUUGGCGCCAUUUGGUUCGUUUCCUUAAUGUGAAUAUGCGAGCAAUAGAGACUAACAAAAUGAAGUGAGAACAGCAAGUCAGUGUCCUUUGAUGGAUGCUUUUUUAAGCAGAAAUAGGUUUGUAAUUGACCAAAUUUGUCUGGCAUGCCAAUUUCAAAAAAAUUAAAUUGUGUGGUUAUUAGCUGUAAUGAAGGGGCAUAGUAGGUGCAAUUAGGCGGAUCCAGGAAAGUUCAACAAAGUUCUGGUAUGGCCUAUUGAAAUUGGUUUUUGCAAUUCAAGAGUCUUUCAAGUGAACGAUGAGGGGUUUUGAUUUAUAAAUGUUAUAAAUCUACUGUGCAUAGUAUUCUAGUAGAAUCAUCUAUAAGUUCUAGUUAUUGAAAUUGUCUACCUUGUUCAGUUUGAGUUAAGGGCAUAUGUAAUAUGAAAAAUAGUUGUCGCAUCUUUUAGGUUACCUAACAUUUGAUCAAUCCUAUUAUGAGGGCUUCAAGAUGUCUAACAAUAUGCAGAAUGCCCAUGCUCCUCCCCAUUGUUUAUCUUAUACAAUAAUUUGUUUUAGAUGCUAAUAUCUUUGUUGAUACCGGUAACAAUAUUGCAAUAUCUGCGUUUAUUGGGUUUUACAUAGGUUCGACUGUUUGACAGUACACACUAUCUGAAGGCAUUUGGAAUUGGAGAUGUAUGGGUUGCUGUUGGGUGGAGUAGUGAUGUUCUUCCUGCUGUCAAACGUAUGUGAGUAUGUCUAAUGUUGCAUUGUUAUCUCCUUCAUAUUAGCGAUCAGUAAACACGAUAAUGUGACUAAUAAGUUUGUAUUCUCUUUUAUAGAUAAAAAAAUAUUAGAUGACUAGUAAUUAACAUUUAAUUAUAGUUGAAAUAUUGUUUAUUAAAUUAGUCUAUUGUCUAAGAACGGUUAUAAAAUUAAUUUCAACAUAUAAUAAGAACUAUUACAAUAAUUUAUUUAGAUUUAUAUAUAUAGCUUAACUAUGAAUUAUUAAAACCAAUAUAGCUUCAUAGUUUGUGUGUUAAUAUCUAUUUUAAUCUUUUGUUUAUCUUAUUAAUUUUUCAUUUAAAUUUAAAUCUAUGUUAAAGAUGUUCUAUCAAUCAAUUUGGACUAGAGAGUAAAUAAACAAUCUAGUAAUCACACAAUAGAUAUUGUAUAUAAUUGUUCAAUUAUAACAAACUUUAAAUUUGCAUUAAUAUGAUUAGAAGUAUUGUUUUGCAAUUAACCGAAUCAUAGGCUAAUAAUUUUCAAUAUGAAAUAACUAACUUAGGAUAAAUUAAUUAAUUGACUGAUUUUUUUUUUAAUUUGAAUAUCUUGUGUUAUCUCUAGUAAACAAUUAAAUUUGUCCUUCAAGACUUGAAACAAAACAAAUUGGAGGGCGAGUCAGAGGUCCCUCUCCCUUAAUCCAUCAAUGGAUAGAGUUCUGCUUGCAAACAGCAAGAGCAUUGCCUUUCAAGCAAGAGGUUAUGCCGGGCGCAUCUCCCUCUGCCCUUGAAAGACUCUGGUUAAGUUGCCUGAAGAACUUCUGAAGGGUAAACCAAGCCUGGAUACUAACUUAAUUGCUGGAGUACCCCCGGCUGAAAUUCUGGCCAGAUGUGAGUUUUUGGAGCCAUUAUCUGAAGCUACUUUGUCAGAUUAUGAGUAGCUGGUUGCUAAUCUGCAAAAACCUGCUCCUGUCUUGAUGAAAAGGGUGCAACAUUACUUGUCAUCAUUAAUCCAAAGCUUUCCAGCAAAAGCUACACUGAAAAGUUAAUGGCACUGCAUGCCAGUCAUUAUAAUGCUGUCAGGGCAAUUGGUUCAGGGCAACUGGGUCAGAGCAUAACUUCAUUGGGAAAAAAGGCUUCAGCUAGUUACCUAUUACAGUGCGCACUGAGAUGGCAGUUCUUGAGGUUUUAUAAGAAAUGAAAGAUGAGUGCUUGUUUGAACAAAGUUGUUGCCAAUCUCGCAGAGUUCAAGAAGAAAGAUCACAGAGCUAAUGCCACCAAUUUCUUCAUCAUUGUAGCCUGCAUAGUUGAAGUUUCCUCACUUGAAGCUGUUUAUGCAAACGCUUUUUCCCUGCUCAAGUACAGGAAAUUGAAGAAUUAACCAGAUAUGAUAUGCUGAAAGAGGGAAUUUCUUCCUUAGUGGCCUUUUGAUUUGUAGUGAAGGAGUAGGAUGAUCACUAGCAAGAACCCUAUCAAGGUAGAUUUUAUGAUGUUAACAUAUUAUUAAGCAUUUGUCACUUAGGAAUGAUACAUUCAUAGCAUGAAAUUAAUUAUAUGAUCCUGAUUAAUCAAUUAAUUUUCAUGAGUUUUAACCUAGGUAAAACUAAGUACAAUCGUCGUUAACAACUACUGAAAUUGGGUAAGUAUGAUCUUGACAUUGAAGAAUUUGAAAACACAACCCACAGAGGAAAUUACCUAUUGCAUGGGGAUGGAGAUGUUUACCGCAGCGAUACAGAGCAGUGUUGUCCACUGCUCUUUGGGCUAUGGUGUCACUAAUUCUGAUUACGUAAUUGACUCUGGAUCGGGUGGAAAUAAUAACACUUUAUUAACAUUGCAUAGUCCGAGUACUUUUCCAGGAUCAGAUACGACGUGGUCUAAUGUUGAUAAUAAUAGUUUAUUAAAUGACAAAUCGUUGUUCAAGUAGAAGAUGAAGGUUGUGCAGGUGAUUUCAGAAAUAAAAUACAUUCUAAGAGAUGCUGGUCUACUAUUGCAUGCCCCCAGAUUUAAGAAUCUUUUGAUUGGGGCAUUUGGCAACGAUUCGACAAAUUCUAGAUUCAAGCUCCUCCACCAAGGGAUACCAACUGAGUUAUCAAUUAUCGUAGCAGUUUCUAUGAACUAAAAUUUGCAAAAUAAUUUCUAGCCCCGUUGACUCCACCAACUAAAGUUUACAACUCUACAAUAAUAAUUUCUAGCCCCGUUGACUCCACCAACUAAAGUUUUUUAAAAUUUAAAAAAGUACAUAGAAUUCCACAACAAGCAAAACGUGUGGAAUUUAAUUUUUUGCCGAAAAAGGACAAGAAAAAUGAUAAGAUUUUUAAAAUGAGUGGAAGGUGAUCCAUAUUUUACUAAAACGACUUACCUCGAACAUUAAGAUAAUUGAUUUUUAUUUUUUAUUUUUUAAUAAUAUCAACUUCCAUAUCUUUCUAGCGGGUCCAGCUAUGUUGCAACAGUGAUACUGUACCAUUGUUGCUUUCAGCCAUUGGAUCUUACUAAUGUAACAGUACAACUAUAGAUCCAAUGACUGGUUGCAACUGUAAUACCAUACCACUGUUGCAACAUAAUUUUGCCCCUUUCUAACCCCCAGAAUAUGCUCACGUUCAAGUCUAUCUUGCUAAUUUAAAAAAAGAAAAUCAAAUCAACACCAAAACAAUGAAAAGUAAAGCUUUUGAAUUUCAACUCGAGCUAGCAAACGUAUUCAGCUUUUUCAAAUUCUUCCCAUUGCAUAUCUUCUUCCUCCAUCAAUGCAAUAUUUGAACGAUUAUGAAAGAGUUUAAGAACAUAAAAAAUCUCCAAGGUUUAUACGGUAUAACAAAUUUAAAUUCUCAAUUACAAUAGAUAAUAAUUAAACUAAUAAUUUUUUAUGUACUUAUUUUAGUAAUUUCACCUAAGAAUAAUAUUGUAAUUAGAAAAAAAAUCUAAUAAGUAGGGUGGUCUUAUAAAAAAUCAACUGGUCUCCCCCCCAUAUAAUUAUAAUCCUUCUAGAAAGCUAAUUUUUAUUAAAUAUUUGCUUUUUAAGUUAAUUUCAAUUAAAAAAUGUUUUAAGUUAUAUAUACUCUAAUGAGAUUCUGAAUUCCUUUAUUCCAAUAAUAAUGAAAACGUAUUAAAUUAGAAAUGAAAAAAUUGGUGUUGACGAUUCAACCUAUUUGGAUAGAUUACGUGAAUAAAAUUGAAAUUUUGAUUUAAUUUUUGUUUAUUGUUAAUUCUCAGGCUAUCUUAAUUUCAAGAAUUUAGAAUGUUAAUUUGGUCAUGGAUUUCAGCCCGUGAGUGUCAUAUUCUAGACUUAAUGGUAUCAUUCUUUGAUUGAGGGCAAUGACUCUCACUCCUCUUGUAAAAAAAUAUUUUCAACUAUUUUGAUGACUUAAAAAUUGAUAGAUUUAUUGUUGUCAUGACCAAAUUAUUCAUUUUAAUGAAAUAUAAUUAAUGCAUCAAAGUUACCAGGUUUAUGUUCUAUCUUAAUGCGCUUUUUUUUUUUUUUCAGUUAUCAGCUAUGCCCCUGAGGCAUUUUGUAGAGUAUAGCUUCUGCUUACCUCUGUUUCAUUUUUUUUUAAUAAAAAAACAAGGGAAGGUUUUUCCGAGUCAUCCAUUAUUUGAUUACCGUCAAUCAAGAAAACGACCAAAUUAAUUUCUCUCCAAAAUUUCCAAAAGCUAGAAAAUUUUGUUAUUUGAAAAUAACAUCAUUAAUUAUAGAGUGGAUCAAACCGCGUUAUUGUCUUUUAUAAAAUUGAUGUCUUUUUAAGAGUCAAUACAUUUUAUUUACGCAAACCAGUCGACAUCAACUUGAACUUCCAUAUUUUUAUUAUUAUGUUAUUUAUUUUAAUCCCCGAUUAUUUGAUUAGCCACUAUAUAUAUCAAGAAAGCGACAAAAUUUAUUUCUCAUGACUUCCAAAAACUAGAAAACAACAUCAUUUAUUAUUUUUUUGCAACCCUAAUUGACAUCAACUUUAACUUUAUUAUGUUAUUAUUUCAAUCCCCCAUUAUGACCUUUCUAAUCCUCCAUUAUGCAUCUUUUAUAGUGCAAAUUUAAUUGCACAUCUAAAUAAAUUGAUUAUUGUCACUCCACCACCAAUAUUUCAAAUAGUCACUAGACCAUUUCUGCCUUUAAUUUUCCCUUAAUUUUAACUGUUGACUGUUUUUAGCAUCUUAAAAUAUACAUUUAUUCCUUGAUUAUGUGAUAAAAUUAUGAAAAUAUCCAUUUUAGCUUAAAUUAAUUGGAAUAACCAUAAGCGUAACAUAAAUUAAUAGAACAAAAUUAUCAAGUGUAUGUUCUAUCUUACUUUUUGAAGAAUUUAACAUAUAUAAUGCUAUACUAUUAAUAAAUUUAUCAUUUACUAUAUAUGUUCAAAUAUUUUAUAUAUUUAUUAAUUGUUAUAUAGUCAAAGGAUGAAUGAUUUUUCAGGUCUACAUGAGUUGGUGCAUCUGCAAGACUCAAUUUUGACAACAAUGAUCUAAGGGGUAAUUUACCUUGGCGUUUGACAAAUAUAACCUCUCUUCAAGAUUUACUUCCAAUCUACUUACUGUAAAUAUCUCCUCAUCUCCUCUCAUUUAUAUGAUAACCCUUGAAGAUCUCACAUUUUCAAACGAUCAUAUUAGGGUUUUUAUUAUUAGCAUCAUUGUGUCAAUAAUAUAUGUUGCAGUAAGAUUUUUUCAGACCAAUUCCCUUCUUCAAAUAAUAAUGGAAAAGUAUUAAUUUAAAAAUAAAAUGAAUAUGCAUUGAUUAUAUCCUGAUUUUCAUCGAUUAUAGAGAGAGUUUCUCCAAAUCAACUCCCUUAUUCAAAUAAUACAGAAAAAAUAGUAAUUUAAUAGUAAAAUUAACAAGUGUUGAUUAUAUAUCCUAAGUUUCAUCGAUUAUGUGAUCAAAGUGGCAUUGUUGAUUUAUUUCUUCUUCAAUGUAAAUUUUUAGGUUAUCUAAAUUUCAAGGAUUUAAAAUCUUUGUUCAUGGAUUACACGCUUAUUAAUUUUUCUGCCAUUGACUGUCAUAUUCUAGACUUAAUGGUACCUUCCUUGAUCAAGGAUAAUUACUCUCUGCUCUCCUCUUAUAAAUUCUUCUUCCAUUAACAUCACUAGGAGUAUGUUGAUCUCUCAGACGUUAACUUCAGUGGAGAGUUUCCAAAUUGAUUGUCACAAAACAACACAAAAACUAGACACACUUGAUCUGUCUAUUAAUUCUCUUUCGGUAAAAUUAAUUAAUUUUAGGGGAAUAUUCGACCAACCUAUAUAAUUUUAGAUUGAUCAUUAAUUAAUUGGACGAAAAAAGUGCUUGUGCUUUUGUGGCGACAAUUGAACCAGAGAAGUGAAGCUGUAAAGAUUUGGCAGUAGUAAAUUGUUAGAAAGACAUAAAGACGAGUUCCCAUUAUUAUAAUUUUUUCAAAAAACUUUUUUACAACACAUGCACCUGGCCAAAAAUUUUAUUUUGCUAACUAACAAUAAUUGAGUAGCUGACCGUAUUGACUCCACCUACUUGCUAAAGUAAAAAAAUAGAAAUAGAAUUUCCACAAAAUGGCAAACAUGUAAAAUCUAAUAUUUGGCCGUGUGGAACAAAAUACAAAUAAAAAAAAAAGAAAAGAAAAAAGGCCUAAAGACUUUUAAAAUGUGUGGAAGUCUUUCGGCCCUUUUAUAAUGGUGUGUUUUUCAAAGGAACAAAUAAUAAUAAUGACACUUCUACGGUUUGUUUUGAUAAUCACACAUAUACUCUUUAAUUUGAUAAAUGGUUACACAAAUUUUGUUUACAAAAAUAUAUUAUUCAUGUUCUGUGUUAUUUUUUAACAUCAUAUUUUUAUUUAUUAUAAUUGUUUAAAGUUAAUUGUUAGGUUGAUAUAUAAUAAAAACGUAUAAUCGUUCUCUUACUAAACACACAUACUCAUAGUUUCUGUUCAUUUGUCAUCUCAAUCUCUCUCAUUUAUCCUUUAUUGAUAGCUCAAAACGCGUCACUGUGGAAAAUUAUAGCAAAACGACAAAUAUGGAAAAAAAUGGGAAGAAAAUUAAUGCAUGAAAGAGUUGCAGAAGACAACCAAAUAAGUCAACUAUACGCUAGCUGGGUGUAUAAAUUGUUAGAUGUGUUAUAAACAAAUAGCAUAGAGCCCUUUGGUUGGUUACAAAGAUAGAAAGAGUGUGUGUGUUUUUUAGAACUUAAAGAUACAGUUAGAAUGGGUGGUUCAAAAUAAAAAAUGGUGAUAAUGUUUGUUCUGUUAUUAAUAAUAUUAGAAGGUGGGGGGAGUGAGGGAUGUUUGGAUCAUGAGAGAUUUGCUCUUUUGCGACUUAAACUUUUCUUUGAUGAUCCUUUUAAUUAUCUUCACGAUUGGAUAGAUGAUGAGGGAGCAACUGAUUGUUGUCAGUGGGAAAGGGUUGAGUGCAGCAACACCACAGGCCGAGUGAUAGCGCUAUACCUUUUUCACACGUAUGGGGGAGAGGACAGCUGGUAUCUGAAUACUUCUUUUUUUACUCCCUUCCAACAACUUGAGUCACUUGCUUUACAUGGCAACAACAUAGCCGGUUUUGUUGAGAAUGAAGGUGCUUCGUCUAAUUCAAUUAAAUUACAUUUCGCUCUCGUAAUUUAAGACGAAUAUCAAGACUGAGCAGCUAUAUGCAUAUUCAUUCAAUUGACAAUUUUUGAAAUUACACCAAACAUCAUAUGUGAUCUUUGUUUUGAUUUUACUUGCAGGUCUAGAAAGAUUGAGCAACUUGAAGGGGCUUGAUUUAAGAGGAAACUUGUUCAACAAUAGCAUCUUAUCAUCUGUGGCUCAUCUUUCAUCACUAACAUCAUUAUAUUUAUCUGAAAAUAGAUUGGAAGGAAGUAUUAAUGUUAAAGGUACGUAAUUAAAACGUCAUCGCUUCUACCAACUCUUUCAUUAACAUGCUAAAAUAAGAUUCAAGGCUUUGAAUUCAAUUUUUUUUAUGAGUAAUAUUAGAAAAAUAGUUUUAAGCAAUUCAUAAAUACAAUUUUCAAUGUUUCUCAUAAUUUCAUCUUGUACUUUUGUAUGUCUUGACUUUAAGAUUAAAAAAAAAAUUACUCUAACUGUGAAGCAAAUACCCCAUGACUAAUUUACAAUUUUGUCCAGUUAAAAAUGAUAAAAUUUAUCAUUUGUUUAUAUUGAUUUAUUAACUCUAUUUUAAGUCUUAAGUCUUGGCGUCUUGGCAUGUUUGCAGAAUUUGAUUCCUUGAGCAACUUAGAGGAGUUGGACAUGAGCGGCAAUGAAAUAGACAAUUUCGAGGUUCCUCAAGGUACACAAUUAAAAUAUUAUUUAAUUAUAUUAAUUUAAUUCGUUUGAUUAGGGAAGGCCCAAAAUGUACAAAAACAUAAUUAAAAAAAAAAUAAAGAAAUAGAGAAUUCAUAUUAUUUCAAAAAACAAAAGGUAAUACUAUUAUUUCAAAAAAAGAAUGUAAUAAAGAUUUGAUUCCGGUUCUUUAAUCUUUAUAGCAAUUGAAAAACAAUGUUGCUCUUUUCCUAAAGCAUAAAAUAUGAAAUGAGUCAUAAUUGAAUUAGUCAUUUAUUUUGUUUAGAUCUAAAUUUAGACAAUAAAUUUUGAUUUUUUUUUUCAAUCCUAUCCUUAUUAUUAUUGUUAAACAGGUUACAGAGGUUUGAGGAAGUUGAAAAGCCUCUAUCUAUCGGAAGUUAAAAUUAGAGAUGGAAGCAAGUUGUUACAGUCAAUUGGAUCAUUCCCAUCCCUCAACACUCUUUACCUUUCAUCUAAUAAUUUUACCGAUAUAGCGACAACUACUACUCAAGGUAAGUAAAAGGUACAGAUGUGGCCAAAUUUAUAAAUAAAUUGUUAAUUAAUUAAUUUUUCCGUAUUAUUAAUAAAGCUAAAUUCGUCGCUCCUUCCUUCUAAUUCUAAACAGAGUUGGCAAUUUCACCAACUUGGAGUAUUUGACAUUGGACUUGUCCUCACUCCAUUUAAGCCUUCUGCAAUUGCUUGAAGAAUGAAUUUAUAUAUUUAUUUAUUAUUAUUAUUAUUGUUAUUGUUGUUGUUGAAGUGAGGUGGGCAAGCGUUCACUCAAUUAAUAUGUGGGGAAUUAAUAAUUACAAUCCAAGGUAGAAUUGUGGAAAAUUAAAGCAAAAUGAGAAAUAUGGAAAGAAAGGAAGAAAGUUAAGGGCAUGAAAGACUGGGAGAAGACUAAAGACCACCAAAUAAGUCAACUGAAAACUAGCUGGGGCCUGGCUGUACAAAUUGUUAGAUGUGUUUGUUAUAAAUAACAUAGAGCCCUCUUGUUGGUUGCAGAGGCAGAGAGACAGAGAGUGUGCAUUUUGUUAAUUAAAAAUAUAUAUAAAAUGGGUGGUUCAAAAUCCAAAAUGGUGAUAAUGUUAGUUUUGUUAGUAUUAAUAAUAUUAUAAGGGAGGUGGCGUGAGGGAUGUUUGGUGCAUGAGAGAUUUGGUCUUUCGAGACUUAAAACAUUUCUUUAAUUCUCCUUAUAAUUUUUGUCACGACUGACCAUUGUCAAUGGGAUGGGGCUGGGUGCAGGGUUGAUUUACGUUAGAACAAUAUAGCCGGUAGUGUUGAGAAUGAAGGUGUUUCAUUUAAUUUAAUUAAUUUACUUUCUCCCUCCUAAUUUAAGUGGAAUAUCAAGACUGAAUAAUUAUAUGCAUCUUCGUUCAGUUGACAAUUUUGACAUAUUUUUUUAAGUGAUUAAUUUUGAAAUUACACCAAACAUUAUUUGUGAUCUCUGCUUUGACUUUACUUGCAGCGCUAGAGACGUUACCAAGAUUGAGCAACUUGACGAUACUUGAUUUAAGAGGAAACUUGUUCAAUAAUAGCAUCUUGUCAUUUGUUGCUCGUCUUUCAUCAUUAACAUCAUUAGAUUUAUCUUACAAUGGAUUGGAAGGAAGUAUUAAUAUUAAAGGUACGUAAUUAAAACGUCAUCGCUUCUCCCAACUCUUCCAUUAACAUGCUAAAAUAAGGUUCAAGGCUUUGAAUUCAAUUUUUUUUAUGAGUAAUAUUAGAAAAAUAGUUUUAAGCAAUUCAUAAAUACAAUUUUCAAUGUUUCUCAUAAUUUCAUCUUGUACUUUUGUAUGUCUUGACUUUAAGAUUAAAAAAAAAUUACUCUAACUGUGAAGCAAAUACCCCAUGACUAAUUUACAAUUUUGUCCAGUUAAAAAUGAUAAAAUUUAUCAUUUGUUUAUAUUGAUUUAUUAACUCUAUUUUAAGUCUUAAGUCUUGGCGUCUUGGCAUGUUUGCAGAAUUUGAUUCCUUGAGCAACUUAGAGGAGUUGGACAUGAGCGGCAAUGAAAUAGACAAUUUCGAGGUUCCUCAAGGUACACAAUUAAAAUAUUAUUUAAUUAUAUUAAUUUAAUUCGUUUGAUUAGGGAAGGCCCAAAAUGUACAAAAACAUAAUUAAAAAAAAUAAAGAAAUAGAGAAUUCAUAUUAUUUCAAAAAACAAAAGGUAAUACUAUUAUUUCAAAAAAAGAAUGUAAUAAAGAUUUGAUUCCGGUUCUUUAAUCUUUAUAGCAAUUGAAAAACAAUGUUGCUCUUUUCCUAAAGCAUAAAAUAUGAAAUGAGUCAUAAUUGAAUUAGUCAUUUAUUUUGUUUAGAUCUAAAUUUAGACAAUAAAUUUUGAUUUUUUUUUCAAUCCUAUCCUUAUUAUUAUUGUUAAACAGGUUAUAGAGGUUUGAGGAAGUUGAAAAGCUUUGAUCUAUCGGAAGUUAAAAUUAGAGAUGGAAGCAAGUUGUUACAGUCAAUGGGAUCAUUCCCAUCCCUCAACGCUCUUUACCUUUCGUCUAAUAAUUUUACCGAUACAGCGACAGCUACUCAAGGUAAGUAAAAGGUACAAAUGUGGCCAAAUUUAUAAACAAACUGUUAAUUAAUUAAUUUUUCCGUAUUAUUAAUUAAGCUAAAUUUGUUGCUCCUUCCUUCUAAAUCUACACAGAGUUGCACAAUUUCACCAACUUGGAAUAUUUGGCAUUGGACUAUUCCUCUCUCCAUAUAAGCCUUCUGCAAAGCAUUGCAUCAAUAUUCCCUUCGUUAAAAAAUUUGUCGAUGUAUCACUGUGUAGUCAAUGGCGUCCUACGUGGUCAAGGUAAAAGAAAAGUGUUGAUUGUGAACUCGCUCAAUGGUGUCCUACGUGUUCAACAUUUUUAUUUAUUUAUUUUAUUGUUUAAUGUUUCUGCUAGGUUUUCCUCAUUUCAAGAGUUUGGAACAUUUGGACAUGGAUUUCGCGAGCAUUGCACUCAACACCAACUUUCUUCAAAUCAUCGGAGAAUCAAUGCCUUCUCUUAAGUACUUAUCACUAUCAUAUUCUAAUCUUAGCACUGACAGCAAGACUCUUGAUCGAGGUUAAUGAGAUGCUUCAACCCUCCCCUUUAAAUCUAUAAUAUUAAUUUUCGAUUAAAUAUAUAAUUAUAGAAACCAAUCACUUAUAAAAGAAUGCUAUGCAUUUGCCAAUUUUUUUAUAUUUUACUGAUUGAUGAAUUAAUAAAUUUUCAGGCCUCUGUUCGUUGGUGCAUCUACAAGAGUUGUACAUUGCAACUCUUGUAGUAAUUAAUUAAUUAAUUAAUUAAGUAUUAGUUAAUUAAUUAAUUAAUUAAUUUUUUGUAUUAUUAAUAAAGCUAAAUUUGUUGCUCCUUCCUUCUAAUUCUGAACAGAGUUGCACAAUUUCACAAACUUGUAAUAUUUGGCAUUAGACUCUUUCUCUCUCCAUAUAAGCCUUCUGCAAAGCAUUGCAUCAAUAUUCCCUACGUGGUCAAGGUAAAAGAAAAGGGUUGAAUGUGAACUCACUCAAUGGUGUCGUACGUGUUCAACAUUUUUAUUUAUUUAUUUAUUUUAUUGUUUAAUGUUUCUGCUAGGUUUUCCUCAUUUCAAGAGUUUGGAACAUUUGGAUAUGGAUUACACUCGCAUUGUACUCAACACCAGCUUUCUUCAAAUCAUCGGUGUAUCGAUGCCUUCUCUUAAGUACUUAUCACUGUCAAAUUCUGAUCGUAGCACUAACAGCAGCAGGAUUCUUGAUCAAGGUUAAUCAGAUGCUCCCACCCUCCCUUCUUAAUCUAUAAUAUUAAUUUUCGAUUAAACAUUUAAUUACACAAACAAAUCACUUAUUAUAAAAGAACAAUACGCAUUCAUUAAUUUUUAUAUUGUAUUAAUUGAUGAAUUUAAUAAAUUUUCAGGCCUCUGUUCGUUGGUGUAUCUGCAAGAGUUGUACAUUGAUAAUAAUGAUUUAAGAGGUAGUUUGCCUUGGUGCUUGGCAAAUAUGACAUCCCUCCGAAUAUUAGAUGUUUCUUCCAAUCAACUUACUGGAAGCAUCUCCUCAUCUCCCCUCAUUCAUUUGACAUCCAUUGAAGAGCUGAUGCUUUCAAACAAUCACUUCCAGAUCCCAAUUUCACUUGAACCACUUUUCAAUCACUCAAGACUCAAGAUUUUCAAUGCUUACAACAAUGAAAUAAAAGCUGAAAUAACUGAGUCACAUUCUUUGAUCGCCCCAAAAUUCCAAUUAAAUACACUCUUGUUGUCUUCCAGUUACGGAGACAGUUUCAUAUUCCCUAAAUUCCUUUACCAUCAACAUGACCUGGCGUAUGUUGAUCUCUCACACAUAAAAAUGAAUGGAGAAUUUCCAACUUGGUUGUUGGAAAACAACACAAAAUUGAGCCACCUUUCUCUCAUCAAUGAUUCUCUUGCAGGACCUUUUUGGUUGCCAAUUCAUUCACACACGCAGUUAAUACUGUUGGAUAUAUCCAACAACAACAUCCGAGGCCACAUUCCACUAGAAAUUGGAGAUGUUUUACCACGUUUAUACGUUUUCAACAAUUCCAUGAAUGCUCUAGACGGUAGCAUUCCCUCUUCAUUUGGUAAUAUGAAAUUCCUCCAAAUUCUGGACUUAUCCAACAAUCACUUGACUGGUGAAAUCCCCGAGCACUUGGCCGUGGGUUGCGUCAACUUGCAGGCUCUUGCAUUAUCAAAUAACAACCUACAAGGUCAUUUGUUCUCUAGAAAUUUUAACUUGACAAACUUGAAAUGGUUACAAUUGGAGGGCAAUCGCUUCGUAGGUGAGAUCCCACAAAGUUUGUCUAAAUGCUCCUCACUAGAAGGAUUGUCUCUUAACAAUAAUAGUCUUUCGGGUAAGAUUCCACGAUGGUUGGGUAAUCUCACACGGUUAGAAUAUAUUAUAAUGCCCAAUAAUAAUCUUGAAGGCCCUAUUCCAGUGGAGUUUUGUCAGCUUGAUUCGCUUCAGAUUUUGGACAUUUCAGACAACAACAUAUCUGGAAGUUUACCAUCUUGUUUCCAUCCUCUCUCUAUCAAACAAGUUCAUCUUUCAAAAAAUAUGUUACAUGGACAGCUAAAAAGAGGUACAUUCUUUAAUUGCUCUUCCCUUGUGACAUUAGAUCUUAGCUAUAACCGCUUGAAUGGCAGCAUUCCGGAUUGGGUUGAUGGGCUUUCUCAGUUAAGCCACCUUAUCUUAGGUCACAAUAAUCUUGAAGGUGAAGUGCCAGUUCAAUUGUGCGAAUUGAACCAACUACAAUUGUUAGAUCUUUCUAAUAAUAAUCUUCACGGUCCUAUUCCUCCUUGCUUUGAUAACACCACACUUCAUGAAAGUUACAGCAAUAGUUCUAGUCCUGAUGAGCAAUUUGAAAUAUCUUUUUUCAUCCAAGAAACUCAGGGAUAUGUAAAAGAGCAAAUCCAUGAAAUUUUUGAGUUCACAACAAAGAACAUUGCGUACAUUUACCAAGGAAAAGUGCUUAGCCUCCUAUCAGGACUUGAUCUUUCUUGCAACAAGUUAAUCGGUCAUAUUCCUCCUCAAAUUGGAAAUUUGACAAGGAUUCAAACAUUGAAUCUAUCACACAACAACUUGACAGGAUUGAUCCCAUCAACAUUUUCAAACUUGAAGCAUAUCGAAAGUUUGGAUCUUUCCUACAACAAAUUGAAUAGAAAAAUCCCUCAUCAACUAGUGGAGUUAAAGACAUUGGAGGUUUUCAGUGUGGCAUACAAUAACUUAUCAGGCGAAAUUCCAGAAUGGAAAGCACAAUUUGCAACCUUCAACGAGAGUAGCUAUGAGGGAAAUACUUUUCUUUGUGGAUUGCCAUUGCCCAUUUGCAGAUCACCAGCAACUACGCCAAAGGCUUCAAUUGGCAAUGAAAGAGAUGAAAAUUUAAUUGACAUGGACAAUUUCUUUAUCACAUUUACAACAUCGUACGUAAUUGUAAUAUUCGGAAUUGUUAUUGUUUUAUAUGUAAAUCCUUAUUGGCGACGUAGAUGGUUUUACUUUGUUGAAAUGUGGAUAAUUUCAUGUUACUAUUUUGUUGUAAACAAUCUUAUUGCAACAAGAUAUUGUCAGUGAAAUUAAUUAGCAGUUUAAUUACGAUUCUUUAAGUUCUAAUCAAGUUUGCUUAGGAAAUAAAUUUAUUUUUAUUUUUUAUUAAAAUUGUAGUAGUAUUUAGCGCUAUAUAGCUUCCAACUUCCAAGCACUUCACAUUUGUCUCUACACUUCCAAACCCAUAUCUAUCCAACAUAACUUAUACUUCCCUAUACUGUGCAGCAUACUUAAAUAAGAGAAUCAUCUCCAAUGUUAAAACCAACCACUCUAUAACAUUCAUUUAGAAACUAUAUUUAGAAUAGUUUUAUAAUCAUACACAAGAAAUGAAACACCUAGAUGCACUUGAUCGCCUAUUUUACUUUAAAAAAUAAUGAUUAUGGUGCUAUCAUCAUCUUCUUCACUAGCAACAUUAACACCAAAUCCAGCGAUGGACCCAGACAUUUAAUCAAGAAAGGUAUAUAUAUAAUAAAGUUGAAGCUUGACAAAAAAUUCAGGAAGAUUAAUGCAUCGCCACAACAAGAGGCACAACAGCAUCAAAGUAGAGAUGAAGCAAUAUUCUCAAAGCUAAAACUCUCAAAUCCACCCACCAGAAUUUCAUAUCUCCUCAACAAUUUUAAGAACUAAAGAUAAUUAGGAUCUAACAUUAGUUUUUUAUAUAUUAGUUUCAUAAUUUACAAAUCAAUGAAGAUGAAGAUUAUGCUAAUGAAUUCAAAUUAUACCAUACAUUCUCGAGAUGUUACCAAAAAUUUCUAAGUCAAUCCCACAUAUUUCAUAAUUUUAAGACUAGAAAAUUUCAUUAGUUAGAAGUUUCAUUACCUUCAAGUGGAAGAUGAAGAACAUUAUACAAUUGAUUCAGAUUAUAUCAUACAUACUCCAAAUGCAACUAGAAAUUAACAAGUUCAUGCACACAGAUUUCAUAACAUUAUGAUUGGAAAGUUUCGCAAAGAGAAAUUCUAAAUUCAAUCUCUUGCAUCAAGGUAGUUUGAUUGAUUUGAGUUACUUUCAAGUCAGGGAGAAAGUAAAUUAAAACAGGGAAAAAAUAACAGUAAAAAUUUGUUGCUAAACAUGAUGUGUAUUUUUUUUUUAAGGCAAUUUGGAAACACAGUUGUUACUACAGAUAUUCUCAACUUAGAGAUAACUACAAAUAUUAAAAUGCAUAUGAUCGCACAUAUUACUUGGAGCUUAGUAGGAUUUCAUUAAGAGAAGCAAUCAAACCACUUAUCAAUUGUUGCAAUCGUUCUAUAAGCUAAAAUAGCAAUAUAAUACAAGAAAAAGAACAUAUAGAUACUUGGCAAGAGUUCAUUAAGAAGUCGCAUCACAUUCGGGUGAGUUUGCUUCUGAUAUCUUGCUAGCUGGGGCUUUUUCUUGUCUUUCUGCGUAUGCCGAAGGAAACCAACCAGCUUGGCCCUUGCAUUCACCUUCUGACCAUCCAGUAGGAGCCACCUUGAGAAGUUAUAACUAAAACAGUGAAUUAAACAAAAGUUGACCGUUCAAAGACCUAAGGGGAAAACUAAUUCUUUUACGUAGGAGUGAAUUAGUUGUGAUCACUGAAAUAACAGCAUAACUAUGGAAGCAUAACAAGAUAUAAAUUCACACGUCUAUAAGGGUAAACUGGGUGGUUUAGAACUGAGCUAGCAACCCUACUAUAUUCUGAUUUGCACUUCAAUGUAAAAGGGAAUAUAUGGUAGGAAUAAAGAAAACCAACUAUCAUUUGUUAACUCAUUGCUUUUCAAUCAAAAUUUUAAGAACAAAAUGCCAUGUGCUUUGAACAUCAAAUAAGUAUAAGCAUUAGUUCUAAAUUCCACAUAUCAUAAGUUAGAAGGAUAAGUUAAUAGCAUAUUAGAAAAAUCUAUGUGUUGUUAUUUAGAGGGGAAAGUACCUGGCGAACCACAACAUAAUCAGCUAUUGAAAGACUUAGCUCUCCAUUUGCUUGAGCAACAAAUGGAUGUAUAACCUGCAAGAUAAUGGGAUAAAUAGAACUUAAUCUUAAAAAAAGCAUAACAAAAGCAGCAACAGUAGCAGCAACGUUCAUUGUAACCACUAUGAUCAUGGCCAACAAAGAUAUAUUAGAAACAAAAUUCCAUUUAUACUACGACAUUAAUAUGUACUAUAUGAUAUCAUGACGAUUGGGUUACCAAGAGCUAUCAAAGUCCAAUAAAUUCUGUAUAACUUUAUGUAGUUAUUCAAAUUAUGGAUCAGAUUUUAAAUCUGAAAUUUUGACUGCUCUCCACAAAACAUGGCCUAUGCGCAAGAAAGUCAUAGAUAAUGAGGAUUACAAGUGUCUGACAUCUUUUGAGUGAUGGAUUUAACAUGAGAGCUUAUGGUCAGUCAAUUUCCUCUGCCUAGUAAUAUAAGCUUUCUCGGCCAGAUUUAUCAUCAAAUACAUAGAUUGCCCCCAAGUCACAUCCAUAUAAACAUAGUUUUUCUAGGUAAACCAAGUAAGGAGAAUCAUAAUUCAGACAUAAUCAUAAAAAGGAACAUCUAACUUAAGAGAAAAUCUCAAAAAGAGGGAUGCUGAGCUAUCAGUCUUGUAUCUAUAAGCAAUAUCAAGACUUUACAUCACCUGCUACAUCGUGAAUGGCUACACAACUUUCAGUGGUUUGUCUUUCUUUGGCAUGCCUAACUCAGCUUUGAUGUUGCUGAGAUAUUGAUAGUAGAGACACAUGAUACUUCUAGCUCAUGCAUUCUAUCUAGCUCAUCCGACAGCUAUGUCUUUUUUAAUUCAUUAGUGUUUGCUAAACCUCAUGCUUAAAAGUCCUGUUGUUCUAAACAAAGUUUCCUAAGAAUGACUUCCUCAGCACCACAUUUGGACACUUUUAGAGCAAUUUAUUUGGGGGAAAAGAAUUUUCAAGGUGUUAACUAAUAAAUUUUAAAAAAUAAUUACUAUUUGUCCUACGAUUAUAUGACAAUUUAUCUGGGAUGAAAGGAUACAGACAGACAUCUUCCACUUUCAAGACUAAUCACUACUUCCGUAGAUGUUUUGCAAUAAUACAAAUACUUGACCAGAUGGUAGUGAUGGUAGAAAAAAAUUUUAUUGCUCCAAAAUUAAAAUAAGAAUGCAAUAUGUUAAGCAAAAGACUGUGCAACAUCAAAUUAAUUGAUAAGUUUGUAAUUCAGUAAAUUAACAACUUUCAUGGUAAAAUACAACAAAUUUCUUUAAAAAAAAAAAAAUCUUAAAAGACAGCAUUCAAUUUUGUGCGCAUCUUAUUUCUUAAGAUUUUCCAGGAGGGCAAUAGAGGGACUUUCACCUAUGCAAGAGAGCAGAAGCCUUACUUUCGCUAUAAAGUAGACGUCAUUCUGAUUAAUAUGCAUUUGCAAAUCAGCUCCAUUUGAAUCAGUAUUCUGAUAGACACAUGAGGCAUUUACAUCCAUUUCCAAAGUCACAUGUUGAGAGGAGGACUCAUUUGAUUGCUCCUCUAGGACCAUCUAAUUCAAGUAGCAAGGGAUGGAAGAGAAUAAAAAGUCACAAUUAUUCUUUUGCAUAAGUGAGACGAAAAUGAUAAAUGCAAUAUUAUCAGCAGUAAACAAGAAGAGAACACUCCAAGGAAUAGAUAGAUGCGGACAAGCAAGUUAAAAUGCACAGUUCCAAACCUCCGCAUACAACUUCUCUAAAAUAGCAAUAACGUGUUGAUGAUAUGUUUUCUCAGCAUCUACCUGCAAAGGCCCGAGACCAGGAAAACAACAAUAAAACCACUAGCUAAAGGAGAAAGUAAAGAAAGAAAUACACUUGACAUAAAUCUUGACAAGAAGCACAAUUUAAGACAUAACAAACCCCAAUCAUAUUGUUUAGAACUACCAUUCAUUAUUUCGUUAUUGUAGCAUUUCGAACAAGUGUUGACUUAAUUCAACAUUGUUGGAAAGAUAGGCUUUUAGAAGCGGAAGAAAGCCACUCAAACCAAAGUGAUUGUCCUUGUAUUGAUCAAGGGAUGUAAACAUAUUACAUUUGCAGGAUGAGUUUUAAUCACUUCCUGAUUUAUUUGGGUUGCAGUAAAACUAAGCGAGCAACUGUUUGACUUUCAAGCAACAUCUAAAUCAGCUAUUAAAAUUCAAAUAAAAUUAUAAUAGAAUAAUAACAGGCCAUCUUGCAUCAAAAUUAAGUUUAAUUUGUGAAUUUUUUUCUAUAGACAUGUUAGUUCCUGCUAUUGAAAUGUUAAAAGCUUUGAAAAAUUAUUCAAUAAAUUAUGCAAACAUUAAAAUAGAGGACAUAUUAAAAAGUUUCUAAUUACAAUGUUAAGAUUUCCUAUAUUUUAGCAUUUGCAUAUUUUAAUUUAUUUAAAAGCUACGUCGAUCAACUUUGGGCGUGAAGAUUUUAGCUUCUACGAGACUUGAUUGGAAUAUGCAUAAGGAAGAGUGUUAAAAUAUGAUGCAUCCAACGAAAGACAAACCAUGUGUAGUCUUUUAAUUAAGCCAAAGUAGCAGCUCAAACAAAUGACACUUGGACCAACAUGCAAUCAUGAAGUGGCCGGAAAAAGGACAAAUGCAACUUUGGCUUAAAUAAAAAAUAACAUGUGACUUGACUUUUCCUGGACAUGCAUCAUGUUAUUACAAGACAACAGAAAUCAGUAUGAUAGUACUAAAAGUUGACAAUAACAUGAAGAUAAGAGGCAGAAUGUCAACACAUGCAUAGGCACACACAAGAAAGUAUUAACAUAUAUACCAUAGCAAAAAGUCUUUGAUAUGUCAUCUGUUGCUGCUGUGAUUCAACUGACAGCAUGGCAGCUGUUGCUUCUCUACCAAGAGCCAUUAUUGUAGAUUUAAGCUCGGUCAAUCUUGCUUCUGCAUUUCGAAGCUUCACAGCACUCUCUGCUGAUAUAUCAGAUUCCCUUAUCUUUGAUCGGUGCCUAAAUACUUCAGCUGCCUGGUGAAAAUAUUCAAUAUAAAUCUAACAUAAUUCUCAUCUUGCCUUAUACAUGCAUAUGUUACCUCAAAGCUUGCCUGGGCUUCAACUUCAUGUCGAAGUUUGUCAUAACGAUGAGUCAGGUGUCGAGCAUCUUCCAAAGGUGCUCCGUUGAUUAACGCCCAUAGUGGCUUAGAUACCUACAUGUCCAAAAACCUGUAACAUAGUUAGAAAAAUGAAAAGAAAGAGCGAAACCUCAAUUAAAAAGUUCCUCCAACAUAAUCAUGGAAUUUGGGCCUACUUCAAGGAUAUAUAUAAGGAUAAUUUAUGCAAUUUUGGGUCUUAGGAUGAUUCAUAUUAGGUUAGUGUUCUUCUCUUCUGUAUUUAAGGUUAAAAUAGAAAUAAACCUAUGCAAAUAUCUAAAUUAGGGCUGUAAGACUUCCACAUGCAUCCUUCAGUCUCAUGGAUUUGAUUUUACUAUAGAUGCAAGUGUCUUUAUCGAAAAUGCUUGGAGUCAAUUGAGAGAACUCACAGCCAAUAACUUGUCACAUGCUAGUCUUUGCUAGUGAUGCAAGAAGUCACAAGGUCUCUUCAACAUUUGAACCAAUAAAAUUAUUAAGUCAUGGAUGUCACUAGCAAUGAUUUCAAUAUAAAACAUUAAAUAUUUCAAGUUGUAACUUUAAAAUGGAUUCUUUUAUUCAAUAUCUUAGAACUAAGUUUCCUUAUGAGAAGAUAAUAGUUUCAGUAGUAAUUUACAUGAAAUUUUCUAUAUUUGAAUUAUUUUCUAGUUAGGGAUGAACUAACCUGAUCAUGAAGAAUCCCAAGCAAAGUUUCCCUCUCAUUUUCCAUCAAAUCAUGUGAAGUGCCAAAUUGAAGAGCAGCUCUUGCAGCGCAAGAAUUGUCACUUUGAUUCUCCGCUCCAUACUUGCAACAAUCUUCAGCCAACUUUCUCGCUACAAUAUUUGAAUACAAAAAUAUUGUACACAAGAACCAGUCAAGAAAAUAAAAAAAAAUCAAAUAUUAUAACGAGAGCAAGAGCAAACAAACAACCUAUUUCCAUUUGUUUCAAGCUUACUGCAACAAACCCUUCAAUGCCACGGACAAUAUUCCUCUGAAAAUGCUGUGCUACAGAGCAUAUAUUCCAAAUUAUUGUUCAGAUAAAACCAUAGAAACCAUCAUAAUUAUCAACAUACAUUAAGCUCCGUUUGGUAAAUACUUGCAACUUCAGUCUAGAAAAUACAGUUGUUUGUACCAUAUUUGACAAAAUUAUUAUUUAAAAAUCAUAACUAAUUACCAAAAGCCACAAUAAAUCAAUAUCAAACAGAGUCUUAUUAUUAGCUAAAGGAGGAUGGUGCCUUAGCUGCCCUGGUGGAAUUGUAUAGAUUUUAAAGUUGUUGGUGACACUCAAUUUCAGCUUCAUGAACCGCAAUAUUUUCAAUACCAAGAUGGAGCAGAUGCUUCAAUACUGCCUGUACAAAUCAUAAAAAACUAAUAAAAAUAAAUAAAAUCGAGAAAUUUCACUAACUAAAAGUCUAAAUAUAAUUUUUGAAAAAAGAAAAGAAACGGACUUGCUGCUGCUUGGCGACUUGUUCUCGGAGCUUGAUUGCCUGUUUCUUGAUAGCUUCCAUACUGUUUCUUUCAAAAAGCAACGACGGCUCAGCUCAUGGAGGUGGAAAAAAAAAGUGUGAUCGAGAAAAAUAAAAAGGCAUGAAUAAUUUUUGACAAAAAGCGAAAAAUAAAAAGGCAUGAAUAAUGAAUAAUUUUUGACAAAAAGCUCUUUCCAGAAAAUAAAAAAAGAAAAAAGAAAAAAGAAAAUUAUAAGUUUGAAAGGAGUAGAUGAUAGUGGAAGUGUGGGGUAAUUUUUAAAAACCUCCCCUGAGGUUUGGGCUUGUUGCAAGUAGAUGACGAGAAUUGAUUUAUUUGUAAAAAACCCCCUACCGUCAGUUAAUUUUAACAUUGACAGUUAGUUGACCGUGCAAAGACAAUAUUACCCUUAACAAUAGUUUGUAAACGAAAAUAACUAAAAAAAAACCAAAAUUAUUAGCUAUUUUACCCUCUUUAAAUUAUUGAUAUUUUCUUAAAGUUCCUAUAAAAAAGAUAAAAUUAAAAACUUGAAAAAUCAUCUUUAAAUUAUUAAUAUUUUCUUAAAGUUCCUACAAGAAAGAUAAAAUUAAAAACUUAAAAAUGAAAUAGUCAUAAUCUUUACCUAUGAUAUUGUAAAUCUUUAGAAUUGACAAGGAUAAAAUUAUCAAAAAAUAGGGUUUGUGCUUUUCGCGCCAACAAUUUUAAUUUUUUUUUAUAGUUAUUUUCAUUUACAAACUAUUGUUAAGGGUAAUAUUGUCUUUGCACGGUCAACUAACAGUCAAUGUUAAAAUUAACUGACGGUAGGGGGUUUUUUACAAAUAAACCAAUUAUCGCCAUCUACUUGCAACAAGCCCAAACCUCAGAGGAGGUUUUUAAAAAUUACCCUGGAAGUGUGCGGUGUGGCUGCCAGCUACUUGGAUUGUAUUGUCGGGUAAGGUAAUAGUAGAGAAUUUUGUUUUUGAAGAAAAAUGGGUAAUUUUUAAAAACCUCCCCUGAGGUUUGGGCUUGUUGUAAGUAGAUGGCGAGAAUCCAUUUAUUUGUAAAAAACCCCCUACGUUUUUGCUCCGCUUGGUUGCCGUUUGUGCAAUUAUGGGCAUUGUUGACAUUUCUCAAUAAAACAAAUCUUUUGCAACUUUCGUUGCCUUGAGAACAAUAGCUAGAUUUCUCAAUCUGUUUCAUCCAACACUUCAAAAAUUUCAACUUUUAUGAGUUAUUGCAUUCUCUGGCAAAGUAGACUUCUUCUAAUUUUAUCACAGUGCUUUCAGGAACAAGAAUGGGAUCCAUUAACAUCCCCUCAAAUUUUACAGCUUCCUUACAGCUAUACACUGCUGUAACACGAAGUUUAAUGAUUCCAUCGCCAAAUAGUCCCCAAAAUCUAUUCUUCCCCAUAUUGAACAACUUAAGUUCACAACACUUGCAUUCUAAAGGCUUCCCACUAACAUCUAAUAUCUCAAGACUCAACGUUGCUUUACAAUAAUUGUUAUUACUACCAAACAAACAUGAAGAAACCCCGAUUAUCGGAUAAAUCAACCCAAAAUGAACAAGAGAAGAACCCAAAACAAGUGAAUCGCUAGAGCAAAACCCCCAACCCAUAUCCCUAAUCCCACACUCAAAAAAACCCAAUUUCUCUCCAAAGUCAUUGACACUAGCAUCACUACUAGACUCUAAUUCCAAUCCUAGAUUACAUUUAAUGUUAACCCAACUAAAAUGAAUGUUCUUACUACAAUACGCAUCGUUUACACUCUCAAACAACGCGCUGAACUUACUCUUAAACGAUCCCACAUUGGUCAAACACUCAUCACUCACAUCGACAUCCAAGAAUUCACUCAAAAACUUCAUAGACUCGACAAUUGGAGAAAACAAAACCACUAAACUCAACUUUAUACAAGCAUACCCAUCGAGAAUCUUACCGUCAUUAACCGAAUCACAACAAAUCACCGGGUCCCACGCGCAGUCGUGAACGAGCUUACGCAUGGACGGGGCAACAUUUAACCCCCGCGGCAAAAACGACGAAGCUUUGGAAAAAUUGUGUUUUAGAGCUGGGUUGAGGAGUAGAGAUUGGAGAGAUUGGAAGGUGGAAUCGGGACGGUCAAAGGAUAGAGAGAGAGAAGGGAAGGGGAUCUUUAAAAGAGAAGUGGGGAGAGGGAGGAGAAGAAGGAUUUGAAAGAGAAAAGAGAGGAACGGAGAGGCGGGAAUGAGAUUAAGGUUUUCACUGCAACUAAAAGAGUAAUCAUGUAUGGCUCUUGGUCUUGGAGAUGAAGGAGAGGAUUCAGGUCGAUUAAGAGGACUAUACGCUGCAUUUUGGUGUAGUCUGCCGCCAUUGGUAGAAGUUUCGAAGUGGGUUUCUGUUUAGAUCCGAGUUUGACGAAGAAACGUGGUGGUUGCGCUUGGGACAAUAUUGUUUUUGCACUGGUCAAUGUAAAAAUUAAACGACGGUAGGGAGUUUUUUUAUAAAUAAAUGAAUUCUCGCCAUUUAUAACAAGCCGAAACCUCAAAAGAAGAUUUUAAAAAUUACCCGAAGAUUCGAAAAAUAGUAGAGAAUUUUUUAAAAAGCUAGAACAGAGCAUGUUAGGCUUUUGUGGACCAAAUUCAAAAGCCAAAGGGCACGGCCCAAAAGCUUUUGAAUACAAUAACUUACUAGAAAGCUCCAUUUUUUGUUGGCUACAGUAAAAGUAUGUUGUUUUAUGCUUCUUAUAUGUUACGCUUAAUCGCUUGCUUUAACUGCAUCGCUCUCUGUGUACUCUUCUACACAUGUAACGGUUAUGCGGUUGUAGUUCACGGCUGAGGCUACGUGUUGGUUUGACGCGGCAGUUACGUUACGACAUUACGAGUCCGUUAAACAUUCGGUGAUAGAGCAUUAUUAGUUAUUUUAAGGAGACAAAUAAGAUUGGUUGCAAUAAACCCACUAAUUUUAUAAAAUUCGAGUAAUAUAGAAUAAAAUAAAAAAAUAAAUACAAAAUUGGCUUUUAUUUUUUAUGGUUGACUGUAUUUUGUGUUCUCUUCCGGCACUACUACAAUUGUUCCCUAUAUAUCAGUCACACCCAUAUAUCAUCAAUACAAGAAAUGAAAUCUAAUGUCACCUAUUUAGUUAAAGAAUUACUCAUGAAAAAAUUUUACCAUUUUACUUUGAGGAUCCAUAUUUUGAACUGCAAGCUAAUGUUCAUCAAGAAUCACUAAUGUUCAUAAAAAACAGAGCAUGGCCGUUGAGUAGAAAAACUAUUUUUGGACAAAUUAUUUUUGUUGAUAGAAGAAUUUCUUAAGGGACUACUAAUAUUAUGAAUAACAAUGUAGAACACACCCACAUAUCAUCGACACAAUUGACUUUAAGGAUCCAUGCUUUGAAUUGCCACCUAAUGUUCAUCAAGAACAGAGUAUGCCUUGUGAGUAGAAAAUUUUAUGAUUUUGGUCCGAAAUAAAAAGAAAUUAAAUUAGAUGAGAAUCUGCCACUUUCUCAUAAAGAAAGGCAUACGGAGCAUACCAUGGUACCAUACAAUACAAAGAGUCUCUAUUCUCUGGUUUUUCAAACUCUGAAGGGGCCAAUAUUCCCGAAUUCUCCCUUGAAAAUUCUGAUUACAACAUUAUUCAAUUCUUGACACAAUCAAAGUAGCGACAAAGUUAAGAAAAAUAUGAGUCCUAAGUAAUGGCUAGGUAGGGUUCUUGAGAGCAAAAUUGUCCUAAGCAUUAUAUGCAUACAUGGUGUGGUACAUAGAGCACGUUGAAUUCCACACUAUAACACAAACCCAGAAAGACAAGUAAUAACUCAACUGAUAUAAAGACAAAAAGAAGAUAAAAUGAUAUAGAAAAAAGAAUUUCAAAGCGACAGCAACAUACGAUAGACUGAAGCCACUUGAUCUGCUCACUGAUUGCAGCCUUAAACUUACAAAUAGUUACUGUACGCUAGUGCUCUAAGAAGUGAAAAUGAUAAGAGACCUGAUUCCCUUUUGACUUCCAUUUACUGUCAAACAUUCUAGUAAUACAAAAAAUUGUUUAGAUAUCUUGCUAUAAAUAUAGUCGUUUGACUGUCAUAAUAAAGUCACAAAUAACCAUUCAUAUUGAUCCACUGUCACACAGCAUGCUUUAUGCAUACAACAUCUGCAUGUAUACCAACUCCUAACCUUAUCAAUACAUUUGGCAAAAAAUUAAGAAGAAAACUAUUUCUCCAUCUCUUUUUUGAAAUUUCACAAUAAACCAGCACAUUGUGAAAGCUAUGUUCUAAUCUUAUGAUAAAUGCUCUAGACUCCAAAAGGAUUUUAUUUAUGAGAGUUUGUUGCAGCAGAUAUAUUGACUUAUCAAGUAUGAAUCAUUGUCUGGAUGAACUAUCUUUAAAUAAAAGAAUAUUAGAACCACUGUAGAAUAUCUUUACGCUGCUGGUUCUAACAGGAAUCUGCAUGUGGCAACAAUUGCUAGAUCCACAAUUCCCCAACUUGAAAUACAUAGUUGCACACCGUGAGAUAGUGCUGCAAUCUACUGAGAUCUAACUUAUUUGAUACUUUAAGCUACUAAUGUUUGCAUAUUUCUACAUGUUAAAUUGACACUACCAUCUAUAAUCACCCCAAAACGACAAAUGAUAAGCAGCUUUUGGCCACUUAUUACUAGCAUCCACAACACAAUUAUAAAUAAGAGAUCAUGGGUUUACUUGUUGCAACUACUUAAUGAUCUGCAUUUGAGACCCUGACGCAAGGUUUAAAUAGUGACUGCUUAGAACCCUUGUAGUUGGAUCUUGACCUCUCCCAUUGUAGCCAAGAUUGGCUACUCUGGUAAUGAAUCAACACUCUCCUGCUUAUUUUUUUGUUUUUAAAAAAUAACGAAAUCAUAAAAUAAAUAAACACGUGUUUGGUUUUGGGCAUUUUCUUUUGUUCAUUUAAUAUCAUCUGGCUCCCUGAUUUUUUACUAAUUAACAACGGAAUCCUGUUAGUUUCUAAAUUGAAAUAAUAAAAGGUCACGAGAUUAUUUACUCCAUUUAGCACUGUAGACUUAGAGUAUAUUGAAAAAGCUUUGUCAAAUAGUAGUAAUAGGGGCAUAAUAAAUAAGUUUUUCAGAAUUUACAUAAUGUACUUGGCUCUAGGAAGAUUGCCCUCUUAUCACUCAAGUUAGGUUUUGCCUUAGAGUUGAGGUAAAUCAUUAAAAUAAAUUAUAGCUAUUACAAAUUCGUUAGGAGAAUUUCAAUUUUUUUUCCAUUAAAUGGCUAUGAUGCAAAAUUACCUCAGCUUAUAUUGCAACACUAAUACUUCAAAUCCUAACAAUAAAAUUGAUGACAAUGGUUUUUAUGUAUAGUAAUUUUCACUCUUUUGUUUGAUCUAAAAGUAGUUCUUAAAAUGACAAUGAUGACUUAUUUAGAAGAAAUGGCAAACUUAUAGUUUGUAAUAUUGUUUGCACAAACAAUAAAGACUAAUUUGAUAAUAAUGAAGUGUUAAUUACUAUUUAACAUUUUUAAUUAAUUUUUAAAUUUAAAAAAAAAUGAAGGCCGAAACUUGUGCAUUAAAUUUUAAUUAAAAGUUGAUUGCUUCGAAGGUUUGAUCGUGACAAAUUGACAAUUGAAAAAAGAAGUAGGGAAUAUAUAUUCUGAUGAAAGGGACAAGAUUAAGCAAGGGGACAAUAUUGUCUAUUGGACCUACAAAUGGGGGCAAAGAUAUAUAUAUUCCAAAAUUUCUUAUUUGUGGAUUGGCCACCACGUGUAACUAAUAUAAAAAGAGAAAAUUUGGCAUGGUUUUAACCGAUAUAAGGGUCCGUUUGGGAUUGAGGUGUUGUAGCUUUUAAGCUAUAGCUGUUGUGGAAAAAAAACUGUAAGUAUUAAAUAAAAGUUAAUAAUAUAUAGUAAAUAUAAAUUUUAAAUAAUAAUUUUGAUGAAAUUAUUAAAGAUAUAAUAGAUUUUCUAUUAUACAAAUGAAAAUUCAUAUCAACAUAGCUUAAAAGUUACAGCAGUUAGUGUUUACCAAACACUUUAGUGCUGUAGCUUUUAAACUACAGCUGCCCAACCUCAAUCCCAAACGCACCCUAAGAAGAGAAAAUUUUGAGUGUAUAAGAAGAGAAAAUUUUGAGUGCACAACAAGAACAAAGCAAAACCCAUGAAAAUUCACCUUUCAUGUGGGUUGGAUUGGAUAAAAUCAAUAUCUUGAAUCAAACAAAAUGUUUGGUACUUGAAGGUUUUUUUAACAUUUUCAUUUUUUUUUUCCAUUUAUGAAGUCCAAUUUUUUUUUUAAUUUUGAUUUUUUUGAAUGAUUUUGAAGGUGUUGAUAUAAGGUCAUCGAAGGUUUGUGAACUUGGGGUGUUGAAUUAUAAGGCGAAGCGUGUGUUUUAUCCAUUUGAAGCAAGUAAAUUUCGCUGUCGGUAUGAUUACUAUUGGGCUUCUAUCUUCAAGGUAUUCAUACAUUUUCCCCUGUACUAUAAGCUUCUUAGUGGCGGUCUUGUGAGCGGAAGUGAGCGGUGUGGCUGACAGCUUCUUGAAAAUUAUAAGUUUGAACAGAGCAUGUUAGACUUUUGUUAACCAAAUUCGAAAGCCAAAUGGCACAGCUCAGAAGCUUUUGAAUUGAAUAACUUACUAGAAAGCUCCAAUUUUUUGUUGGCUACAGUAAAAAGAGGUUGUUUUAUUCUUCUUAUACUUUACGCUUGCAUCAGCUUAAAUCACUUCUUAAACGCUUUGCUUUAACUCCACCGCUUCGUACUGUUCUAUAUAUGUAUCGGGUAUGCGGUUGUAGUUCACUACUGAGACUACGUGUUUGUUUAACGUGGAAGUUACGUUACGAGUCUGUUAAAACAUUCGGUGAUUAAAGUAUUAUCAGUUAUUUCAAAGGGACAAAUAAGAUUAGCUACAACACACACUAGUUUUAUAAAAUUCGAAUGAGAUGGAAUAAAAUAAAUAAGUAAAUUGACUUUUAAUUUAGUGCUUGAAUAUAUUUUGUAUUCUCUUUGGGCACUGCUGUAAUUGUUCCUUAUCACACCCAUAUGUUAUAGACACAAGAAAUGAAAUUUAAGAUCACCAGUUUAAUUAAAGAAUCACUCAUGAAAAAUUUUUGCCAUUUUGAUUUGAGGAUCCACAUUUUGAACAACCAACUUAUGUUCAUUAAGAACAAAGCAUUGCCUGUGAGUAGAAAAAUGAUUUUUGAACAAAUUAUUUUUUGUUUAUAGAAGAAUUUCUCAAGGGACUAUUAAAAUUACUAAUAAAAAUGUCAGACACACCCAUGUACCAUCGACAAAAUUAACUAUGAGGAUCCAUGUUUUGAACUGCCACCGAAUGUUCAUCAAGAACAUAGUAUAACUUGUGACAAGAAAAUUUUUUGAUUUUGGCCUAGAACAAAAUGAAAUUAAAUUGAAGGAGAAUCUACUACUUUCUCAUUAAGAAAGGCAAACGGGGCAUACCAUGGUACCAUACAAUACAAAAAGUUUCUGUUCUCUAGCUUUUCAAACUCUGAAGGGGGCAAUAUUCCCCAAUUGCCUUGUGAAAAUUCUGAUUACGACAUUAUUCAUCGCUUGAUACAUAAGUAAAAGUAGUGAUAAAAUUAGAAAAAAUAUGACUUAUAAGUAAUUACUAGGCAGGGCUCUUGAGAGCAACAUUGUGCUAGGCUUUAUAUGCAUACAUUGUGUGGUACAUUCUACACUAUAACACAAACCCAGAAAGACAAGUAAUAUCUCAACUUAUAUAAAGACAAAAAGAAGAUAAAACGAUACAGAACAAAGAAUUUCAAAGAGACAGCAACAUACAAUAGACUGAAGCCAGUUGAUCUGCUCGUUGAUUGCAGCCUUAAACUUGCAAAUGUUUACUGUAGCCUGGUGCUCUAAGAAGUGAAAGUGAUGCAAACCUUGAUUCCCUGUUUACUUCCAUUUACUGUCAAACAUUCUAUUCAUACGAAAAAAAUUGUUUAGAUAUCUUGCCGUAAAUAUAGCCAUUUGAUUGUCUUAAUAAAGCCACACACAACCAUUCAUAUUGAUCCACAUUGCCAUAUAGCCUGAUUUAAGCAUACAACAGCUGAAUGCAUACUGACUCCUAACCUUAUCAAUACAUUGGAGACAACUUAAGAAUAAAACGAUUUCUCCAUCUCUUUUUUUGAAAUUUCACAAGAAAACAGCACAACGUAAGAGCUGCAAUGAAAAUGGACCGUCAAGAACUAUGGCGGAAGCUUCAACUAGUGUAGUGAUUUGACCUUCUUAUUAACUUUGCGAUAUCAAGCACUGCCCUUCAUCUUGAACAGAUCAAUACAAUACGCACAACUUAUGAUUGAAUCCAGAAACAAUCAAAUCUUUAGCAAGAAAAAUUAAUCAGAAUCAAGAAACAAGUUCAAUGAAUAUAAACCUAUAAUUGGAACAAACACAGCCAAAGAACCCAAGAAUGACACAACCUACACCACGGGAGAAGCUUUCCAGUGAGAUUUUAUUGAUGAUCAAAGAAGAAUCUUUUUACAAAGCUAACAAAAGAGAUUUCAGAGAAUAAGCUAUGACUCUCUCUCUUCAAUCUCUCUCUAGUUUGUUCACAGUGAUGACCCCAAUCUGCUUCGUUAGCCAGCUUCAUAACUGCGUCAGUGACAAACUAAAAAACCCAGAUUGAGCAGAUUACCGACACGUGGAUAACGGCUAUUAAGAACUUGGUUAAAGAACUGCUCACAUAUUCGUCACGCGUGUUACUUAAAUGAUGGCCAAAACGACUUCAACAAGAUGCCGUUUUGAAGCUUGUGAAUUAUAAUUGAAAACACGUGCUUGUCUCGUGACACUUAAAUACAACAACAAGCCCAAAACACUGCCGUUUCACUUUGUUGAGUUUGCCAUCUCUAAGCUUCACAACUAGCAACGGAGAAGAUGAUAAUUAAAUUGACAUGGAGAGUUUUUAUAUCACUUUUACAACAUUCUAUAUAAUUGUGAUAUUGGGAAUCGUCGAUGUUGUAUAUGUGAACUCUCAUUGGUGACACUGGUGGUUUUAUUUUUGUUGAAAUAUGGAUGACAUUUCGUUACUAUUUUAUUGUACACAACAUUUUGUUACUAUUAACAUGUUAGUUUCAUUAGCCACUAGGCCUUUGGCUGAGUCAUUCGGGUGUCUGCCCUCCAACUUGGAGGGCAGCAAUUUGAACCCCCACAAGCGCAAUGUUGGGUAUUUUUUUCUUUAAUCCCUCGAAUAUUAGUGAAGGUUAAAAUCUAGGCAGAACUCCAUAAGUAUUGAUGUAAGUUGGUUUCAGUAAUAGUCUAAUUUGUAAAUAUCAGUUAUAAUCUCAUAUAAGAUGAGUUGUAAUUUGAGCAAUAGUCUCAUAGAAUAAUAAUAAUAAUAAACAUGUUAGCUUCAUUACAUUUUUCUUCGUUAAAAUUCUCAAGUAUUAGUCAGGUUUGCUAAAGUAAUAAAAUUUUGCCAUUAAAAUUGUAGUAGUAUUUCUGAGCACCUCACAUUUUCAAUGAUUUUUCAUAAAUCAAUUAAUCUGUCGUACCGAUAUCAGGUUUAGUUUUUCAUACUAAACAAUCAAGAAAGCAAACAUACGAAUUCACAGUUUAGAGGGGUAAACUAGGUAGGUGGUUUAGAUUUUAGAACUAGGCUAGCUACCCCACUAAAUUCCAAUUUGUACAGUGAACUACAAGAAAUUGAGAAAACAGUGUAUUUAUAGUUUAAUUGAAUCGUGAGAAAGCAAUGUAGUCAUAGCUCAAUCUGAGAUGAUCACGGAGAGGCAUAUUCUUUUCAAGUUAAUUUGAUCAAUUUAUAAGAGAUGAAGUGGAUUGAAGUUAAAAGUUUAAAUAACAAAUCCUUGUUCUUGAGUUUUACGACGUCGUUACUCCUUCAAGAGGCAGAUUAUUUAUGCAAGUGAAUGCAGAAACGCAAUGCAUCAUCCACGGGGAUGGUACAUCAAAAGGCGGGAUCAUAGUCUAUGCCCGCAGAUUAACAAUUUCGCUCAUAUAGAAAAUUAAUUUUUUAUAUAUACUAAUCAACACUAAAUUGAUUGUGUUUUGUAUGUUUAUAUGCGAAUCAACACUAAAUUAUAUUAAAUGAAGAAAUAAUUCAAUUUUUUCUAAUUUAAUUUAGAAAAUAAAAUUAUUAACAUUAAUAUUCCCAAAAAAAAUUAUUUUCCAUUAGUAUUCAAAGUCUUCACUUAUGGAAAAUGUGUUUUACCUGAAUAUUAGUUACCGUGUAAAUUUGAUUGAUAGUGAAAAAUAAUUUUUUAAUUAUUGUAAAAAUAAUUAACCAUAUCAAAUCCCUUACGUAAAUAAUUUUUAUUUUUCAAAAAGGUAGAAAGAUGGUUAAUGCACAAGCAAAUUUUAAGCCCCUCUCUUCUUGGCCUAAGAUUCAAACUCAGAUGACUAGUUAAAUAAACCUAUGUGAAAUCAUUUGGCCAGGUCCGCGGGGAAAAAAUACAAGAUCCUUAAUUUCAUAAUAUAUAUGAAUUAAUGUCAUUUACUUGAAUUAUCCAAAUUCAUCAGAGGUUAACGAAUUUUCCUGACAUGUAGUAGAUGAAGUUGUUGCUUCCUUCUUGGCAUUAUUUCAGCUCUGGUUGUUGGUCCCGAUGAGCUUUAGUCUUAUUUUAAUUUUAUUUAAACUCAUCAUAAGAUUCGUGGAGCAGCUAACUGACUUAACUGACUGUGCAGAAAUGUCACAUAGCAUAUUUAACCGUUUUAACAGUAAUUUUGAACGGUCUUCGCAAUUAUCAUCUACAAACUCGUUCGUAUUGGUCCAAUCUUCCGGACGAUAUCAUAUGCCUAAUAAUGAAUGAAUGGUCUUGGAUCGGUGUUUCGCAGCAAGAGCAACUCGACAAAAUCUGGAGUCAAGCUCCUCCGAUCGAACAAGGGAUUUCGAUUGAUGAUUGAGUUCCUUUGUGCUCAAGCAACUUCAAAUCAUAGUUUUGAUUCUUUAGAUAUGAAUUCAUCACAUUACAUAUAACAGAUUGAGUUAAACAAAAUUUUAAUUUACUGAGAAAAGAAUUCUAUUUUGUGAACUAAUCAAUUGCAAAGCAUUAGUGUUGAACGAUACAAAAAAUUGGGAAAAGAAUUCUAGCCGUAUUGACUCCACCGAAAUUUCCACAAAAGCAAAAAAAAAAAAAAUAUAUUCCACAAAAUGCAAAACGUAUGGAACUUAAUUUUUGGCCCUGUGAUCACUAAGAUACAAGGCAAAUUUUUUUAGAUCUCUCCGACAAAGUGAUUACCAUCUAAUCGCAAUAUUGAAUAAAAAUAAAAAUUUUAAUGGGAGUUUGACCUUAAAUUUAGAAAAUGAAUUUUCACUUUCUUCAAUUAUUAAACAGAUUACAGACAUUUGAGGAAUUUGAAAACACUUUAUCCAUCGAAAGUUAAAAUUAGAGAUGGAAGCUAGGUGCUACAGCUAAUGGGAUCAUUAAUUCCCCUCCCUCAAAUGUGUAGUUGUUCCUCUUUCCACAGCAUAAGCCUUAUAGUUAGAGUUUCUUUUUAAAAAAAAUGUUAAACAAUUUCGGUUGAGCAUGGUUUUGGUAGUUGAAUAGACACCUCCGCCGUACCUCAAACAAAACUGUCAUUAUUCGAGUCAUGAAACAUGUUUCGGCCGUCAAAGUCAUGAGUAGGAGUGGGCAUGGGUUGGUUUGGGUUAGGUUUUAAGUCAAUUCAAACCAAACUAUAAAAAUUUGGGUUCAACCCAAACCAACCCAAAUAUUUUUAACCCAACCCAAACCAACCUAUUUGGAUUUGGUUUGUGUUUGGGUUUGAUUUGAAUUUUAUAAUUAAAAUAUUUUUUAUUUUAAUAAAUUUAACUAUAUCAAAUUAUAAUAAUUAUUAAUUAAUAUUAAUUAUUAAAUUAAUAUUAAAAUAUGAAAAAAUGUAGUGGAUAAAAAUUAUGAAUAAUGGAUUUUACAAUAACUUUGUUCUUAAAUAUUAACCAUAUUACAACAUAAAUUCUAACAAUGUCAAUACAAAUUAAAGUAAGAUAAGAUAUCUCAACUCAAGUAUCAAAGCAAUCCAUCAAAAUUAAAUUAUUUAAUUUUAUAAAUUUAAAUCUUCCGAGAAAUAAAUCUAAAAUUUAUUGUAAUUAGAAAACGCGUCAAAAUUUUAAACGCAGUAAGAAAAAUUAGACAUAAAAUCUAAUUAGGUUUAAAUUUAAUUAAAAAAUAACAAUAGAAUCAUAUUUUAUUUGAUAAAAUCUUAAAAUCAAUUUCAUUUAUUUUAGUAAGUUACAAUACAAAUAGGAUUAUAAAAUUAUAUUACAGGAUUUCAUAAAAAUGUUGUUUGAGUAAUUUAUUAAAGGACUCACCUACGUUGCCACAGUUGUAGCUUACCACGCUUUUUGUCUUUUUCCAGUAAAAUCGUAGGAUGCUUUCAAAUUUAAUCUAACGGAUGCAAUUAAUUAUUAGAUAAUUUAAUCAGCCAUUGGCAACCUUUACAACCGGUUAUAUUCUCUCGUUACAUUUCUCGGCUACCAAACAAUCCCCAAGAAAAUGACGAAGUGAGUAACUAAUACACACACCGCAGAGAAAGAUGACAGGAGAUGAGAUGACGGUAGGCCCACCGGCACAAAGGUUCUUCGAUUGCUCUAUUUCUUCGGCGCCGGAUUUAUCUACACAACUACAAUCGACAAGUGGCGGGAACUCGAGCGGAAGUCAUUGAAGAAGAAACAUCAAGAGAGCAAUCUAUGGACUGAUGAUAACUCAGCAACUACGGUAAAGAAAGCCGUCAAAUGAUCUUUUUAUUUGACUUUUGAUGGAUUUUCAAGAGUUUUGGUAAUAAAAUGUCUCUUAAUUUUUCAUGUCAAUGGCCUAUUGUUUGAGUUAUUAUUAUGCAUAAUUGUUGGAAGAGUUAGGAUUUUACUAUUGGAUUUUGGAAUUUGUAUUUUGGCUUUGAUAUGUUAUUGUUGUGAUGUCGGUCAAGAAAUUUUUGACAACACUCUCCUCGAGUUUGAUACUAUAGCUAAUGAAUUUUUAUGGCAGAUAUAGCUAAUGAAACAAAAAACACUUUAUAACUGGUUAUGCAUUCAUUUAGGAGCUAUUAACUGAGCGUGAGUUCCAUAAUUUUCCAACCAGUGGUUAGGGUUUCACAGAAAAAUGUCGACAUUGAUCUUUAGGCAGCACUUAAGACUGAAAUUGGUUGUAGAGGAUCGAAUUUGGGGAACUAGAAAUUUCUGAUCAUUAAUAAUUGAAAAUGGCCUCUCACUUGUAGGCAGUUGUUGGAUGUAAUGUAUCCAGUUUUUGAAAUCGAAAGCAGAGUGAGUUCUUAGGUUAGAUGUACCUACAUGCAUUAAGGUUCGAAGAUGUAGAAUAGGCCAAUUGUUUGAUGUCAGCUUUGUUGCACAUGUUCUGAAAUUGAUCAUUUAAGAUGGCUUGGAAGCACUCCGUGAUGUGACUAAGAAGAUUCGAGGAAGUAUUAAAUAUGUUGAAAGUUCACAAUUAAUACAAGGAAAGUUCAAUGAGAUCACCCAGCAAGUUGAAAUCAACAGUCAAAAGAGCCUACAGUGUGAUAUUUUUCUCUUGGAUUGUUUUUUUAUUUUCCAUUUCAAAGCUGAUAGUGUAAAUUUUUUGUUUGCAAAAGUUUCUAAAAAGUACUUGAGUCAAGAUGGUUAGGUAUUUCAUAACUUCCUUUUUACUCUUAACUAGAUUCAUACAGAGUUAUAACAUUAACAUAAUUUUUUCUUUUAAAAGUGAUCAAUUAGACACUGAUGAGAUAUCUCACUUUUGAAUCAUUUAGCUUUAUGUAAUUUCAUUACUAUUAUAUGCCCCCAGGAAUUGUUGAAGUAUAUAUAUCUUGGCAUUUCUUCACCGACUGAAUUAUCUUUCAUAAUAUUCCAGCUUCAAAUGGGUACACUGCAGAGCCGAUUGGAUGCAGAAUUCCUUCUAGCUCAUAUGUGCUCUGUAAAAUUCAAAGACUUAAUAGUGGUUAUGGCAACUCUUUUUAGAUGAUCUAAGGUAUAAUGCCCAAUUAUUGCUUUUGCUUUAUCUGUUUUACCUUGCAACAUUUUGAAAUUUAUGAGAAGCAUAAAAUUACUGAGCCAAAAUUGAGGAUCUGAACUUUCGUAAAAAUAUUCAUAUUUUUAAAUUAUAAAAUAUUGCAUUUGAUGUUUUAGGUGGAACUUAGUUCACUACAGAAAGGAAAAUUAUGUUGGGCAUAACCAGAUGCUUUUCAAGAGAAAGUUUCACUGAUAUUUUUCUGAGGAUUUUACUUGGCCAUCUUAUUUCAAGCUGCUUGAAUUUUUUCUUUAUAUCAUCUUGGUUGUAUACUAUAACUCGUUGAAUUUGCUAGCACUUUUGCUAGUUGUUUAUUCUAUAUGUGAUUGUGGUGGUAAAGUUUGGAAGCUCAAAAAGUAAUGGAACUUAGGAAGAGUAUGACAUAGAAUGCUGGAUAAAAUCAAAAUAAUCAUUCUUCAGGCAUCCAAAGAUGAUGUAUUCAAAAUAGCUAGUUUUGACUUUUGAGGCCGUAUAAAUAACUAUUAUCUCACAUGGUUACAUUAUGAUAGGUAGGCACUAGCUUAAUAACUCCAAUUAACUUAAAGUUGUUACCUGAUUUAUUAUGACAGUGUGCAUUACGAUAAGUAUCCUUGCAUAUUAAGAUUUUCCUUCCAGAUCUCUGCGGUACUUUUUGAUCUUUUCCGACAUGAUAUGCGAUUAUGGGAAGCAUAUGCCAUCACCUUACAGGUAUUCUCUUAAUUUUUAGAUAGUGCUCCAGAUGACAUUCAAGUUGGCUAUUAUUGGGUGCAAGAUUUACCAUGCUCUUAUUUUGCUUUUUUAGUCUAACCCGACAUUUGCUUAAUACCAUGAUCUGCUUCAAGCCUUGGAUGAAAAACUUUCAUUUUUUGUAUAUUCUGCAAUGAGAUGAGGGUAGUUUUUCUGAUGAUAUUUGGCAGUAAAUUGGGACUAACUAAAGUAAUUUUCUUAAUGGCAUGUCUACUUCUCAGAUGAAUGACCGUCUGUUCAGACUCCCAGGUGAUGAAUUAACAACCACCGAUCUAUUCUGGGUAAAGAUGAUGACGUUGACACCAAGCCAGUGGAAUGACUAGGACUUCCCUUUUGUUACAAUAAAUUGCGUUCAUUAGACACACGCAGUUAAUUAGUGUAGAUAAAGGAGGUCUAUGCACAAUAGACUGUUUUGUAUUUCGAGAGUCCUUUUUUUGUUUCUUUCAUUCUCCAUUCUUUUGAAAUUAUGUACAAUGGUUAUAUUGUCUGUAUUAUUACGGAUUUAUGAUGGGAGUAUCCUAAGUUUAUGGAAUAAUUAUAAAUAAGGACUUUAAAUUUUUGUUGAAAGAAGUUGAGUGAGAGAAAAGAAGCUAAAGCAGUAAGCAUUUGUUAUACUUCAUUCGAUUGUAUCUAAAUUACAAAGGUUGGUGGCCUUAUUUAUAGUGAAGUUCCCACAGGCCACUUGCACUCAAAACAUUCGAAAUAUGCAAACAUAUUGAUAUAUAAACAUACAGAAUUAAUAUUCUGGAUCCUUGUAAGUAAUGCAAAUAAAAGUGAGGUUGGGGCAGACAAUAUUUACAUCAUGUAUUAAUAGAAAUAAAAUCAAUUAUUUCCAAAUAAAGUCACUUAGUUCAAAGCACGGGCUUCGGUUAAGUUGAACAAGCAAGCCAAUUUUUGUUGUUACUUCAUGAUUGUCGUAAGCUGUGGGUAGUGGAUCGUGUUCCCUAUAAAAGACAAACAGAAGCAUAAGUUUCUCUCAAUUAAGGCACCUGAAAUGUAUUUCCAUGUCUACUAACCUGGUCAUUCGUCCAUGAACUAAACCCUUCUGAGGAUCUUGAAUAGAUUUAUAGAGAUCUCAGAUAAUUUCCUCACGGUGUGCCUGAGUAAAGACAAGUCUUAUGUACUUGAUUACUUCUGGCCAAUCCAUCGAGGCCACCACCUGUCUCAGUCAAUUCAAUCUUUUAAUAGAGUGAAUUACUAGAAUAAAAUUGAUUAAAGUUGAUAUAAAAUCUAAAUUAAAAAAAUCAGAUAAGAGAAUGAUCCAAAAUCCAAAAAAUGAAAUAUUUAAGGAGUGGACUUGUGACCCUCUAUAGAAUCCAUGGAAGAGUAACUAAGGGAAAAACAUUAGAGGUACUUUUGGCGAUACUAUUAGUAUUCUUGUGUUGAUCAUAAUCUUGGGGGUAGAUCUAGACUAAUUAGCUAUUCAUUGAACAUUCCAUUUCUCCGCAAUUACAUGCAAAAGUGCACCUUGCAGUUGCAGCCUAGACCAUAGAAAUAUAGAAUUCCAAUUAUUAACAUCUAAAGCUACUGUAGUGACUUUGCAACCAUGAGAUGAUAUAUACAUAUGCUGAGAUUCAAAUAUUUGAGAAGUUUAAACAUCCUGAUGAAAAAUAGACUAGUUCACAGCUACUUUGGGGAAGUUGAUUUCUACUAGCAGUAGAAAAUACAAGUUUUUUUAAACAUACCUACUCCAGUAAACUCAAUUAACCAAAACAAAACUCAAAGCAUGAAAAAGAGGGAUUUUAACUAACCUAAUCAUUAUCAUUGAUAUUUUAACAUAUUGAUCUUCACAUGGAGUUAACAAACACAAGACUUAGUGCCUAGUACAUAUGUCUGGGGUUGCACAGUCUGUUCGACAAAUUUAUUGAAACUAUAUCCAUGCUCCUUCUCCAAUAAAUAAAUAUCCUCUUGCUUCUUCCAUCCUACUCUAAUUCUUCCUGGAAAGCAUUCUCCCCUUCUCUAAUUCUUCCGAAAAAACAUAACCGACAAUCCUAAACUAAUUACCACCGUUAAAUCUUUCAAACAAAAUUUACAAUUUCUUAUCAGUAGUUUCCUGCCGCAUCCGAUCGAACGGCUCAUCAACGAAUCAAACAGACUUCUUUCCAUCCUUUUUCCAUAUAAUUACAUUUGCCUAAUUCCUAAAGUUUCGGCUCCGCCCAAUGUCGGCCGCAAUUGGCUGCCACAGCGAUAUGUUCAUCUUCAACUUCUCUGCUGCGAUUUCAAAUUUACUUCAGCCUCGUACCACCACACUUCCACUGGCAAUUAAUUUCAUUAUCCGAUUUUACUAUGUGUGGAAUAGAUUUGAGCAAUUUAUGAGUUUUCGCUACGAUUUCGACGAUGUCCUCUCAACACUAAUUUGAUCACCUAAUUUUAACUGUUUUGGGUUAUUUAUUUUUUAUUAUAUUUAUAUACAGUCUCUGCAGACAACCGACUACUUUACUUAUAUGUGGAACUCAUCUGAGCCAUUAGAUGGAGGCCCUCCAGAUCCUACGGCGAUUAUAUAUGAGGACAAAAAGUGUUGUAUGUUGGAACUGUUGCAACGUAGGAGGAUCCUUUAUUAAAAUGUUAAUUUAGUUUUUUAACUCAAGUUGAGACCGUAAAAAGUUGUUAUAUAAUAGUGUAUUGUAUAACCAAUUACAUAUGUAUUUGACUUGUGCAACACUUCUAUUAUUAUUAUAUAAUAAUAAUUAGUAGUAGUAUAAUUACUAUAUAAUAAUAAUUAUUAGUAGUAUAAUUAUUAUAUAAUAAUAAUUUUAAUAAAAAAUUAUUAUUAAAAUAUUGAUUUAGCCUUUCUUAGUUCCAUAUUUGUUGUUUUGCUAUAAUUUUCCACAAUGACGCAUUAUCAGACUUUCUUAGUUCCGUCAUCUUCUAUUACUCAACUUAACGUCUUAUCAUCUCUAGCUCGUCUUCCAUAGCAUGAAAGUGAAUAAAUUUAACUGAAUGGUUAAUUAAUCAAUUAAGUUUCAUGAGCUUUAAUCGAGUUAUAACCAAGUACAAACAUCGUUAACAAAUACUGAAAUUUAGUAAAUUAAAAAAAUAAAAAACUAAUUCAAGUAAUAUGUAGUUUUUACAUGUUGAUCAUCAGGAUACAACAUUAAAUUUUGUCAUUGACAAUAUUGCAUGCCUGUCAUCUAAAGCAUUACCUCACAAGGUUUUAUGAGAAACGAAAGACUAGUGCUUGCUUUGAACAAUUAAAGUUGCUGCUACCAACCUCCCCAAAGAUCAAGAAGACAGAACAGGAAGCUAAUGCCAUCAAUGUCUUGUUCAUUAUAGCUGUUGGGUAGUUAGGUGUAGUUUCCUCACUUGAAGCUGUCUAUACACAGGCUUUUCCCCUGCAAAUGGACAAAUAAAUGAACAGCCUUGAAGCUUUACUAUUCGCAACACAAAGGGAUUACUAAUUGGAGAAGACUUUACAGAGUUCCUCUCACACUUUCUCUCUCUCAAUUUCAUCUAGAAGUCCCUCCGAAAGCAUCACCCAAAACAGUUAGUCAUCCUUUAUACUCUGUUUUCUGGAAACAGAGUCCUAACUAACUUAACUGACUGUACAGAGCACGUCAACAUAGCAUAUUUAACCAUUUUAACGGUAAUUUGAACCGUCUUCAGAGUUAUCAUCAACAAGCUCAUUCAUAUUUGUCCAAUCUUACGGACGAUAUCAUAUGCUUAACUCGACACAAUCUGGAUUCAACCUCCUCCUAUCCAACAAGGGAUUUCGAUUUGAGUUAAUAAUAAUAAUAACGACAAUAAUAAUAAACUAAAAAACAGAAUUAAUUACUAUUGAAUGGUCGGAAAAAAAAAAAAUUGAAAACGUGUGAACUCCAAUAAUCACCCCACAAAUUCAGUGGCGAAUUUUGGAGAGGGCAAGGCCGGGCUUCUCAGAAAAAAAUUUAUUUAGUUACAAAAUUAUCUUUAUUGAAACCUAUAUAAAUUUUUUUAUAUUAAUUAGUUAUGUUACCUCUUCAAUUAUCAUCAAAUUCUUGUCUGUUCAUCAUUUGGUGAAUAAAUGUGUGUCUAAAUAAUUUCAAAUAACAUUUAGAACAAAUAUUUUGAGAGGUAAAGCUUAUUUUGUCUCGCAUUAUUAGGUGCAUCUAUAAUUUCUUAUUUACAAAAUUAUAUUGUACGAUAAAAAUUUAUUGAAUUAGGGGAAAAAAAAAAGUUCAGCUCACUCAAAAACAAAAAAUGGUAUUAACUUCGCCACCGCACAAAUCUAGAAUAAUAAUUAUUCCUUAUCAUGCUGGGGAUCCUUUAUACUUUCUAGCCGUAUUGACAGCACCAGGUAAAGCUUUGUAAAAUAAUAAGUUACUCAUUAGUGGUUUUUAAUCUUUUUAAUUCUUUUUACCGCACACCUGAUCAAGAAUUUUAUUUUGUUAACUAAUCAAUUGCAAAGCAUAAAUAAGUGUUGAACGGUACACAAGAUUGGAAAAAAAAAUCUUAAAAAACGCGCGGAUUCGGUAGCCACACCAGAAAUCUAUUACAAUAAUUUCUGGCCGUAUUGAAGUUUUUAAAAUAACAAGUUCCCCUUCUCGUUUUUUUUUUUUAAAUAUAUAAGCUUAUAACAAUUUUAGAAUAAUGACUCAUUUGUAGAAGAAUUUAUGAUUUCCCAUUAAUAUUAAUAUUGAAGUGGGGUGGGUGUCAAAUCUCAAUUGCUUGAAGAAUUUAUUUAUUAUUAUUAAUAUUAUUAAUAUUAUUAAUAUUGAAGUGGGGUGGGUAACGGACCAGCGGUUCACUCAGUUCGUGGCGAAUUAAAUAUUACCAUCCAAGGUAGAAUUGUGGAAAAUUAAAGCAAAAUGACUAGUAUGGAAAGGAAGGCUGAAAGUAAGGCAUGACGAAAGGCUUUGAGAAGGCUGAAGACUACCAAAGAAGUCAACUGAAAGCUAGCUGGGGCCUGAGUGUAUAAAUUGUUAGAUGCGUUUGUUAUAAAUAACAUAGAGCCCUUUUGUUAUUUAUAGUUAUAGAGAAAGAGAGAAUGUGUGUUUUUUAAUAGUUAGAGAUAUAGCUAGAAUGGGUGGCUCAAAAUCCAAAAUGGUGACAAUGUUAGUUCUCAUAUUAAUAAUAUUAGGAGGGGGGGGGGGGGACUCAGGGGAGGUCGAGUGAGGGAUGUUUGGAGCAUGAGAAAUUUGAUCUUUUGCGGCUUAAACAUUUCUUCAAUUCCCCUUAUACACUUCAAAACUGGGUAGGUGAACAAAGGGAAAGGGUUGAAUGCGGCAACUCCACAUGCCAAGUGGUACAACUACACCUUGGCCUUACUAGGAAUAUCGAUCUGGGAGAGUGGUAUCUGAAUGCUUCUCUAUUUACUUCCUUUCAAUAACUUGGUAACAAAAUAGCCGGCUGCAUGCGUUGAGAAUGAAGGUCCUUCAUUUAAUUUAAUUUACUUAAUUUCUCCCUCCUAAUUAAUGUCUAUAACCAUUAGGAGGAACAAAGGAUUUUAUUAACUCAAAUAUAUCUAAUGGAGCUCAUUCUUUGGUGUCUAAACAUUCACUCACCACUUAUUUCAUGUCUGAUUAUAUGUUGAAAAGAUAUUAAAGUAAUUUAACGCAAUUAAGGCUUAGUAUAUUUUUUAUUAGUAGAGUGUAGAACUUUUAAGAAAUAUAUUAUUAAAUUAUUAUAACUAACAUAUUAUUUUAAAGUUGUGUUAUGAAAAAAAUAAAAUAAAAGGACAAAUAUGUAUUUAUACGAAGCUUGUAAAUUUUUUUGUACUGAUAUUUGAAUAUUAUCAAUUAAAAAAAAUUAGGGUAAUGGUCAUGCUGCAUUAUUUUUGUAGCACACAAAAGGACAACACCGUUUAUGUUAUAAUACUAUCGCUCUGUUAUGAUAAUAUUUUCUUUUGUGGCCAAAUAUCAUUUUUUAAGUAAAAAAAAGUGGACAAAAUGCAAAUCAGUUUUUAAUCCUCAGUCUCUCCCAAAAUUUAAAUUCGUAGUUAACAAAACAAAAUUGUUGGAAAACCAUUAAGCUAGGUCCAUGGGUUGUUAAAACUAUAGCUGACAAAAAGUUACUAACAAAAACAGAAUGUCCAUUUUAUAACUUUCUUAAAAAACAUUCCUUAACUUUUUUAAAAAGUUACCAACAAAAAGUUAUUUCCAAUUUUUAUUUUGUUAUAAUUUUUAUAAUAAAAUUCGUAGUUAACUAAACUCUUCUUAUACCCUUUCUCAACUGCCAUACCCUAACCCUGUUCCCCAUUUCCCCACUAAACCACGCUCAAUUAAGGCCAUCAGAUUCUCCCGGGCCCACAUUAAUCCAACUGCUCACAGAGACCGACAGCCUCUCUAUCUCCAUUUCAAGCUCCCUCUUCAACUGGCUUCUGCUACCGUCCUACUCUUUCUCGGCUUCGGAGUCCGUAUUUUCUCGGCCGGUCCCACGAAGCUCCCUCUCACUCCAAUUGUCGCCCCACAAGACCAAUUGCUUAAUCAAGACACCGAACAAGAAGAGGAUGAGAAGUUGAAACAAGAAUUUGAGAAUUGGAAAUAAAAAACGUACGCAUUGACCGUGCCUUUGAGAGUCGUUUCUCUUCAGAACUCAGUGCCUCAAUCUUGGGUUAAGGAUUUUAUGCGAAGUCAAGGAAAGAGAUUGAAGUUUCAGAUGAAUUUGUGCGCUAGCAUUGAUGGGAUCUUUAACAAUUUAUCUGUGCCCUUUAACAAAGUUAAGGCUAAGUCAGCUUCGUAUAUGGCUGCUGAUUUGGUUAGUGUUGGUGAUUCAUGGCUCAGUUUUGCAAUUAAAAAGAGAUUGAUUGAGCCAAUAGCUGGAGCUGAAGAUCAAGAUUGGUUCAAAUGCUUAUGUCACAAAUGGAAGGUAACAUCUUUAUCUUUGACCCGAUCAUUUUUAUUGUCUUUUUAAUUGCAAUGAGAAGAAAUGCCACUGUAGCAUGCAGUGAUGGCACUUAAUAAGUGAGUUGCUAGGAUGUGAACUAGAAAAAUUAAAUAUUGUCUCCUUGGGUAUGCUAGCUCGUAAGUUAGGGUUAAUAUCAGAGCUUAAGGUACUAUAACCGUGAGAAGCUAUUGACUGCCAAUUAAAAUAUCCAUUAAAAUGUCUAGGGAGUUAUGAAGGUGGAGGUAACUACUAAUAAAAAAUAUCCAGUUAACCUCCUGCUCGAUGCAAUUAAUAAAUUUGGUCAAUGCCACUGAAACCUGCUAAC
This 168816-nucleotide long non-coding RNA is filed under the name Citrus maxima (pomelo). RNAcentral's name for it is "long non-coding RNA (CMAX_LNC001466)". The record is from RNAcentral. Lineage: Eukaryota; Viridiplantae; Streptophyta; Magnoliopsida; Sapindales; Rutaceae.